GAGAGAGAGAGAGAGAGAGAGACAAAGAGAGGUUUGUGCCGACCCAUCGGCGUUUUCCUACGCCCCCCAUGCAACGACAUUCUCUAAUUUUGGGCGGCCUUUGCAGAUUUCUCAGUCCUGGAGGAGUAUACUAUUCAUUUACUCCCUCCACUAAAAUAUCUGCCACUAAUAUCUUUUGGGAUGUAAUUUCCCGAUUUACUAUAGAAAACCUAAUGAUUCUAAUUCUAAAUUAAAUAGAUAUGAUCUAAUUUUUUUGAAGGGCAAGAUCUAAAAGUCACAAAACUCAAAAUUUUGAAUUUUUUAUUUUGAAAAUAAUCCCAAAAUUUUAGAUUAAAAAACGUUUUUCUUUUCAGAUGUUUGGAAGAGGGAGUACAAAUGAUCCCGCGGGAGCAUAAUAUACUCCCUAUCAAGUAAAAUAUCGCGGUUAACUCCUGUCUCUCUCAUACACAAUCUUGAGAAAUUAUUACUCCAUAUUUUCUUUGUCCGCUUCCUUGUACUUAGUUUCCUUUGAUCAUUACCAUUUACAAAUAAUUGCAGUCUUUAUAUUGGCAUGCACUCUCUCUAUAUCUUUCUAAAUAUUUCUAAAAUUAUUCCCCCUCUCUCUCUCUCUACUAAUAUCUUCCCAAUUAUUUUCUCUCUCCAGGAUGUUUCCCUUGUAUAUUGCUAAAUAUGAUGCCUUUCAUCUUGUCCUCUCUCUCUCUCUUCCUUUUCUUUCUUUUUCUUGAUUUCCAAAAAUAUUGCAAACAAUUCAUGACGUUAAAAAGCAUAUCAUGUUUGUAAAUUUUUAGGUGAAUCGUGCCCCUUUAUUUCAAAGAUUUGAGAAUCUCUCCAGCUUAGAUUCAAAAAAGAUUAUGAUGCACUCCAAUAUCUUGAUAGAAUUUAUUCGUGCCUAUUUUUAUCAAAUGAUAAGGAUCCUUCUUGUCAAAAUAAUAAUAAUAAUAACAAUAUCCCGAUCUACGAACUUCCAAUUGGGCAUCUACCUUGCUUCUCUAGACUUUUUUUUAAUGAAAAAAUCAUAAAAUAAUAAUAAUGAUCUCUAUUUGGUUUGAUUUUAUGCUAGUCCUAGGAUCCAAUCAAAUUAGUAAUAUAUUUUUAGACCUCUCUCAUUUUGAAUUAAGAUAUAUGUUUUAAACAAAAAAGCAAUUAAAAAUAAAAUUAUCAAUUUUGAAUGUUCAUUUCCAUAUUGUAUGUGAAUUUUUUUAUUAUAUUAGAACACCACUAAGUGUGGUAAGUAAUUUUUUGAAUCGCUUAAUUUUUAAAUAGUUAAAAUUUUCUAUCAGUUGAAAUCAAUAAUUAACAAUUUAAAGGUUUAAACAGUUAUGAAAGUGUUAUUUUUUAUUACACAUUUGGAAAUAUUAAAAAUUGAGAAAUUAUAUUAUUCUUAUUAUUACAUAGUAAUAUGGGUAAAAAUUCCACUAUUAGGACAGAAGCAUAAUAAAUUAACAGAAGGAAUUUUCAACAUUAAAAACUGAAAUUUAAAUCCUUUAAAUCAUUACACUUUUAAUGAUAAAUUUCAUAAUUAGGAAUUUAAAAAGUAAAGAAUGUGUAAUUUCGUUUGCAAAUAAAUAAAUAAGAAUUCUUAAUUUAAUUUUGUUUGGAUGGAAACCUAAUAUUAGAAUUCUCCAUAAGUAAUUAAUUUCUUAUCAUUCAAAAUGUAACUAAAAUUUUGAAAAAGUUAAGAAAGGUCAUCAUUUUACUUCUUAAUUGCAAAUAAACAGUAAAAAGGAAUUUUGUCGUUCUCCUAUAUAUGCACAAAACCUUAUUUAUUAGGACUCCAUGACCAAAGAAUUUUACUAAACUCUUAUUUUAAAUAAAUAGGAAAUAUUCUUAAUUAGUACAAGUAUUUAUUAUGAAAUUACAAUAAGAAACAAUCAUUUUUAAUUUAUAUAAUCAAAAUUUAGAACUUCUCAAAAGUUUAGAAAAUCUCAUUUCUUACUUUUAUUUAUAAAUAAAAGUAAGAAAAAGGGCUCCAAGAGAAUCUUAGUAUAUUCAUGGACACAUUAUUAACUCGAUUCUUCAUUCAAUUCUCAAAAUGGUAGGUACAUCUUUGUAUAGAUACGAGGAAUCUCUUUAUUUAGGGGAUAAAAUACUUUUUCUUUCAACGGUUGGAAUCAAAUCAUUUGAGAUGCAAGAAUAUUAUUGCUAAGAAACUUAGUACAUCAUAGUAUAUAAUAUAGAAUUACAUUAUCCUUUGGGUGCAGUUCGCAUACGGAUGCAUAUGUAACUGUAGAGGUAAGGUGCACCUUCAAACUUUAUCAUGGUAUUUAAUUUUGAUGUAAAAUGUUAUUAGGAUUAUCUCAAAACUUUUACAUCUAAUUAUAAAAUUUUAAAUUUCAAAAAUGGUUAAAAUCAAGUAAAUCUAUAAACAUAUGAAAAUCCUGAAAAUGGACGGUGUAGAUAAUAUGUUGUAAAACGUACUAUUUAUGAGACUUAAAAUCUUUUUAUUUUUCAUGGUCAUACAUCUCGAUGUCGAGAUGAUCAAUCAAAAAGUUUUUCAACAUUAAAACUACCUUUUCCGAUGGAUUUUUGAGGUGCAUCCGUAGUUCUAUAUGUUAUAAGGUUGCAUCCGUAUAUAAACUUUUUCCUCAUCCUUAAACUUUUGCAUUAUAGGUACUUUUAUUCUUGCAGUAACAUCCAUUUUCGUUUUAGACUUUUGACAUGAUAAUAAGCUUUUUACCCUUUAGAGAGAGAGAGAGCGAGAGAGGGGUUAUGGAUAAAUGAUAUAUAGGUGGAAAAAAAAAAAAAUAGGUAAUUUAGUGGAGAAGACGUGCCCUAUCCGUUUUUUCAAAGGAAAAUUGUUUGGUGCGUUCAAACCCGGACUUGGUACUAUGCGGACUUGGAGAUCUACACUGUUCACCAAAAUCGGGUCUCAUAAAUAAUAGUGCCCUAAAUAAAAAGUAAAAUCAACGGUUCAAAUAUUUUUCCAAAAAAUACCAAUUCUAAUUUUAAAAUUUAUUUAUUUUUACAGAUUAAUAAUCUCUAUGUUAAAGAUUAUAUAUUUUCUAAAAAUUAGGAUUAAAUUUUAUUUUAAAAAUAGAUUACUAAGAGGCUUGUAUUUUUACAUAUGAGUAAGUGGAGUUAUAGAAACCGUGUCCUUUUUCAAAUAGUGUAAGAGUUAGUUCUUUGAAAGUAUUAGUGGGGUGAUGUUAGUGGGAAUGGAUACGUGGAGGUGCUACCACCUCCGCCCUAGCCUUAGCCCUUGUCCUUUUUCGGAAGGAAUGGUAAUUGAUUAGAAAUAAAUUAAUGGUAAAUUUUAUUCCUAAACUCAACUUCAUGUCUAAACAUUUUACGUUUUCCAAGUACAAAAUCCUCAUCACGUUAACUAACUAAAAAAUUGCACGCCUUUGCACGACCAUUCUUCGUCAUCUCAUCGAAUACUAUUAAUUUAGUGAACAUGUAUACCAUGCUCCUAUAAGAGCAUAUACUGUACACCUGCUCCCUUGAUCACAAGUCUUACUUAUGAGGAUUUUUUCAAUAUAAAAUUUUAAGGAUCACUUAUUAUCAUUAGAUGAUUAUUUUCAAAAGAAAAAAAAUAAAUUUUUGAGUUUUCUAAUACUUAUAUAUUACCCUCCCAAAAUUUGGAGUUCUCUAUUCAAUCUCGAGAGAUUAUUUUUUCAUCUGUGUAGAGCAUGCAUCUUGGAUUAUUAUUUUUUUGUUAAUUGAUUUUAGUCUAUCGGUUGGAGAGGUAAUAUACCCAACAUUUAGGGUUUUAAAAUUACUCCUAAAUUGAGUUUUUCCCAAGGAAGUAAAUGGAUAGUAUAGUUUCUUGUACGCAUGAAACCAUUUGGCUAAUUCAGCAAGAUACAGCUUUUAAUCCACUAUCUAUUUUACUGAAUAAAACACUCAAAAUAUACUUUAUAAUAAUAUAUGUUAAAGCAAUUAAAGUAUUAAACCCCUAUAUCAUAAGCCAUUAUUAAUAAAAACGGAUAGAGGGCCUUCUCCCCCACUGAUUUACCCAAAAAAAAAAAAUGUCAUAAGCCAUUAAAGUAUUAAUCCCUAUCUCACACACCUUUAAGAACACACGUAAAACGUCCCUUAGUUAUAAGUCUGUCUCUUAUUUUAAUGUUUCAACUGACCGAAAUUUUUAUUCUACAAAAAAAUUAAAAUAAUGAUUAUUUACCAAUAUAUAGAAAGUUGUUUUUCUUAAAAAAGGAGGCGUUACUGGGGGGACCAUUUUUUAUUGACACUUUUAUUUUUGGUGAUAUAUUAUUAAUUUAUUGAAAUUGGAUAGUUUAGUGAAGUUUCCAACCUUAGACAAUUGCUCCAAAAUCAUGCUUUUUAGUUGCAAUCUAUUGUUGGAUAAGUUUGAUGGGAACCAAAAGGGAGGUUGCUUUUGCAGCCCGAGACGAUUUGAUUUUUCAUGAAAGAGUAAAAUAUAUAUACUCAAAUUAUUUUGUUGUCCAUUGACUCCCUCUACUCUUUGGAAGUCAUUAUAAAGCAAUGACACAUGAAUAAAAUUCUCCCAAAUUUCAACUAUGAUAUACUCGUUGUUGACUCUCUCUCUCUCUCUCUCAUUUUAUCCAUUUACAUGUGCUUACUUUUUAAGUUUGGCAAUGGGUCGGGCCUGGGCCUGAACAGCCUUGCCCUAGGCCUGACCCUUGUCCCCAUAGGGCCAACUCAGGCCCGGCCGAAUUGAGACAAAAAACAAAUGGAACAGAAAUAAAAAGAAAAACAAGGAAAAAAGAGGGCUGUGCCAGGCCAAACCGGGAUAGCACCGGCCAUAGCCCUACCCUUGGGCCAUAGUUUGUGACCCAGGCCUACUUUUUUUUGGGCCAAGCUGGGCCAGGACGCUUGGCCAAUUGCUAGCCCUACGUACUUUUAUGACCAUCCAUCUCCCUCUUUCUUACAUUUUUUCCAUUUGCGUGUUUUUAUAUUUUAUCUAUUUACGUAUCUACUUUUAUCAAAUUUUCACAAAGGCAGCCGAGUUACUUGGGCUCCGGCCCCUUGUCGAGUCUGAGUUGGGCGUCCAACUUGGAGAUAAUGAAAAAAAAAUCUAAAAAUAAAAAAACCUAAAAAGUAAAGAAUUUAUUUGGAAUUUUUUUUUUUUAUGUUUUAUAUUAUGUUGGUGAAGACUGGAAAGUGUUUUGACUAUAAAUGGUUAUUUUUAUAUUUAUUAUUAUUUUGAAAAUACCUAGGUACAAGUUAAUUUUUUAAAAUCUAUUUUUUUACUACUUUUUUAAUCUCAUUUUGAUGUGUUAGGCUUAAUCUUACUUUAAACAUAAAAUUCUUAUUUUUUAUAAUUUUGAACACGAUUUUUUUGUUGUUUCUGUACUCAGCACAAUUUGAGAAAUAACUCCAUCGGAGUACUCGGAUUGGGCACGGGCCAAGUAAUUAGCCCGACUGCGGGUGUCCAAAUCUGACUUUUAUGACUUCUCUCUCUCUCAUUUUAUCAUUUAUACAUGCCUACUUAGAUGACCAUCUUUCUCUCUCAUCCUUUUCCAUCAUCGCAUGUUUAACGGUACGUGUGCGCAUGUUGACGUGAAGUGCGAAAUAUAUGUUAUUUAUAUCAAAAUUGACCUUUUCACACCUAAAAACCUACUGCUUGCAUGCCUUGCCAUGGAAAUGUAUGUGAAGCGCUUUUAGGAAGUUAAUAAUCAUUAUGGCUGAGAAUUUAUUUGGUUUGGAUUUGAAACCUAAAUUUUAGUUGGUUUGGAUUUGAAACCUAAAUUUCAAACCCUAUUUGAAAUUGAGUAUGGAUUUAAGAUUUGGAUCAGUCAGAUCAAACUCAAAUCUAAAAUUUGGAUCCAAAUAGUAAUUUGGAUCCGAUUUAAGUGCAGGUAGAUUCGAUCUGAAUCCAACCCAAUUAUUAAAUUAUUAUAUAUAAUUAUAUAGAUAUACACAUGUUAUAUAAUAUUUUAGGUUAUAUAUUAUUCUAUUAAAAUACUAAAUACUAUAUAUAUUAUAUGGAAAAAAUUUAUAUAAGCAUCAAAAAUCCAUUGGAAAGGUUUUAAGUUGAAAAACCCUUUAAUUGAUCAUCUUGACAUCGAAAUGUAUAAAUAUAAAUGAAAAAAAAAAACGAAAUUGUGUCUUAGAAAUAGUACAUCUUGCUAUACAUUAUCUAAACCGUCCAUUUUCAAGAUUUUCAUAUGUUUAUAGAUCUACUUGAUUUUAACCAUUUUUGGAGUUUAAAAUUUUAUAAUUAGAGAUGAAAAUAUAUUUUAAGAUAAUCCUAAGAAUUUUUUACACCAAAAUUACAUGUUAUGAUAAAAUUUGGAGGUGCGUUUUAAUUGGAUUAUGUAAGGUUGCAACCUUACAAAAACCGCAUUAUGUGUGUGCGUGUAUAUAUAUAUAUAUAUAUAUGUGUGUGUGUGUGUGUGUGUGUGUGUGUGCGUGUGUGUGUGUGUAUGUGUGUGUGGAUUAAGCGAAAGUGAAUAGUGAUUUCGCCUACCCUCAUCACCGUCCAAAGUUCAUCACACGAUCACGAUUAUCCGGUAGUGUUAUAUUUUUCAUUUUUUUUUUACAAAGCGGAAUGACCUAAAAUUUGGAUCAUGUGUUCAUCAAAAAUACGUGACAAAAAAUAUUAAAAACAUAUUUUACAUGAAACAAAUUGACCAAAAUACCCCCAAAAUGUUUCAAGGGUAUUUUGAUCAAUUUAUUUUUUGUAAAUUAUUUUUUUUAUAUUUUUUAUUAGGUGCACCUCACUAAGAUGUACACACACCAAAUUUCAGAUUAUUUUUUAUUUGUAGAAAAAACAAUGAAAAACGAAACACUACCAGACAAUCGUGACAGUGCGAUGAACNNNNNNNNNNNNNNNNNNNNNNNNNNNNNNNNNNNNNNNNNNNNNNNNNNNNNNNNNNNNNNNNNNNNNNNNNNNNNNNNNNNNNNNNNNNNNNNNNNNNNNNNNNNNNNNNNNNNNNNNNNNNNNNNNNNNNNNNNNNNNNNNNNNNNNNNNNNNNNNNNNNNNNNNNNNNNNNNNNNNNNNNNNNNNNNNNNNNNNNNNNNNNNNNNNNNNNNNNNNNNNNNNNNNNNNNNNNNNNNNNNNNNNNNNNNNNNNNNNNNNNNNNNNNNNNNNNNNNNNNNNNNNNNNNNNNNNNNNNNNNNNNNNNNNNNNNNNNNNNNNNNNNNNNNNNNNNNNNNNNNNNNNNNNNNNNNNNNNNNNNNNNNNNNNNNNNNNNNNNNNNNNNNNNNNNNNNNNNNNNNNNCCCCCACUGCAUGUGUAUAGGACCCCAAAGGAUCACCAUUAAAUUUGGCACAGAUCUAUAGAAAAGUCACGUCCCACACCCAUGUGAUAACUUUUUUAGAGAUCCGUGCCAACUUUAAUGAUGAUCAUUUGGGGUCCUACACAUAUGGGUGAGGGAGGGUCCUAUAGAAUUAUUUACUUAUAUAUAUAUAUUGGAAUGAAUCUGACUGUUACAACUUCAUUUCGUAUUUGAAUUUUUCAUUUUUUUCUACAAUUCAAAAUCACUUGAAAUUUUAGAAGUUCAUUCUUCUCAUCAAGGCGUACUUAAUUAAAAUAUAAAAAUAAUAAUUCAUAAAAUAUAAAUUGACCAAAAUAGCCCCAAAGAUAAUUGACAUAAAAAUAUAAAAACUAAUCAUUUAUAAAAUAUAAAUUGACCAAAAUAGCCCCAAAGAUAUUUUGGUCAAUUUAUAUUUUGUAAAUUAUUUUUUUAUUUUUUUAUUAGAUUAUCCUACUUUUGAAAAAUAGACACUCAAAAUUUUAAGUGAUUUGGAUUUGUAUAAAUAAAAUGAAAAUUCAAAUACGAAAUGAGGUCGUGACCAUUGGAUUGGACACAAAUUCAAUGUGGGCCGUUGGCUGGUAGGAUCCUCUCUCUCUCCCCUAUAUAUAUAUAUAUAUAUAAGUCUAAUAAUUGGGUUAGAUCCGGAUCGGAUCCACUUGUAUAUUUUGGGUCUAUAUCUGACCCUAAUCCAAAUCUUGAAUCAAUACUCGGAUCCAGAUAGAUCCAAAAUUCAAAUUUCGAAUCCCUAAAUUUUCCCCAAGCCCCUUGCUAACACUGUGCCUCUCGACUACUGAUUUGGAGGCAGAGAUGCAAGCACAACCAAGCCAAUUGAACCAAUAAAAAGACAUAGAGGAGUGUGCCACUUUAGAGAGAGAAAGCAACUCAACCAAUCAAGAGAGACAAACAGAGCAAGUCUACCAAUCAAGAGAGAGAAAGAGGCUCAAAUCUACCAAUCAUGAGAUAGAGGAAGAGAGAGGAUGACCAGGUCUUCCAAUCAACACGGAAGUGCUAUGUGCAUACUAGAGAGAGAAAGAGGAGAGAGAGAGAAAGAGAGCAUAGCCACAAAUCGUGGGGCGUUGGAGGACCACGGGGGAGAAGUGGGCAUUUGAUGCCCUGCCAUUAAAGUCACCCGCCAAUGCACGUAGGGAUGAGUGCUUUUUUUAUUCCUAUGGUUGAGCACUGGGCUACAACCAUUACUUUCCUAUAACAUGGGAACAUCACAUCUUUUUCUUUUGCUUUACCAUCACAUGUUUUAAGAAAAUUAAAUUAUGGAAAAAAAAAGUGGUGCCAAAAUUUUAUCAAUAGUAGUCUUGGGAUUAGGCUUGUUGCAGCCAGAUGAACAACAAAAUAAGGUGCCCACAUGGGUUUUUAAUGUUCUUCAAAUAGAUUUAGUACUUGGAAUCAUAGUUGUCAAGGCUACACGAUCGGACUUUCGACCCGUGCUUUGGUCUAUCCAGUUCUAAGCAAAAACUAGGUUUGGUCAAGAACUAAUCAAAAAAUAAUGUUUGACUAGUUUUGACACAUCAUUCCCACCAGUUUUGAUAUGUUAUAUUGGUUGAACAAAGUUGGACGAUUUCUAUGUAUAACAUAUUUCACGAUUCAUAAAUGACUUAGGUUAAACAAAGUUUUGAUGUCAAAAAACUACGAUAAUUUGAAAAUCCAUGUUCAACCCUAAUUAUAGUAUUUAAAAUUUAAAAAAUGACGCAGAUCUAUAAAUAAUGUAAAAAUAUUGAAAAUAGGUAUUCUAGAUACAAGAAUCACUAUUUUUAGGACUUAAAUUUCUUCUAUUCUAUAUGUCCAUACAUCUAGAGGUUGAGAUUAAUUGAAAAGUUUUUCAACUUCAAAACACUCUCUCCUUGAUUUUUUAGGUGCACCUUACUUCUAAAGUAUAAGGUUACAACCGUAAAUAAACUCUUUCCUAUAAAUAAAUUCCCCAUAAGUGUUUAAUUGUGGUAUAAAUAUAUGAAAUAAAUAGGGAAAUUAUCACAAAUAUACCUUAAUUUUCGUCUAUUUAGAAAAAACAUUUAAUUUUCAUAAACCUUGUCCAUACUCUUUUUAUUCAAUUUUGACAUUUUUUUUACCAAAAUAACCUUCACGGUAGUCGUUUUCACAAAACUAAAAUGUUAUACGGCAUUUUAAGUAUUGUAAAAACUUACUCAUGUUUUACGGCAUUUUGAGUAUCCUAAAAACUCAUGUUUUACGACAUUUUGAGUAUGUAAAAACUAGCCCAUGUAAUACGGUAUUUUAAAUACCGUAAAAACUAACACAUGUAAUACGGUAUUUUAAGUACCGUAAAAAUUAAUCUAUGUUGUACUGGCACUGUAAACCUUUUUCUGUUGUUUAUAUUUAUCUCUUUCAUCCUAUUUAUAUUUAUCUUUUUUAUGUCUCUAAUUAUUUUUAUGUUUAUCUCUUCUUUCACUCUCUAAUUCUUUUUAAUAUUUAUCUCUUCUUUCUCUCUCUAAUUUUUUUUUAUCUCUUCCUCCUCUCUCUAAGUUUUUUCUAUCUCUAACUCUCUUUCUCUCUCCAAAGAGAUUUGUAUAACAACCUAUGUGUACCUUAUCAUCCCAUAUAAAAACUCCCUUCAACCCCAUCCCCUAGGAAAAUUAGUGUUUGUUGAGUUGAUGAAGUAAGUAGAGAAAGAAAGAGAGUGAGUAAGAAAAAAUAUUUAGAGAGAGAAAGAAAAAAAUAUUUAGAGAGAGAAAGAAGAGAUAAACAUAAAUUUUAUUUUAGAUAAAUGAAAAAGAUAAACAUGAACAGGAGAAAAGGGUUACGGCAUUUUGAGUGCCGUAUAACAUAGGUCAGUUUUUACGAUACUUAAAAUGUUGUAUAACAUGGGUUAGUUUUUAGUGUGCCUAUAAUAUGGAUUAGUUUUUAGGAUACUUGAAAUGCCGUAUAGCAUGGAUUAGUUUUUAAGAUACUUAAAAAUACCAUAUAACAUGGAUUAGUUUGUACGGUAAUUAAAGUUAUGUAAUUGGCUUCACGGUAAUAUGACUACCGUGAAGGUUAUUUUGGUGUGUUACCGUUGAGGUUAUUUUGGUCAAAAAAUGCACAAAAUUGACAAAAAAUAGUACGGGUGAGGUUUAUAAAAGUUGAACGAUUUUUCUAAAUAAAAAUUAAAGUAUAUUUGUAAUAAUUUCUCAAAUAAAUACAAUCAGAUCAGUUAUUUUUAAUAUAAGGAAGUCACAAUUACUAUUUAUGGGUAGAUUUAAACUCAUAUGGUCGAAAAUGCAAGGUACAAAACCCAAAAUAACAUCUAUAGAAUGUUGUAAGAUACUUAAGUUUUUGAAUUUCAAUUCUAAUGGCUAAAAGUAAUUGUGAACUUUUAGUGCUAAAAAGUAAAUUAUCUUUUACUGUACAAUCCGAUAGAGGCAUAUACCCAAUCAUCCAAGAAUUGAAUGAAUAGGCUUAUGCCCUGAUCACCAAAGGGCUGCGCCGUUGCACUUACAAGUAGUUAUGUUCUGCCCCAUCCAACAUAGGGCUUGCAAAAUCUUCAAUACUAUGAGCUAAUAAUUUCCCAAUGACCGUUACAGUGCAACUGCAUAUAAUAUAUGUGAGUCUACUUGUAGUCAUUUUGAUUCUCUCAGGUUCUUUGGGGGUGGUAUCUCUUGAAUGGCUGUGAUCUUCACGGAAUUAAUUUCAAUGCUCCAUGUUAAAUAAUGGGCCAUAAGAACUUCGCUCAUGAGACUCCAAAUACAAACACGAAGGGAUUCAUCUUCAACUGAUGGGCAUGGAAUUUCUUGAUGGUAAUAUGAAGAUAUACAUGGUGCUCCACAAUAUUAUAUAGGCUGUCAUCUAAGAUUCAUCAUCAUCGUCAAAUCCUUGUCCCAACUAAUUAGGGUUAUCUAUCAUUACAGUCAUUGCUCAUUGUAAUGUCGUUCCUGUAUUCUUAAGCCAAAGCCAAAUGACAUUACUGUGUAACAGAGAUGCCAUUAUGUAUGCAUAAUUUGACCUUUUUUACUUGAUUAUAUAAUGAGUAUCCAUAAUCAAUCAAUAUUUAGUUGUUAAGGAGGGAAAUUAUCGUUUAAAUGUGCGGUAUUCAGUCGUGAAAGUCAAUACAAACUCGACUCUAUUUUUCUUUUUCUUUAUUUAAAUUGACAGAGUAUCGACAAGUUUGACAGUUUCAACUUCUGCCCAAGCCAUGAAUUCCGGGUAAUUGCCUUCAUUGUGAGGAUCGACAACCAUGUUAUGAGUGGCUAGGAUCUCUUUAUAUGCCCAUUGAGGAUACCGCAGCACCACUCCUCCCAAAAAAAUGUGGAGCACUCCUCAUUAUCAAAUAGGGAAGUGCUACAAUAUUAGGAAGUAACGGUUUCCAAUACCGCCCACCUCCAAAAAUCAAACACACCCUACAUAAUCAUGAUCCUGGCUCACGUGCUGCACAGCUUCUGGCACACGGGUGAUAUGUUUUCCAGCAAUUAGAAUCUGCAGAUGAUUUCACAUGAAACAAAAGAGGCCUCUCUUCCUAGCAUACCAAGUGGGUCUAAUCUCCAACCUAUGAUCCAUAACGUAUGAAAGGACUGCUCUUAGUAGAAUUGUAAAGGCAUUCCUAGGAAAGUCAGUGGGAGAGGUGGCAACAAGUCGGGAGCACCCGGACCCGGACCAGGAUCCGAAGUUAUUGGACCCGGACUGAGCCUAGGUCUAAUCUCCAACCUAUGAUCCAUAACAUAUGAAAGGACUUCUCUUAGUAGAAUUGUAAAGGCAUUCCUAAGAAAGUCAGUGGGAGAGGUGGCAACAAGUCGGGAGCACCGAGACGUAGACCAGGAUUUGAAGUUAUUGGACCCGGAUAGAGCCUGUAUCUGAUUGGACCAGACCCAAAAAUAAAACUAUAUUUUAUAUAUAUAUAUAUAUAUAUAUAUGUAUAUACAUGCGUUAUUUAAAUAUUAUAACUAAAAUAUAUAGUUAUAUUUAAUAAAUAAUAUUAAGAUAUUAUAUAUUAAAUAUUAUUUAUAUAAUAACACUAUUCGGGUCGGGUCCCAGUCGAGUCCACAUGUAGUGUUUGGUCCAAUAUUUGGACCUAGACCUGACCCACCAAGUCCAAUUCUUGGACCCAUUCUCAGGACAGUAGGUCGUAGGUGCAGGUCCAUUACCACCCCUAGACAGUUGCAGUUGAAAGUUUUCGUCCCUUAGUAAAAACUAUUUGGGUCUUGCAAAGUUUUUUCUCUUAUUCUCCAAGCCUUCAAUCUUCGAUCUUUGCCUUCUCUUAAGUGAGACAACAUUCACCAAGUGGGCAUUAACCAACUUAGCCUUAGCCUUAACUAUGAAUGGGGGAGGAAACCCCAAUUCUUCAAUAUUAGAGUGUCUUCCUUUUUUUAAAAUCAUUAAUAUGGUACCUUCUUCCAACAUUUUCUUUGGCUUGAAGGGAGCUAUCAGUCCUCUUCCAUUCGCCAUGCCUUCCUUCUUCAAGAUAUCAUAGUUCAUAUCGUGCAUAAUGCAAUUAGCCUUGCAACUAUAACAGUGUCAUUCAUGAUUAAACUGAAAAGAAUAGAAAUUACAUUUGAAUUGUAAUUGUGCUUGGGCUUGAGUGGUUAGUUAUUUAUGAUUGGAAUACUACGUCUUGAGUUCGAUUCCUAUUUCUGCACUACCAAAAAAAAAAUGACAUUCACGUUUCAAGUUGCCGCCUUUGAGAUGAUUAACAUUGUGUAUGUUUCAAGAGCUCGAAAAGCUUCACUUUUGGGAAUGGAGAGCCACAUUUUAUUUUUAGAGGUCUUUUUUCUUGCAAGGGAGUUUUUGGUAGUUGUUUGUAAGUAAUUGGGGUUACCAAAAAUAAGUUCCCCGUGGAUAUUGCUUGCUUGGGGUGGCAAUUGGGUACGCAUGUCGGAUCUACGCAUAAGUAUUAGACCAAAUGGGUCUGGUCUAGAUUCGAAUAUCCUAGAUUUUAUUGGAUUAGAUUGGGUCCAAGUCAUAGUCAAACCGACCCGACGUAAACCUAACCCAACCCAAUAGUUAUGUAAAAUAUAUGUGUAUGUAAUUAAAUACGUUUUUCUUUUAUCUAUACCCGGAUCCAACCUUGUGGAUCACGUCUACAUCUAGCUAGGACCUAAUUGGUUGGGGUUGACCAGACCCGAACCAACCCAACCCAUGAACACCCUGUGGAGCAGGAUCGGAUGUUUAAAAUCGUUAAAUGGGUGGAAAGAAAGAUGAUGCUAUUCUUAAAAGUUUGUGCAUCCAAACAUGGCCGCUAUUUCAAAAGAGUUGUCACGUGAUUUACUAGUGGUUUAUAGCGGGAUGUUAAUUAUUUUGGUUAAAUCGCCACUUUUUGAAACUUUUGAAGUCUACGAGGGAUUCAAAAAACUUUUGAACGUUCCUAAAUUUCAAAAACAACAAAAUGAAAAAUAUUUUUUGAAGAUGUCCAAAUCUAUUGCCACGAGUGAUCGAAAAAUGGAACCAGCCUCGGAAACCAGCCAACGGCUACGUCUGAGUAAUCAAUAAACCGGCCGGUUCCCAACCUAAUCGGGCAGGUCCUAGCCGGUCCAAAAAGUGUUAAAAAAAAUAAAAAAAUUGUUUUUGGACAAAAGGCAGUUUCAUAGCCCAAAAAUCAAACUGGCCUUAAAAAUUGAUUUGUGCCCAAAUAUAUUUAUGAAAUUUUCUAAAAAAGAUGGGAAAAUGUAAAAAUAAAUAUUCAUUGCCAAAACACUAUCCAAUCUUUGCUAAAAUGAUAAAAAAAAAAUCCAAAAACACAUAACAAACAAAUCCCUUCGUUUUUUGAGAUUUCUUUUAAAAUAUUCAGCCCACCAAAACCGGAUUGGCCAGUGCUCGGUUCCAGUUAGACCGGUUGGUUUCAAGUUGGACCGGCCAACACUGAUUGCCUCUUUUCAAAAUCACAUAUGGUAUUCAUUCAUGUUGGUCGUUGAUUGAGUUGACACUAGAACUAUAAUUGAAGCUAUUUUGGGCUCCAAAUCAAUUUUUUCUUUGGAGAAGCCAUUCCAUAAUCAAUCUCUUCGAAAAUGAAAAUUCAUUUAGAAUUCGAGGUUCAAAUUAGUAAGAACAAUAUCUUUUACUAUCCCUGUGGGAACAUCAAAAGUUCUCUUGAAACCUGUAAUACUUGAUGGAAUAUUUAAUGAAAUCUAAAUAAAAUUGGAUCGAAUGGGCUUGAGAAAAUUUUGCAUUUAGAAUUUAAGCAAUCGAUAUGGAAAGCUUACUGCUUGUUUGGCUGUUUAGGAGUUUGCAUCAGUUUUAACCGAAAAGCGACCAAAACGUACAUGGGGCGCAUUUUGCGGCGACAUCCAAACAAGCCAUUAUCUUGAAAUAGAAAUAUGUGGAAGAGUUCACGUUCAAUGGCAGCACUCAAGUUUUCUACAAUGUGAUCACAUCACCUCAGACCUCAGAUAUCAAUAAACGAUCCUAAAAACUUUAGUGCUCUCAAUGAGCACAUUUUCCACAUGGAAUUUCUAUUGACAAUGAUAAUCCUACUUGUGCAUAAGUGCCUUGAAGAUAAUUGGCAUGGGAUGGGCCAAGCUGAGGCUAGUUCAGUAUGACCUAACCCUUUUUUUUAUUUUUUUUUAAUUGUAUUUUCCUUAGUCCCGACAAAGCCAGGUCGGCUCUAUAGGGACAAGGGCCAAGCAACGGCUAGCCUAGCUCAGACCUGGCCCGCUGCCAUUCCUAUGCAUGAGUGCCCCCAUAUAAGCAUGUAAAAUGUCUGUUUGGUCACAAAUUUAUUGAUACAUGAGGUCACGUUUAGGCCUAGAGGUUUAAGAGCUCAAAAUGAUAUUCCCUGAUAGAACUGGCCGGCCUAGUUCUUGACGGGAACCGAUCGGUUUCUUUAUUUGGUAGGAACCAAACAGUUCUCCCAAUCCGGAUAGAGCAAUUAUGAUCCAAAUUUUUUUAAAAAACCCUGGUUGCAAUUGAGGAAACGCUUUAGUGGAGAUUUUUGGAAAGCCUUAUGGAUCUUCUAAACUAGUAUGCCUCUCGAAAUGUUUCAAAAUAAAAUCCUACCAAAUAUGAGAAAAAUACUUUCUACCUCUUUGUUUCCAUUGUACAAAAGCGAUAACCUCUCAAAUUUCAUAAGAAUUUCAAAACGGAUAAAAAAUUACAAGAAUAAAAACAUGUAGAAUCGGUUUUGAGGGGGACAAUUAUUAUUACAUCACGUAGUUUUUUUAUUCAAAUAGGAAAAAAUAGUAGAAGAAGAGUUGAAUUUUGACUAUGAGAAAAGGGUUGACGUAUAUGGUCUUUUUCUCAAAAAGAUUGGGAUCUUGUUUUAGAUUUAAAUUAAAUUAAAGUAGUAACUUAAUGCACCAUCUUAACGUAAAAUGGAAAAAUGCCCUUGUUCUUAAUUUUUAAUAGGGAAAAUUUCAUAUAGAAUCUCAAUUUCUCAUCUUAUUUCAUGGUAGACUUUCCUUCCAUUUUUCUUUCAAGCAGCAUAAAGAAACCCCUAAAGAUUUCACUGCAUCCCUCUCUUAAUUGACUUUUGACUAUAAAAAUUAGCCCCCAAUAAAUUUUUUUAUAUCAUUUCAACUCAAAAACUUUUUAACCCUCUUUUUCCCUUUUCACCAAUUAAAAACUUUUUUGGGUUAAAAUGAUAUAAAAGAUUUUUUGGGGUAAAUUUUUAUGAUCAAAUUUCAAUAAAAGAGGGAGAUAAGAAAUGAUGGGGCAUGGUGAAAUUUCCUUAAACAGCAUGAAAGAAAAAGAGAAAGAGGGUCUACCAUAAAAUAAUAUGAGGAAUUAGGGUUCUAUAUGAAAUUUUCCAUUUUUAAUAUGGGGUGAGCUCGUAUACUAUUCAAGUAAGGCUCAUCUCAAAACUAUAUCGAUGCAGUUUUGGUAUCGGAAAAACUUGUAAAUGCAUAAAAAUAUAUUGUCACCUCUAAUAAUGAAAUUUAAAGUUCCAAAACUAAUGCAAAUUGAGCAAAUAUAUAUACUAUUAAGUUUUUUUUUAAAUAGACUGUCUAGAUAAUGCGUUACAAGAUGCAUUACUUUCAUGACUUUAAAAAAAAUUAAAUCCCACAUUCAUACAUCUUGAUGUUGAGAUGAUCAAUUUGAAGAUGUUUUUCAACAUUUUAACAACUUAUUUUUUUUUAUGAAAUUUUGAGUUGCGCCUUACUUCAAUAGUAUAAGGUUAACACCUCAUAUAAACUUUUACCUUUAGGAAGCAUAAAAUCCCCCAAAUUUUAAAAUUGAUACCCUCUGUUUUAACCAUGGUUUACCAAAACUACUUUAUUAAAAAGGGAAAAUAUCUCUAUAUCCCCUAUUUUAAGUUUCAUUUAUUGAUAUACCCAUAGUUUCAAUAUCUUCUAACCCUCUAGCCACUUUAAACUAAUUUUUUAACCUAAACAAAUGUGAGAAAGACAUGUUAUUUUUAAACCCAAUCAUUUCUCUCUCUUCACUUAUAUACUCUAAACUUCUCUCAUUCUCUCUCUUCCUACAUCUCUCUCACUCUCUCUCUUCCUACAUCUCUCUCACUCUCUCUCUUCUCCCAUAUUUCUCCAAACACCUCUCUCUCUCUUCCCGAUAGCCUCUCACCUCCAUGAAGCCUUUCUCUCCCUCUAAAAGUUUGGAAAGAUAGCUUUUAGAAAAGAUGUCUUUUUAGAUUUGUUUGACCUAAAAAAAUAGGUUUAAAUUAGCUUAAGGGAUUAGAAGAAGUAAAAUUUACAAUUUUUAUUCCCCAAGAUAUCUUUUAAAACCUUGGGUCUAUUGUGAAAUGAAAUUUAAAAAUAGGAAGUAUGAAGAUAUUUUCCCUAUUAAAAAAAUGGUCCUGCUUUUUAAAUCGUUUAUAAGGUUUGAUUCCCAUCAAGAAACUUGAAUUGUUGAAAGAAAAAAAAAUUUAUUCAAACUAUAUAGUUUUUAAAAGCAAAAGCAUUUAAAGAGACCAUUUACCUUAGGUAUAUCAAGGGCGCAAUCAACUUUGGCCAUUUGAUACAAAAUCAGGCGGUUAGGGGCGUCCCAUUGACUGAGCUCAUUGAUUGAUUCUAAAAAGAAAAUUUUUUGAAAAUUUGUAAUACACGACAAGUUGACACAUUUAUCGUAUUAUUGCUAUGAAUGAUUAUGACAUUGUAACAAAAAUAAAUGGUGACCCUUAAAGACUCAUUAGAGAACUAUACAAGUUUUCUUAAAGUUUUUAUUUUUUUUCAGUUUUGAGGUGGGUCGGCCAUGUGUUGCACAUACUUAAUAGAAUACAACACAUGUUAAAACAUGCCAUUUGGUUCGAGUGGAAGGCUUAAAAAUGGCAAGGGGAAUGUCCAAAAAGGACAUGAAUGGAAGUAGUAAGAAAAGUUAUAGAGACUUACGGUCUUACUGAGGGUAUGACUCUUGAUAAAACAAGAUUCGUAAAGCCAAUCCCAAAUAAUUGGGAUAAGGCUUUCAUGAUGUUGAUGAUCUGAAGACUCAUUUGGACAUGGAUCACUUUGAGCAACAUAAGAUACUAAUAUUAAUACUGGUAUUUUAAAACUUGUAUCGGUGGAGCGAAUCAUUUGAUCGGUGAUCUAGAUUGGGUAUAGAUCGAUCCAAAUCAAUGAUUGAAAAAAUAUUAAAAAUAAAGAAAAUAAAAUACAAUUAUAAUAGGGUUUAUAGGGCGAGGAUUUAGAGAGGAUCUAAAAAAACAUUAGAUAUGCUUUUAAAAAAAAAAAAUACAAUUUUUUUUUUCUAUUUUUUUUCUUUUUGGGUGGGGGAGAGGUGUGUGUUUAGGGGGGAACCAGCUAACAUGCGUACUAUCUCAGAAAUGGUUUGGUCCCCAUCAAUUCGCAUCGAUAAAAAAUGGCAGGGCUUUAAAACACUAAUUUAUACAUUAGUUGAUCACUUGCAUCAUGUACCGGAAUUCUUUAAUUUUCGUUAGAGUUAAUGGAAUCCAGCAUCCUUCACUUAUGUAAGUACACAUGUUUACAAUCAAUGAUGUUUUGGCUCUUCGUUUUCUACUACUUGAAUUACUUACUCAGGAAAGCCUUGCGCAAUGCGGCGAAACUGAAUAGUAUUUUUGCCUAUAAGCUUGCUACCGUCCGAAUUUUUUUUGGACAGUGGGGAAAAAUCGACUAUCACAGACCUAAUAUAUCUGUCGCAAUACUGUCAGGGAUAUAAUAGGUCUGUAACAGACAUAGUAGGUCCGUAGCGGUCGAUUUUUCACGUUAAACCACAACAGACGUAUUAUGUCUGGUGAAACUACUAUUCACUUCGUCUAUGGGCAUUAGAAAUUGUUUUUCAAUUACUUAUUUUACUCUUGUUACUAAUUAUAUUCUAACUGUUACAAAGUUGAUCACUGAGGAUAUCCAUUUGGAGAGGUAUUACCGUGUAUGAAAUCGGUUGUCAGAAAAGAGUGUUUGGUGAUGUUAUUUCUACUUAAUUUAUUCACUUUUAUGGAGACAAGACAUGAUCCCCUCCUACCUCCAUCUUUUAAAUCUAGUAGAUGCAUGUUCUCCCCCGUCCUCAUGUUUUGAUAGUGGGAGUCCUAAAGAUUGUGGUCGAGGAAAGAUUGAAAAGUCAUUUUCAUGGCCCACAUUUGACACAAUGGUUACAUCUUCAUUAUGAUUUCUUAUCAUUUAACGAAAACUAAUUAGCUUUUGUAUCAUGAGAAGAGAAGCUUUGUUUAGGUUGAAGUUUCUUUGAGGCAGUAUGUGAUCCAUUUGAAAUAAUGUUAUCAUGCAUAUAUCAUAAAAUCGUUUUUUUAUAUAAACUUGUAAAUUACAAGGAAAAGUAUUUGGUGAGUCGGCCAACCCAUGUGUCUGCUCUAGUUUUUUUAGGGUUUUAGAACCUGAAACAUAUUUCAAAAUACUACAAAUUUGUUUCCAUUAUAGCAUUGCAUAUUUUAUGAUCUUUGAAUGAUUGAAAUAAAUGGUAUGAAAAAGAGCGUACAAGUUGAAUCAUUUUAAAGGAAAAAGUUUAUAUAAAGAUGUUGUUAGGUUUAUGUGGCCAUUAAAGACCUUAUGAGUGCUUGUAAGAUGAAAUGAUAUAGUGGAAUAUAAACUCAGUGGGAAUGUGAUUCCUCGUGGACUAUACUAAAUAAAUGAUGUUUGCUGAUACCGAUCUGUACUUGACGAUUUAGGCCAGUUGGUUGGGAAAAACCCAUAUUACCUGGGCAUAAAGAACAAAUCGAGAAUGGUUCUAAUGGGUUAGCCCUUGAUGAAGUCGGAGCAUAUGCCCAAAUGAGUGAGCCGAGGGACUGUAUGACCCUUGUGUGUGAUGGUGGCCUACAAAGACGGGGACCAAAGCCUCAUCCAUGUGUCAUCACACGGCAUGCAUAUCAAUAGAUUGUUCGGAAAAAUCAGAAAUCCAUCUUUUAGAGUGAAGCAUAUAUAUGUGCGAGAGAUACCCCUAUGCGCCAUUGAGUUAUGGUUGUAUCAGGUCUCGAUGACUUUUACUCGUCUCUAUGGGAAGACCUGUAAUCCACGGAUUGGGAUUGCGACCCUUUGGCUCAUCGGCCAGACUUUGGAGACACACUAAUGAGCCCUUGCUUGGACUGUGGGUCAUGAAAAACACUGGGUCGGUCUGAUAAAGCAAGUGUGGUUUGUAGUCCACAGUUGAAGGUGGAGUGCCCCAUGAUUUUUUAUUCAAUUUUUAAACCAUAUGGAUCAUUUUCGCAUCAGAUUAAUUUAAUUGUAUCUGUUUUAUGAUAAUAAUUAUUUUAGAAUUAUUAUUUGAAUUUUUAUGAACCACUGGGUAUUAUUUUUUGGAUUUAUAAAAUUAAAUAUAUUAAUUUUACAUUUGUAUAAAUAUUCAAAUAAAUACCAAAAAUUAUUUUAUUAAUUUUAAUGCAUAAAAACAUCAUGGAGGCCCAUUGUGCACAUGGGCCCACCAUGUUUCUAGAAGGUGGAGUCCAUAUGUACGUCUUAUGGGUGGCACACCCCACCCCUUGAAUUCUUUUUAUUAAGUUUUGGUAAUGUUGAAUUGUCACAUGUAGUCAAAUAUGACUUGGACCAUAUGUUGGCUUAAUAUGGAAGUGCAUAUUGACUUAAUAUAUCUUUGAUAGAUUUUAUGGAAAAUAUGAGUAGUAAUGUGCUAUAUUAUGGAAUGCACAAUAUUUAAUUAAGAUUAAUUUGACUUAUUUUUUAAUGGAUAAAUGGUUUAGGAAAGGGAGAUAAGGUACAUGCACUUUCUAUAAUGUUGAUGGCCCAUCUAUAGAAUGGAUGGCUCAGAUCUCUCACCCCACAAGUCACCCUUGAUCGACGGUCCAUGUUCAAUCUCACAAGAAGAGGCAAGCCAAGGAAAACCCUGAGAAACCAUAAUCUUGAUCAAGCCUAUAAAAAAAUAGAUUGUCUCUAUCCAAAAUCUCUACACCUUAUUUUCCUAUCUCUCUCUCUUAAGAAAUUUUUUCUCUCUCAUGUUUGAUCUCUCUUUCCUAUAUUGUAAAAAGGGGCUCAGGGUCUAGGCUAUGGAUUUCUUCUCUCUCUCAUCUCUCAACUAUGGAUUUAUGGCUCGGGGUUUUAGGGUUAGCAAAAGAAGAAUCAAUCUCUUUCGAACUAGGUUGUUAAGGGAAUUCACAUAAGGUUUGAGUUUGUGAUCAAAUGGGUUCAUGUUCCAUUGGUGUGGUUUGGCCGAAAUUUGUUUUUCUGGUUCGAGAUUGAAGCUAGACCGUUGAUCCCGCACCAUCGGAUGACGGUGACUCGGUGUGAGGUAUAAUAAGUCCGGUUAAGGUAAUCUUUGACACCUUUCCCUUCUAUUUUUUGCAAUCUUGCAUUUUAUUCUCAAGCAUAGUGCAUAGUUAUAUCAAUGGCAUCAAGUUUUAAAAUCAUGGUUUUAUUGUUAUAUUGAUUUUAUUUUGAAGUAUAUGUUGUAGUAAUAAGACCACCUGUAAAUGAUUUUUUACCAAAACAAAAAGGGUAAAAUUAAAAAAAAAAAUGUAUUAUUCCUCGUUAAAAGAUCGCAUAGGCUUUCUUUCAGAUGCAACCUUAUAAUGUAGAACUACGGAUGCACCUCAAAAAUUCAUCGAAAAAUGUAGUUUUAAUGUUGAAAAACCCUUUGAUUGAUCAUCCCGACAUCAAAAUGUAUGACCAUGAAAAAUAAGAAGAUUUUAAGUCUCAGAAGUAAUGCAUUUUACAACAUAUUAUCUACACCAUCCAUUUUCAAUAUUUCAUAUGUUUAUAGAUCUACCUGAUUUUAACUAUUUUUGAAAUUUAAAAUUUUAUAAUUAGAUAUAAAAAUAGAUUUUGAGAUAAUACUAAGAACAUUUUACAUCAAAAUUAUAUAUCAUGAUAGAAUUUGAAGGUGCACCUUACCUCUACAACUAUGGAUGCAUAUGUAUGCCAACUGCACCCCAUUUUAAAUGCGUGAAUUUUUUUUUUUUUUCAUACUUAUGAUCAUGGUGGUUGAGAUGAUACACAUGUUAUAUCUUUGGAUUUAAAAUCCAUGUCGAAGAUAGAUUUUGGAUGGGUAGAGUUGAGACUCAUUGUAACAUGAUUUCCUAAAUAAAUAAAAAUGAACAUUGAAAACUUUCUUUCUCACCUUGGAUUGGGGAAUUCCACCCAAGUUUCAAGAUUCUUUCAUAUUUUUUUUUAAAUAAGGUUUACCAAUUUCUUCUAAAGUUGCCCUUAAAAGUAGUGGCCAAACUAUCAGUUAAAUAUCCUAGUUAUUUUAUAAUUAUUCAACUGGUGGAAUCAUUCCAUUUAACAUUAUAAUAAUUAAUUUUUAAGUCUCGUAUAAUAUAUAUAUAUNNNNNNNNNNNNNNNNNNNNNNNNNNNNNNNNNNNNNNNNNNNNNNNNNNNNNNNNNNNNNNNNNNNNNNNNNNNNNNNNNNNNNNNNNNNNNNNNNNNNNNNNNNNNNNNNNNNNNNNNNNNNNNNNNNNNNNNNNNNNNNNNNNNNNNNNNNNNNNNNNNNNNNNNNNNNNNNNNNNNNNNNNNNNNNNNNNNNNNNNNNNNNNNNNNNNNNNNNNNNNNNNNNNNNNNNNNNNNNNNNNNNNNNNNNNNNNNNNNNNNNNNNNNNNNNNNNNNNNNNNNNNNNNNNNNNNNNNNNNNNNNNNNNNNNNNNNNNNNNNNNNNNNNNNNNNNNNNNNNNNNNNNNNNNNNNNNNNNNNNNNNNNNNNNNNNNNNNNNNNNNNNNNNNNNNNNNNNNNNNNNNNNNNNNNNNNNNNNNNNNNNNNNNNNNNNNNNNNNNNNNNNNNNNNNNNNNNNNNNNNNNNNNNNNNNNNNNNNNNNNNNNNNNNNNNNNNNNNNNNNNNNNNNNNNNNNNNNNNNNNNNNNNNNNNNNNNNNNNNNNNNNNNNNNNNNNNNNNNNNNNNNNNNNNNNNNNNNNNNNNNNNNNNNNNNNNNNNNNNNNNNNNNNNNNNNNNNNNNNNNNNNNNNNNNNNNNNNNNNNNNNNNNNNNNNNNNNNNNNNNNNNNNNNNNNNNNNNNNNNNNNNNNNNNNNNNNNNNNNNNNNNNNNNNNNNNNNNNNNNNNNNNNNNNNNNNNNNNNNNNNNNNNNNNNNNNNNNNNNNNNNNNNNNNNNNNNNNNNNNNNNNNNNNNNNNNNNNNNNNNNNNNNNNNNNNNNNNNNNNNNNUGAAGGUCACCAACAUUCCCACGCAUUUAUCUUUAGCCUCAUUGUCUCAUUUUACUCAAACACUUUUGCAAAAAAAUAUGUUUAAAAAUGACUUGAUCAGGCCAAUUUUGGAUUCAAAAUCCUGAACAAAUUAAGAUAUAUUGGUAGUUUAGUCUCACAUAAGUGACUGGAGUUCAAUGAUGAUGACACCCUCAGAUGUUCAGGUCAACGACACAAAUAUGUGAAAUAUCAGUAAUACUUUUGUUAUUUGAGCUUAGCAACACAAAAUUCGUAUUUUUCAUUGUAAACGCUUUUGCCGAAUUGCUAAUUCUGAACAAUCAAGAGAAUUUCAUUUGACUUAGGCCAUUUAUACGGAUAAAAUUUAUUGAAAUGUCCCCUACUCGUUCGUACUUUUCAAUACUGGACAAGACAAUUUAAUUAUUUUUAAGCAUAUUUUUUAAGGAGGUGCUUAGUCAAAUGAAGCUUAGAAAAAUAGCCAUCCUAAUCUUAAUUUUCAAUGGGAUUUGACAGCCAUAAUAAUUUUGUAUGGCAAUUUGAUCAUUUAGUUAAUAUUAUCUCAAAGUAACGAUUUAAAAAAAAAAAAAAACCUAUUGACACCAUGCCCAAUCCUUUUCUAAGACUUUGUUUGUAUCUUAUCCUAACAUCUCUCUCCCCACUUCAAGUUUAGAUGAAAACAAAGGCUAUUGCAAUUGAUUAGUGGACCUUUUUAGAAAGUGACUCUCAGUAUUCACACAGAAUUGAAGAGGUUAAGCCGAGAUUGACGGGUCCUCGAGUCAAAACUUGCGGCCGCGAAUUGGAUUUGCGAUGUGGGAGGAUAUAUAAAGGCUACUGUUCCUAUGAGUUCCCCUUUUCAUAUCCAGAAAGAGCAAUGAUAUUAGGAGACCCUCUCACACUCAUGUGUGUAGGACUUUAAAGGAUCACCAUUAAAUUUAGUACAAAUAUCUAAAAAAGUUAUGACAUGGGUAUGGGACUUGGCUUUUUUAGAAAUCGUUGCCAAAUUCAAAGGUAAUCCUUUAUGAUCCUCCGCAGGUCUCAUAGAAUCAUUACUCAUCUAAAAAUACUUUCCUCUUGAUAAUUUAUUUUUGAAAUAGAUUUUAAACCCAAGUUUUUAGGAAUAUACGAUUUCUAAUGGAGAUCAUUAAUAUGUACAAUAAAUAAAUCCGAAAUUUAAAAAUAAUCAUUUAUGAAGAAAAUAUUUCAGCCAUCAUUUUCAAUAUUUUCUCGAGGGACCCACUAUUUACAUAAAUAUUUAUGAUGGAUGGUUUACGCGUGGGGGAAGACAAAUGUAUGAAUGUGUUCCCAAAUGCAUAAAACACUUUUUCACCGAUAAAUACACCAAGUUGAAAAUAAAAAUAAUUAUUGUUAAGGAUUGUAUUUGAAAAAUAUGUAAAAUGUUAAUACAAUCUUGAGACUCGGAUAGCAUUGUCUCAAACAAUGGUGACAUUUUGGCAUUGACGAAACCAAAUGAGGUAGAAGUCAAAAUUUUCCUUUAUAUUUUCUUUUUAAAGUUAGGGAAGGUAAAUACAAGUAUAUAAAAUAAGGGUGCAGUUGGGAUACAGAUGCAUCCGUAGCUGUAGAGGUAAGGUGCACUUUCAAAUUUUAUCAUAGCAUAUAAUUUUGAUGUAAAAUAUUACUAAGAUUAUCUCAAAAACUAUUUUUAUACCUAAUUAUAAAAUUUUAAAUUUAAAAAAUAGUUAAAAUCAAGUAGAUAUAUAAACCUGUGAAAAUCUUGAAAAUGGACGGUGUAGAUAAUAUAUUGUAAAAUGCACUAUUUCUGAGACUUAAAAUAUUUUUAUUUUUCAUAGUCAUAUAUCUCGAUGUCGAGAUGAUCAAUCAAAGGGUUUUUCAACAUUAAAACUAGCUUUUCCGAUGGAUUUUUAAGGUGCAUCCGUAGCUAUUGAGGUAAAGUUGCAACGUUAUAUAAAUUUUUUCCAUAAAAUAAAUGUAAAGCCAAAAGAUUUCAUGCUCUUGCUAGAACUCAAUGAGGGAGUAUCUUUAGGACCACAAAUUUUGCUGAUGUGACAUUUUCAUAUUAUAGAUUAAUCUCAAUAAAAAUUUCCAAAUCACACUCUCUAUGGGCUGGAAAAAUAAUGUUUCAAUAUAAAUUAGAAAAAAUUACAAAACAACACCUUAAAAUGGACUAUCUAUGCAACUUACCCCACCCCAAUUUUUCUCUCACUUUUUUCCCCAAACAACAUUUUUUUGCAAAUAACCCCCCCAACCCAAAAGUAUCAUGAAAUAAGACUAAACUACCCUUGUUUGUUUUCACACGGCAUUGUCUCUCUUGUUUUCACAUGCGCUCUGACAGUACAAACACUCGCUCUGGCAUUUUGAAUGUUCGCUCCGGCAAUACAGGUCUGAGCCGCAGCACUCCGGCAUUAUGAGAACUUGCUCUGGUAGUGCAAAGACACGCUCCAGCAUUCCGCUCGGGCAAUGAAGGCUCUGGAGCCACAACGCUCCGGCAAUGGAGGACCGCACUCCGACAGUAUAAACAAGCACUCUGGCAUUCUAAAUGUACGCUCCGACAAUGCAGGUCUAAGCCACAGCGCUUCGGCAUUGUGAGAAUGCAUUUCAGCAGUGCAAAGACGCGCUCCGGCAGUACGCUACUUGGGACCCUCGAAUUGUUUUGGUUUGUACGGGAAGGACAUUUCCAUCCAAAAAAGAACAAUUUUUUACUUUGGGGGGUUUUUGCGAGGAAAUGUUGUUUUGGGGGGAAAAGUGAGAGAAAAGAUUGGGGUAGGGGUAAGAUGCAUAGAUAGUCCAUUUUAGGGUGUUUUUUGUAAUUUUCCCUAUAAAUUAUACGUAAUCCCACUUCUCAACCAUUCGAUUUAAAUGGAUGACUAGGAUUGCUCAUGUCACAAUGUCAUGCUAAAGCACUGUUUGAUUUUAGUUUUUUUUACGUAACCUUUUUUAGUGAAAUUUGGGCCAUCCCAUCUUCUUUUCUGACGCGCCUAGAAAAAAAAAAGGAUUCCUCAUAAAAAUAAAUGAUUAAAAUACCCUUGACUGUUUCAGGGAUAUCCUGAUAGUUUUUUAUCAAAAGAAAUAUUUUUUAUUAUUUUUAUCAUAUGUGCCCUUAUGAAAUGCGUGCACGCAUCAAAUUUUGUUGCAAAAUUAUUUAUAGAACAAAUAUUAAAAAUAAAAUACUCUGAGCCAUCAGAUCAAGAUCUGACACUCAAGAGCCAACUUGUGAGAUUGUGACUCAAAUCAUCCCAGCCAUCUAGAGAUCUGAUGGCUGAGAACAGGGGUUCACAUAUACUUUAUAGAGGGUUGAGGACAAAUGUAGAGCUUUCCCUUUAAACAUUGUUUCAAUACUCACCUACUAGUAAUGUUCCCAAUUGGGGAACCACCUUGAGUUGCCCAAAAGCUACCAAUUCAAUAGUGUGAAUUGCGCAGUUUAAUGUUGGGGCUUUUAUAUUUUAAGAUUUUAUGGAUUUGGGUCAAAGUUGAAUGUUAUUUGUCUUGAGAGUUUUGGGUAAAAACUUGACUAGUAAGCUGCCCUUAUGUUUUUCAAUUUUCCAGUUCUUUAUGUGAAUUCUCCAGUACAUUAGUUGGUAUCAGAGUAGGUCUGUUCCCAAAGGCUAAGGGGUCUAUUGCAAGUUUGCUCAAUCUGCUAAGGAGGUUGAGGAGGUCAUGGUCAUGAUAGUGGUAUCAAAGUUACACAAGAGGAAUUCAACAAUCUGGAAGAGAAUUUAGGAACUAGCCUAUGAAUUACAUCGAUUGAGGCUCGAGGAACUAAUGCACAAGAUGCUGCUACAGAUAUGAAUUCAAUCGCAAUGAUGGGCCAGAUCAGCAAAAAUUAAUCCACCUCACACCCAAGGGGAAGGUAAUCUUGCUGCGUGUGAAGAUAGUUUGGUUCAUAGUUUUAGCCAAUGGAUUAUAAAGAAACAUUCUUUUCAUAAAAUUGUUUUCAAAAUCAACAAGUUGUAGAUUGGGAUUCGUCAUGAUUAUAUGACAUGUUCUCCGAUGAAGAAUGAGAUCUCAUGGCCUAAGAUGAAGUUGAACUACAGUGAAGUACGAGACUUCGUGGGUGAUCCAAUCUAUGAUGAGGCUCAAGAUAAGUCAAAGAAUUUCCAGAAGAGGGAGUUGCUGGUUAGGCCAUUGAACCCGAUGUUUAUGACAAAGUGCUUCCCUAGUUUGUUGUAGGGUUUGAGUCCGAUGGCUUUACAAUGGCGGCUACAUGUAAAAGGCUAAAACUUCAAAUGGAGGUUGAAGUGGACCAUGCUUUAAAGUUAGGGUUUAAGGUUUCAUAUCCAAUCUCUUUUUCAAUCAAGUGAAAAAGAAAUCCCCAAAUCGAGUUUUGGAGGUUCUGGUGAAUCAAUCAAGGGUUUAAACGAUGGCAGUGUGAUCAAGGAGCACCAUCAUGCUGGAAAAAAAGCUAUUUCAGAGCUCUAGGAUGUUUGAACUUGCUCCCCUAGUGUCUUCUACCCUUAACAUCCCAUUUGGAAGUUUCUUCAGUUCUUACUGUGUUAAAUUUUAAGCUAGUUAAAUUUGAUACGUUCAUACUAAUUCCUCAAUAUACAUAUCGAGAUCUGUCUUUUUGGAGAAUUAUCCUUGCACCCAAACUCUUUAAGAGAAAGAAGGAAUAGGUUGAAGAAAACUUCAAACCGGAGGAUAGGAUUUCUCGAACCUAGGGGAGUCGAAUGCAAACUGGCUGAUUUGUUUUUUUAAUUUUUCUUUGUUAAGAUUCCGAUUUAUAAUUUUGGGAUAUUUUGGCAUUUAUUUUGAGGGGGUUUUUUUUUUGUGGGAAUUGGUCAUUAUUGAAUUAGUUAUUUACAAAAGGAUAAAAGUGUCAUUUUGUGUUCAAUUUUAAUUAUGAGUUCAUCUGAUAAUAGAAAUAUAGUUUCUUUGGGGUUAGGUAAAAGUAUCUUUGGGAGUUGAAUAUUACUUAUCUUGAGAGUUUCGGUUAAACUGGAGUAACCAUUGAAGCUUAGCUUGUAAACUUUCACCACCAUCUUUUACCAAAUUUUAUAGUUCUUUGUUAAUUCUCUACAACAUUAAGACCAAAGUGGAUCUACCGGAUCUAAUAGAAACAAAAUAUUGCCAUGUAAUAAGAUAAGAAAAUGCAUAUUGUCAUUAUAGAAGAUAAGAAAGUGCCUUGAAAUAGUUGGUUGUGUUCAUGGAUUAUUGUUAAAAGUGAUCUGGUUAAAAUGUCUCAAUCCAUAAUCACAUCAAUCCUAAUUUAAUCGUCAAUGUCUAAUGCCUCUUGAAUUUGACAUUCAUAUUCUCCUUUGAUGUUUGAUACAAGACCAAGGUUUAAAUGCUUGGAUCCGGCUGCAAACUUUGCCCCUGCCUGCAGCCGAAUAACUCAAGCGAAUCUGAGCAGUCUAGAAUGUGUUUUAAAAAAAACAAAGAAAUAAAAAUAAAAAAAAUUAACAAAAAUUAACAAAAAUAAAUAAAAGGGGAUGGAGGAAGGACAACAUAUGGGAAGAGAGAGACUAUGUUGUGUGCAGAGAGUGACAGGAAAGAAGUGGUAGAUUCCUCCCCCUGUAGAAAGAGAGAUAGGGAAGAGGAAAGGGGGAGUUUUCACCCCUUUUUCUGAGAUCGAGAGGAAAAGAAAUUAAGAAAGGGAUGGCAGAUUUCCGCUACCCUUCAAAGAAAGCAUAGUUUUUUCUGAGAUCGAGAGGAAAAGAAAUUAAAAAAGGGAUGGCAGAUUUCCGCUACCCUUCAAAGAAAGCAUCGUGUAUGUCUAGUCCCUUGGUCAAAAUAUCUACUUGGGAGGAUUUUUCAAGAUGAAAUUUUGGGUCCCACCUAAGAAUCAGGAAAAAAAAUUGAAAAUUGAGUUUUCAAAUGCUUAGAGCUCACCCUCUAAAAAUUGGACGGCGUCUAUUCAAUUUUGAGACAUUAUUUUUUUCAAGUACAUAAAGGGUUAAGUUAGAUUUUUUUUUUUAUAUAGGUUAAAUUAUGAUUCGAAGAAGUUACAUCCCAAAAUUCAAGAUCUUAAAACUAAUCCUAAAUGGGAUUUUACCUGAGGAAAUAAAUAGAUAUUAUAUUCAUGUAAGAGCAGUGUUCGUAAAAUCGAACUGAAACGGUUAACCGGACAUGGGCUUGGAAGCGGUUUAACCGGUCUAACUAGUAAACCGCUGAUUCAACCACUCUAACCCGGCAAGUCCCAGGCGGUAAAAAAUGUGUUGAAAAAAAAUAAAAAAGAUACUAAAAAAAAUUUACUAAAUUAUGAAAAGCAUAUAAAUAAUUAUUAAAACAAAACACAUUCAAAUGAAGUUGAAAAUAAAUGAAAACAAUAGAUUUAAACCCAUUUUGUAUUUUCCCAGGGCUAGUUUAAAAAUUUUCUAACAAAGAUGAGAAAAAUAUAAGAGUGAGUAUUAAUGACCAAAACAAGUUUUAAUCUUUACCAUGAUGUAAAGAAUAUUUAAAAAUGCAUUACAAAUCAAAUUCUUUAUUUUUGAGAAUUUAUAUAUAUUUUUUAAAUAAAAAAAAAUACCGGUUGAUCACUGUAACCACCCAAAACCGAAACCGACCAGUGGCCGUUUCCGAUCUAACCGGGCGGUUAGCGAUUAGAUUCAAGCAAUUUUGCGAACAAUGUGCAAGAGUAUAAUGUCUUUUGGCUUCAUCUGUAUCUCUCACUCACAUAGUCUAUAUAUCAUGAGUCUCACUUCAAUUUCAUUAGUGCCUGGCAUUUGAACUAUAUUUUACUUCACACUGCCAUGAAGACCUGGAAAUUUUACAAGGUCAGUUUCUUCUGUUUUUUUUUGUCCCCAUAGCCUUGAAUAUCCAAUCUCCAUAUAAGAUGAGGUCUAGAUGCAUCACAAUAGCACAUAUUAUUGAGUGUAUGAAAGACACAUAGUGAUCAUUUUAAUCACAUACAUACCUACCACAAAAUCAAUGAAAUAAAUGCCCUAACAACUAAAAAGCCGGUCAUUUAUUAAAGGGUAUGGUUUACAUGAUGUUGCAACCUUAAACAAACAAAUUAGUACGCACCUUCGAAUUUUAUCAUAUAUAUAAUUUUGGUACUUCAAUUUUUGGAAUCCUGGAACCUUGGCACCCUAGCAAGGCUCUGCCUAUUGAAUAUGCCUUCUCAAAUAAGGCUCCUAAUAUUUCCAUAUUGCAACCCUAGAUAGGGUUGGCAAUGGGCCGAGCGACACUGCCUGAUUGGCCUGUCCCCAAAAGAACAUAAGGCUUGGGCCACAAUCUGUGAUCUGAUGGCCAAGCUAGGGUGAGUGCCACUCCGUAUCGCCCUGGCCUGGCCCCUCUUUUUGCUCUUCAUUUGUUUUUUCUUUUAUUUUUUAUUCAUUUGUUUUUGGCUUGAUCUAGCCCGUCCCAUUUCUAACAGGGCCAAACCUGGGCAGCCCUAUGGGGACGAGGGCUAAAGUUGGCUCGGCCCAUUGCCACCCUUAACCCUAGAAAAUGGUUUUGCAUUCCGAUUUUCUCCUCCCUGUGUUUGAGAUUAAUUAAGCCUUAUGAACAUGUGUGUGUUUGAGAUUAAUUAAGCCUUAUGAACAUGUGUGCGUUUGAGAUUACUUAAGCCUUAUGAACAUGUGCUUUUCAUGAAGGAUGUAAUGAUGUAUCCAUCACUUGAAUAAAAUUGUUUACUACAGCAAGUAUCCAUCAAAUAAUUUCUUACUAAAAAAUUUCCUAGUCCAAAAACCCCUCAAUUGUCCAAUCCUCCCCAUGUUUUUUAUAAUUUGAAAUUUUCUCAAUAAAAAUUACCUAGUCCAACUUGGAAUCGUUCGAGUUAUAUAGGGGAUUCAGGCACGAACAUUGCUUUAUAUGGAAUCAAAAUGAAGUACUGGUAGCACUUAAAAAAUGAGCAAAAUUUCCUGAACUUUAUGAAAGCGAUGCAAACCACAAAGUAAAGGCUAUUGCUAUAAAUGGUUAGGAUUUUCCUUGUAUUCCUUUUCUUUUUUCAUUCCACCAAUUUGUUUGUUGCAAUUUGCAAAUUUUGUUCAGCAUCUUACCAAUGCGAUUUCAUUCCAACACUUGACACAAAACGCAUGCCAAUAACCAGAUAUAAAAUUAGAAAUGGUGACCAAGCAAAUGCAUGUGCUACGUCUAAUGUCAGUGCUCUCCAUCAAGAUCCCUUUUUUUCUUUUUCUUUUUUUUGUGAAGGUUAUUUUGUGGCUGCAGUUAAGGCAUUUGUCUGUUGUCCAUCAGAUCUCAGGUUGCCCGCGUCGCCGACCAUCUCCAAUUUGCUAAAAUUGGCUUAUCAAAGUGGUUGGUCAGAAAUGAAAUGAAAAUGUCGCACUAUGCCAAUGAUACUGAAAUUAUUUCCUGUUUUGGUGAAGAAAAAAAAGAGAACUUUGAGUCACUAUACUGCGAGUAUAAUUGCAUUGGGGAUGAAACUACAGACACAGUGUUGUAAUUAUCACAAAAUACAAGGACAGUGGCACAUGUAGCUUAAAGGGGGAAUUUAUGGACAUUUAUUUCAUGCUCUAUAUUUCCUUAUUUUGGGGUUUCAUUUAAAUGAAGAGGCAAAGAGUUUCAGGUAGGGGGAGGGAAGGGAAGGUAAUUAGUAACUAGUUACCCGUUGUUCCAAAUUUUUGAAAUGUAGAGAUAGAGAUAGAGAAAGAGGAGAGAGAGAGAAGAGAGAGUGGGUGGGCUCUUAACUGUGGGUCAUGUUGAUAUUUGAAGGGGGCAAGGAUAAGGUAGUUAGACCUUGAACAAAUGUUGCUUUCACACUUAUUUUAAUGAGAGAAAGUCUUAUUUACUGGCAAGGGUAAAUGACCUAGCCCCUUUAUGUUGUUCUUGUUUUUCUUUCGGGCAUUGUUCUAGUGUCUCAAACCCCACAGGUGAGAUGUUUGCCGAAGGGAAGGUGCAUUAUGGGGGUGUUUUCGUGAGAAUCUUGGGUAGGGCAGUGGGGGUUAUUGUGAAGGAUGUCUUUAGAUAUUGUUUUGUGAGGUUUAGUUGGUAGAGAGUUGUGGUAUAGGAUUCUUUGAGGUUAGAAUUUUUGUUGUAUUUGACAGUCGAGGCGGUCCUCGUUGGAAGUCGGGAGUACUAUUUGUAUUUUUCCGUAUUUUCGUCUGCUUUUCUUCUUAUUUUACUUCUUAUGGAGUUCUGCUGUCUUUUUCUCUUUUUAUUUUACUUCUUAUGGAGUUCUGCUGUCUUUUUCUCUUUUUAUUUUACUUCUUACGAAGUUCUGCUAAUGAAAUUAAUAGUUAACAUUGAACAAAAACAUGAGAAAAAAGAGAAAGGACCCACCUAAUAAACUAAAAUGAGCUUUUAAUUUUAUGCGUGCAAUUUUAGGACAUGAUUUUGCGCAGGCUGAUCCAAACGAUGAAAUCGAAUCUUCUUUUCUUUUGCCAUUUUUUAUUACUACAGAGCUAGUCGUUACGUAGGUUGCAUCCCCAAAAUUUGGAUUUCUAAAAUUACGCUUAACUCAGACAGGAAUGCAAAUUUAUAUUUUGCCCUCAUGGAAGUAUAUAAAAUUUUCAGCAUUUUACCUUCGUUUUUUUUUUAAAAAAAAAUAUUUUAGUUUCUCAAGAAGCUACAUGAAAUUUAGUAUGCCAUGGAAAUCUGUCUAGGGUUUUAUCUAAAAGAGCAAAUGUGAAAGAGGCUUUUACAAGACCUAUCAUUUGUGCCAAGGAAAUGUCCCAAAUUAUAUAUACAAAGCAUGUUUCUAUUGGGAAAGGAGCUAGAGUUGUGGUGGUAGUACUCUAGUCAUCGCGUUGUGGUUUUUAUUUCUACUGACACCACGCUAUUAAUACUUUCAAAAAACUAACUCCUAAACUAUUUGAAAAAAAAAAGUAGGAGUCCGUCUUCCCCACUAAAUUAACAAAGAAAAAAGGGCUUAUCUUUAUCUAAAGCACAUUUUUGUGGACCAUAAAAGAUUAGAGAGAGAGAGAGAUGGCUCAAACUAUGCAUAACAAAACCUAUGAUUUUCUUUGUCUAAAAGAUGAGAGAGAGAGGGGUCGGGGGUGAAUGGCUCAAAUUAUGAACAAUUAAACACAUUGAUUUUCUUUGUCUAACACAUGGGGUUGGGGACCAUAAAGUUUAAGACUUUAAACUCAUGUGAUCCUAAGUGUAACGUCAACAAAUGGCUUUGUUAGAGGGGUCCCUAUGUCCCCUUUGUGGGAAACACAUUUGACAAGCAAAGCAAGCACCAACACACACAUACCCCCUACUCCUCCCAUAAUUGUCAAGCACCCAUAGAUCCAUCUACACCAAAGCUCGCAAAAAUAAAGAAUGGAGAGAAAGGCUUUCCUUUAUUGUUAAUUUCACUUUUUUUUUUAAUCUUAAAAGCCUUGCCUUUAUUUUUAUUUUAUUUUUUUAAAAUGCUAAAAUUCCUGCUUUUAUUCCUAUGGUUAACACAUGAAAACCUCAACAACACCCACCUUAGUUGAACAAUGAAAAGUUAAAAUUUGCCAAAAUUUCAAUUGGAAUCUCUAUAUCCUCCCCCACUUCAGUGGUAAUAGAAACCACAUAAAACUACUUUCCUUUAUCUUGUUCUGUUUUCUUUUAAAAUAAAACAAGGUUUAAAAUUAUAGAAACCAUAUUGCAACAUUUUAUUCUUUUUUUCUUUUUAUAAAAAACAUAAAAUUUUUGACAAAAUUCCAGGCUCGCUUGGUUUAUAUUUAAUUCAUGUAGUUCCAUUCUCCCAUCCCAACCUCAUGAAAGAAUAAAAUAAGUGGAUAUUGAAAUGAGUUAAAUAACCACUAAUUAUACUUGAAUUUAAAAAAAAAUAUAAAGGAGAUGCAGAUAUGAUUAGUCUAGGAAAAAGUUUAUAUAAGAGCGAGGCUAGUCUAAACAAUCAAAUUAAGACGUACCUCAAAAAUUCUUUAGAAAAUGUUGUUUCAACGCUAAAAAACCGUCAAUUUGAUCAUCUCAACCUCAAGAUGUAUGGACAUGAGAAAGAAAAAACAAAACAAAAAAAUUUUCAAAUAUUGAAAGCAGUACAUCUUGUAAUGUAUUAUCUAAAUCGUCAAUUAUCAAGAUUUUCAAGUGUGUUCAUAGAUCUCCUCGACCUACACUAUUUUUUAACUUAUUUUAUUAUUAGAGAUGAAAAUAAAUUUUUAAGCCAUUAUAGAAAUUUCUAAUAUUAAAAUAAUAUAUUUUGGCACUAUUUAAAGGCGCACCCUAUUUUGAUUGUUUAGAGCCUCGGCCAUGUACAAACCACACCCUUUAGUCUAAUGGAGAGAUGCCCGUUCUCCAGAAAGUUGUACCUGAAUCUAAUUUACCUUAUUUCCCUUUAAUAUGAAGCUGAAGUAUUUUCUUUCACAAUGAAAAUAACAAUGAACCAAAUUGUUCAUGUGGUCUCAUGGGUCAAACACCUAGAUUUGAUGUAUUCCAAAACUCUCAAAUCACGUUUACAUCAAUCUAAUGCCAUUUUUUUAACGAAGACAGUAUCUUAAAGUGCGCCAAAUCAAAAUCUGCUCCAAAGGUGACCAUUAUGAGAGAUGCCAAAAUUAGGAUUUUAAGUUAAGAGAAUCUCAUUUUCUUGAAAUUUCUCUCAGGGUUUAUACGAUAAAAGACUUUUAGUACAAAGAGGCCACAAUUGAACUUAGUCAUUGGAUGUGAAAUGCAAUUGCAUAAAGUGUAUCAUAGUUUGAUCAAUUUUUAUUAUUGGACAUUGUGCUCAUUCAUGGACAUACUCCUAACCCACCAGAUUUCACAUUCAAGGGUCGAUAACUAUUGUGACUUUUUUAUUANNNNNNNNNNNNNNNNNNNNNNNNNNNNNNNNNNNNNNNNNNNNNNNNNNNNNNNNNNNNNNNNNNNNNNNNNNNNNNNNNNNNNNNNNNNNNNNNNNNNNNNNNNNNNNNNNNNNNNNNNNNNNNNNNNNNNNNNNNNNNNNNNNNNNNNNNNNNNNNNNNNNNNNNNNNNNNNNNNNNNNNNNNNNNNNNNNNNNNNNNNNNNNNNNNNNNNNNNNNNNNNNNNNNNNNNNNNNNNNNNNNNNNNNNNNNNNNNNNNNNNNNNNNNNNNNNNNNNNNNNNNNNNNNNNNNNNNNNNNNNNNNNNNNNNNNNNNNNNNNNNNNNNNNNNNNNNNNNNNNNNNNNNNNNNNNNNNNNNNNNNNNNNNNNNNNNNNNNNNNNNNNNNNNNNNNNNNNNNNNNNNNNNNNNNNNNNNNNUUUAUAUCAAUGAAACGCGUAACUAGGUCUCUAGGCUUUCGGACCAAUAAUAUUAAAACCAUAUUUUCGAAGCAUUGUUUUGAAACUGGAAAUUGAGUCCCAUUUAAGAGACUAUGAUCCAGAUCGGCCACUUAUCAAGAGUAAAAAAAAACAAUAAAACCUAAAAUUAGAAAAAAAUAAUAAUAAUUUAAGCCAGAAUCGUCCCAUUUUUUACCUUAAUAAGUAAGGAAAAGUAUAUAUGAGACCAUUUACUUUUGGUAGAAGGUGAUCACAAUUGAUCUUGACAACUGAGAGCUCAAACUUUAAAAGAAAUUUUUUCGAACUUUAUGACACAUCCAAACUAUCAGAUUUCACAUCGAAUGUUUAUAAGUAAUUGUGACCUCAUUGUAUACAAUCCCAAUAAGUAAUUCCUCUGAUAAAAUUGCAGUAGUUCUCUAAUAAAACUGAGGGAUUCACACUGAAUCAGACUGAUUCCUAAUUCUAUAAAAAAACUUAUAAGUCCUUAACUGGACCCCAAUCAAAAUCAACAAUCCUCAUUUCAAGACCAUAAGUGUUAUAGAUGGGAUUCUGAAUAUAUCCCUUGUGAAGAGAUUCCAUACGAGAGAAAACAAAAAAAUAGUAUAUACCAAAGGAAAAUUGUCUCAUGCGAGCUAGACCGCAUGAUUACAUAUGCGGUCCAAAAAGUGUAAAACAAACCAUCUUGCAAGUAGGCGUUUCAUCUAAAACCAUGAAAACUAACGGUCCAAAUGUUUUCUUACUAGAAUUAUUAUUUCUAGUUUUUUAAAUUUAUUUAUUUUUUUAUAUUCAUAAUCUCCAUGUUAGAAAUUAUAUAUCCUUAAAAUUUAACUUCAAAAAUCCAUCUAAAAUAUAUAUUUAUUAAUAGAUCCACAUUUCAACAUAUGCGGGCUUGGCCGCAUAGAAACCGCGUCCAUAUGGUAAUGCCCCAAAAUACAAGAUGUCUUUUUGAGAAAAGCCUAGGGUGGGGUUGUUUGGCUACAUCUUUUCAAAAUUUAUCCAUCAUUGAAUUAAGGCCACAAAUAUAUUAGUAUAAUAAGAUAUGUGUUGUCUUGGCCAAGAAUAUAAAAUGCAAUAAAGCAUGCGUAAAGAUCUCUUAAGACUUUAGAGGUCAAAAUGGGUAGUGAUUUCGUCUACUUUAAUCACCGUCUAAAGUUCAUCGCACGAUCAUGAUUGUUUGGUAGUAUUUUAUUUUUUAUUAGUUUUUUACAAAUCAAAAUGAUAUAAAAUUUGGAGUAUGGUUUCAUAAAAAAUGGAAGAAUCUAUGAAAAAUAUAAAAAAUAAAAUAAUUUAUAAAAAANNNNNNNNNNNNNNNNNNNNNNNNNNNNNNNNNNNNNNNNNNNNNNNNNNNNNNNNNNNNNNNNNNNNNNNNNNNNNNNNNNNNNNNNNNNNNNNNNNNNNNNNNNNNNNNNNNNNNNNNNNNNNNNNNNNNNNNNNNNNNNNNNNNNNNNNNNNNNNNNNNNNNNNNNNNNNNNNNNNNNNNNNNNNNNNNNNNNNNNNNNNNNNNNNNNNNNNNNNNNNNNNNNNNNNNNNNNNNNNNNNNNNNNNNNNNNNNNNNNNNNNNNNNNNNNNNNNNNNNNNNNNNNNNNNNNNNNNNNNNNNNNNNNNNNNNNNNNNNNNNNNNNNNNNNNNNNNNNNNNNNNNNNNNNNNNNNNNNNNNNNNNNNNNNNNNNNNNNNNNNNNNNNNNNNNNNNNNNNNNNNNNNNNNNNNNNNNNNNNNNNNNNNNNNNNNNNNNNNNNNNNNNNNNNNNNNNNNNNNNNNNNNNNNNNNNNNNNNNNNNNNNNNNNNNNNNNNNNNNNNNNNNNNNNNNNNNNNNNNNNNNNNNNNNNNNNNNNNNNNNNNNNNNNNNNNNNNNNNNNNNNNNNNNNNNNNNNNNNNNNNNNNNNNNNNNNNNNNNNNNNNNNNNNNNNNNNNNNNNNNNNNNNNNNNNNNNNNNNNNNNNNNNNNNNNNNNNNNNNNNNNNNNNNNNNNNNNNNNNNNNNNNNNNNNNNNNNNNNNNNNNNNNNNNNNNNNNNNNNNNNNNNNNNNNNNNNNNNNNNNNNNNNNNNNNNNNNNNNNNNNNNNNNNNNNNNNNNNNNNNNNNNNNNNNNNNNNNNNNNNNNNNNNNNNNNNNNNNNNNNNNNNNNNNNNNNNNNNNNNNNNNNNNNNNNNNNNNNNNNNNNNNNNNNNNNNNNNNNNNNNNNNNNNNNNNNNNNNNNNNNNNNNNNNNNNNNNNNNNNNNNNNNNNNNNNNNNNNNNNNNNNNNNNNNNNNNNNNNNNNNNNNNNNNNNNNNNNNNNNNNNNNNNNNNNNNNNNNNNNNNNNNNNNNNNNNNNNNNNNNNNNNNNNNNNNNNNNNNNNNNNNNNNNNNNNNNNNNNNNNNNNNNNNNNNNNNNNNNNNNNNNNNNNNNNNNNNNNNNNNNNNNNNNNNNNNNNNNNNNNNNNNNNNNNNNNNNNNNNNNNNNNNNNNNNNNNNNNNNNNNNNNNNNNNNNNNNNNNNNNNNNNNNNNNNNNNNNNNNNNNNNNNNNNNNNNNNNNNNNNNNNNNNNNNNNNNNNNNNNNNNNNNNNNNNNNNNNNNNNNNNNNNNNNNNNNNNNNNNNNNNNNNNNNNNNNNNNNNNNNNNNNNNNNNNNNNNNNNNNNNNNNNNNNNNNNNNNNNNNNNNNNNNNNNNNNNNNNNNNNNNNNNNNNNNNNNNNNNNNNNNNNNNNNNNNNNNNNNNNNNNNNNNNNNNNNNNNNNAUGUAUAGGAAUAUGAUGCAACAAUCUUAAAAAUCCAUAUUAUGGUUAUUUGUUUGAUUCAAAUUUUGAAAUAUAUAUUCUUUUCAUUCUAAUGAUCAAUCACAAAAAAAGAAAAAAUUGAAAACACAACAUAAAAAGUAUUUUUUAGCUCAAUUAAUAUAGGCUGUUCAUUUUGGUGAGAUGCUUAGAUCUAGGCCUUAGAAGAAUUUUUUUAUUUCCAAUUUUUUUAGAUGGCUUUAUUAUCAUUAGACGAACAAUGUCAAAGAAGAAAAACAGUUAUUUUGAGUUUUUAGAGGGGACCUAUUUUGACCAUAUUUAGGGUUCAAAUUGAUUUUUUUUUUUUUUGGCGAGGGGAUUAAUUAUUGAGCAAUGAUCCAAUACAACGGUUGUAUCAUAGUAUAAUGCAACGACACUUCUAGAAAACCAUGUUUGUGGUAUUUGUACAACCCCAAAUUUUACACGCUCUCUCUCUCUUCAUCUCAAUAAUCAAUCCUCACCAAAAAAAAAUUUAAAUUUAAACCCUAGAUAUGGUUAAAAUGAGUCCCUUGAAAAAACAAAUCUAGACCAUUCAUUUUAUAAAUUUCAAUAUCUUAGCCUUUAUAAACUGAAAAUCAUUUUUUAAUUUUUUUUAAUAUUGUUCAUCUAAUGAUAAUAAAGUCAUCCAAAAAAAUUGGAAAUAAAAAAAUCCUUCUAAGGCCUAGAUCUAUGCAUCUCACCAAAAUGAACGGCUUAUGUUAAUUGGGCUAAACAAAUGCUUUCUACGUUGUGUUUUUAAAUUAAUUUUUUUUUUUUUUGUGAUUGUUCAUUAGAAUAAAAAAAAUAUAUAUUUUAAAAUUUGAAUCAAACAAAUGGUCAUAAAAUAAUUUUUUAAUAUUGUUGCACCGUAUUAAUAUAUAACGGUUGUAUGAAAUCAUUACCUCUUAUUUAUUUAUAUAUAAAUAAGAGACUCUUAAGAAAAAUCGAGUUGGGACCCACACUAAUGAUCCGUCCUAAAAACAGUACAGUAAAGGUCUUACAAAUUUUCCCAUACAAAAACAGUACAUGUCAUACAAAUUUUCACCUACAUGGUCACCAACUCUUAAAAACAUUGCACCAACUUAUUAAAAUUGAGCUGGUUCGCUAGUUCUGCGUACACCAAGAGAGGAAACCUCCAAUGUCAAAAAAUAAAUGCUAGUGAGAGAGAGAGAGAGUGUCCUAGUGCCCGGAACCUAGUGACGGAGAGAGGGUGUGUGUUUUGAGUCUUGUCUGGUGUGCAUGUGAUAAAUAAAGGUUCACAUUGUGGGGUGGCAGUCAUCCAGAGAGGCAAUAUUCAAUAUUGGAUUAUUGUAGGGGGGAGAGAGAGAGAGAGAUUCUAUCUGGGGCCCCGUAUUGUUAAGGGUAAUUGAUUCAAUAAAUUUCUCUCUCUAGAGAGAGAGAGAUUCUAUUUGGGGCCCCGUAUUAUUAAGAGGGCAGGCAGUUCAUUUCGUUUCAUAAAAUUUAUCUUUCUCUCUCUAAAAUUGUUAAAAGUUUUGGGCUUGCGGUGGACUGAUGUUCUGGAGUGUUGCAGAAGCAACUGUGACAAUGAACGCCGGCCCUGUCAUGCUGUACCACCUGUGCCACUCCUUCCCCUCCACGUCCGUUUUUGAGUCGCUUUGAAGAGAUUCAUCUCGACAAUAAUAGCAACGAAGCCAUUGUUUUAGAGAGAGAAAAUGAUGCAUGGAAUGUAUGUGAAAGCAGCGGCGGUUAAAAACCAAAAUUCAAGAGAGACAAAGUGUGUACUGUUUAGACUCCAGAGAGAGAGAGAGGGGACUUUUAGAGAGAGAAAGAGGGGACCGUAAUUAUGGAUUUGGUAAUGAAAGUGUCAAGUCCCCAAAACGGUCAAAAAGAUUUCAUCAACAGUGGACAGUUAAAAGGCCAAAAAGGAGGGAUAUAUGUAGAGAGUGAAAGUCGAAAACAAAGAGGAAAACAGUCCACCUGCAGUAAUUUGGGGGGUCAUUCUUUCAGUUUCGCUCUCACUCCUGCUAUAAACGGCGAAUACCCAUGAAUUCUUAAGGCUUUCAGGACCCUCUCUUCACUCCACUUUCUAUCUCUAACCCACCAACCCUUUUGAGGCCCUAACUUUCUCUCUCUAACCCACCCAAAUGGAUCCAAAGUCCUCAAAGCUCCCGCCCCAUGAAGUUCCCAAGUUCCAUCAAGCCCUUGGCCUCCAGCCAGAGAAGAGAGAGAACAGCAACUCCACCAAAGGUGGUGGAGAACCCAGAGAUUUGCCGAUAGUUGAGGUGAUGAGUGAGAAAGAGGAAGCAAAGAAACAGUUAGCCCCAAAAAGAAGCUCAAACAAAGAUAGACACACAAAGGUGGAUGGAAGAGGAAGAAGAAUAAGAAUGCCUGCUCUUUGUGCGGCUAGGAUCUUCCAAUUGACAAGAGAAUUGGGGCAUAAAUCCGAUGGAGAAACCAUUCAAUGGCUGCUUCAACAGGCUGAGCCAUCAAUUAUAGCGGCGACCGGUACGGGGACUAUUCCAGCUUCUGCCCUAGCCUCUGCAGGUCCCAUGGCUAACCAAGCAAGCUCUGCUUCGUCUGGUUCAAAAAUGGAGGAAUUGGGUAAUAGAGCGAAUUGGACAAUGGUGAGUAAUCUCCAUAGAUCUCCACUAACGAGUAGCUUGUGGCCUUCAGUUGGGGGAUUUGGGUCUGGUUUUCUUCACCACUCUGCACCAUCUAGUUCGAAUUUAGGGAGCGAGAACGCGAGCUUUGUGCCUCGAAUUGGGUUUUCGGGGUUCGAAAUGCCGAGCUCUCAUUUAGGUCAUAUGAAUCUUAGCUCUAUUUUGGGCAAUACCUCAGGUGGUGGAAACCAUAAUCAGCAACUUCCUGGUUUAGAGCUUGGUCUUUCACCUGAUGGCCAUAUUGGGGUUUUGAGUACACAGGCUUUGAGCCAAUUUUAUCAGCAAAUUGGGCAGAGUAGAGGGGGAAGCAUGCAUCAUCAGCAUCAAAAUCAGCAGCAGGGUCCUUCUUCGAAGGACGAUUCUCAGGGUUCCAGACAGUAGAUAGAAAGUGUGAAUUUUGGGAAAAAAUUUGGUGGGUUUGAGAGGACAUCAGGGGUUGAAUUUUCCAGCUAUUUUCUCCGCCCUCUCUCUCGAUGCGCAGGGUUCUAGUGUUUCCUAUGCAGCCCAAGACCUAUCAAUGGCUUUUGUGUGGAAAUUUGUGGUAUGCCCUAGUUGGCCCUGCAAUUUCUCCUCCAUCUCUGCAUAAGCUUUGCCAAAUUCACCCAGUAUGGUAUUCUCUCUCUCCAUUUUUUUGGGUAUCACUUUAAACUACUGGAAUCUCUCAAUCGAUAAGGUUCUUAUUAUUAUUAUUAUUAUUUUUGUGUGUGAUUUGGGUUUGGCAGGUUGAACCAGGAAAGCUGAAUAGCUUGCGAUUGCCCCCUAUUUUGAGGUUUGUUUUAGAGGUGUGUUUAUAAGAUUUUAUAGCCAUUAUUGAUCAUUUGUUUCUAGUUAUAGGUGGCUUUCUGAUUGGCUUUGUGUGAGAAGGAAUUAAAAGGCCUGUAACUUUGUGUGGGAAGGAAUUAAAAGGCUUUGACCUUUAGAAUAUUUGAGUUACUGUAAAAAUUCUCAUAAAGUAGAACGAUGACAUUGUAUUUUAUUAUGGUUGAUAAUCAGUAAAUUUAAAUACUGGUUUGAGGGGUUUUGUAUACUUCUCUGAUUCAAUAUUCAUCCUUUAAUAUUUAGAUUUUAAUCGCACUUCAACCGGAGUUUUGUAUACUUCUCUGAUCCAAUAUUCAUCCUUUAGGAUUUAGAUUUUGAUCACACUUCAACUUUUUGCAUGGCGCUUAAUUUUGUUGUCAUCGUUGUCAUCAUGAUCAUAGUUCUUUGUAUACUUCUCUGAUCCAAUAUUCAUCCUUUAGGAUUUAGAUUUUGAUCACACUUCACCUGUUUGCAUGGCAUUUGCAUAGUUCUGAGUACUUAUAUAUUCUUAAUUUUGUUGUCAUCGUUGUCAUCAUGAUCAUAUCAUAGUUCUGAGUUAAUAUGCAUUCCUAAUUUUGUUGACAAGAUGGUUAACACCACCAUCGCACCUCACAUGUCUGUAACCACUAUCACACUUGUCUUCAUUAACCAUUCACCAUCAUCAUUGUCAUCAUGUUCAUGCCAUCGGAGUCGUAGCUAUCUUUAAAAACUGAUUUAUCAAACCACUCAACAUGUAGGGCUCAAAAAUUGAAGGAGCAAUUUUCGAUUUUUCACCCAUCAAAACCAGAAGUGUUUUUUUUUUGGUAAUAUUGUUAUUUUCAAAUGCUAAUAUCGUAGUUAAAAUCAUUUACUUAUUUUCAUUCGGAAAAUUUCUCAAACCACGUUCAAGAGUUUCACAACUUCACAUUUCAUUCUAUCCCUUUGACCUACACUCCUACUUUCUGAAUGCCCUUACAAAAGAGACAUCAUGGCUCAAAAAUUGAUGCAGGGGUAAUUUUCAAUUUUUCUCCUCCAUCAAAACCAAAACCAAAUUAGUUUUCUUUUUUGUAAUAUUAUUAUUUUCAAAUACUAAUAUCAGUUAGCGUGUAUACUAUGUUCCCACGUGCUCAAAGUUUACAUUUAUUCCCUUAUUCGAGUGACUGAAGCGUAUUUUGUUGAUAUUAAAUUUUGGAAUCCAAUUUGGAAUUACAGGAUGAGUAUAUAUUUAGUAGAAAAUAAAAGAGGAUUUUGAAUAGCUAAACACUUAGAUCUAUCAUCCAAAGUUGGACAGUUUGUGUGUAAUCUGAGUGCAUAAAUUUUUUCUCAUAGCAUUCUUUUUUUCUUUUAUUGUGUUUGCUAGUUUGAGUAGGUCAUAUCCCCAAAAUUUGUGUUAUAAAAGUACUCUUAGCUAGAAUUUGCUUAGUGAGCAAACGAGCAUUUUGCUAUUGCGGAUAUAAUCUUUUUCAUAAAUUAUUUGGUUAUGGAUUGCCAAAAUUUGAAAUUGCCCCACCAACCAUUUCUAACCCAUUAUGAUGUGUCCUUCAAGGGCUAGCCCUUAGUCUGUGUGUAAUUUGAGUGCGUAAAUUUUUUGUCAUGCAGUUCUUUUUUUUUCUUUUAUAAUUUUUUGUUAUGCAGUUCUUUUUUUUCUUUUAUGCUGUUUGCUAGUUUUAGUAGGUCACAUCCCCAAAAGUUGUGGUAUAAAAGUACUCUUAGCUAGAAUUUGAUUGAGUGAGCAAACGAGCAUUUUGCUAUUGCAGUAUAUAAUCUUUGUCAGAAAUUAUUUGGUUAUGGAUUGCCAAAAUUUGAAAUUGCCCCUCCAACCAUUUCUAACCCGUUAUGAUGUGUCCUUCAAGGGCUUUUAGAAAUUAGUACAAAAGAAAUAGGUGAAAUAUUAAAUAGUAAAUAUUGCAUAGUUUUGUGGUGGUUUGAUAAAUUUCCUAUUGCAUUAUUUCAUUUUGGGCACUGAUUAGGCUUGCCCUUAGUCAAGAAAAAUAACUCUAUACAAAAAUAUUUGUUUAAGCAUCAUUUGAUCACCAUCAUCGUCAUCACCAUCAUAAUAAUUAUCAUGAAUUAUGUUGCAUUAGGGAAUGCUUUAUUUUCUUGCCUUUUCUAUUGCGUUUGCUUGUGUAAUUUCAUUUGUCCACUUUUUUUUUUUUUGGAUUGUAUACAAUGAGACCAUUUACCUUUGAGACAAGGAGGUCAUAAUUACUUACAACUAUCCAGAUAGCCUGGGUAUGUGACAAAGUUCAAGAAAUUUUUUUUUGAAGUUUGAGUUUGGUCAAUGAAAUAAAUGCAACCAUCAAAUUUCACAUCCAAUGGUCAAAAUAAAUUGUGACCACCUUGUACCAAAGAUACAUGUCAUUGUAUACUUUUCCUUCUGUUUUUUUUAUUCUAAAAAUUAAAAUCAUUACCAAAUUUAAAUGCAGAUUGAUGUGCUCUGGAAGUUAUGCAUGAUUCAUCUAUUGAUGGGCCUUACAGACUUAUUUUCUAUUUUAGUGGCUUCGUGCCUUGUUUACUGCUUGCUUAAAUUCUAUUAUAACUUAUUUUUUACUAGCUUACAUUCUGAGUGACUUUAACUGCAAUCUGUUCUUCUUCAAGAUGAUUAGUCGGCAUACCAAUAUCUUUGCUUCUUAUAUCUGUCUAUUUCGAUCCAGUACCUACUAAUGCAACGAAAAACCUUUGUUUUAUAUUUAGGAUCGUUCUUCUGGGUUACUCUAAGUAUCUUAUUUUAAGUUGUGCAUUGCAUCAUGUCGAAACACAAUCGAAUUCAUUUCUCUUCGUUUCUUUUAUUUUCUUGUUAUUUUUCUGGUUUUUGACUGUGCAUGAAGAACUAUAUUUCUUGAGGCAUCAUUUUUUAAUAGUAAUCUGAUUUCAGUUAAACAAGUAGUUUGCAUUCUAGUUAUUUAGACUGUUGAUUCAUCACUAUUUCCAAUUUUCAGAAGUUAUCAAUGUUGAUAUAAUACUGCUAUGAUUAUGUUUGAAAAUCUAGUAAUAUUGGGAUGGCCACGAAGUACAUCUUUGAUGAAAUAUUAUGAGAACUAGUUAUUGUAGGUGUAUCCAAUUUUUUUUACAGUUUAGGAUAACUAAGAGAUUACAAUUUAGGGUAACUAAAAUAUUAUAAUUUGAUAGCCUGGAAUUUGUUAAAGUCAUCCAUAGAUUUGAAUAUUAAUCCCUCACGUUCUGAAGUGAAAAUCAGGUGGAACUACUAAUCUCCGUGUGAUAUUAACUAUUGUAUAUGUUUAAGAAGAGCAGUUUAAGAGAAACAAGGUAUGCUUUUGUCAUCAUUUCAUGAGAUUAUUUAGUUUAGUUUGAGGACUCUAUGCUAUGAUGAUAUGAGGAAUCCUAAUUUUCAAUUGAUGAAAAUGUCGAACCCAACCGACCCGAAAAGGGUUGAUUAUGUGUGUUAUAUCUUUUGUUCAAUAGCUGGUUUAGAUUUUGAUUUUUGAUUGGAUUGUCGAUAUCUAAGGAGAUAGAUCUGUCUGGCGAAUUCUAAACCAUCAACUCUAUAAACUACUUUAUUUAAUCUCAUACUCUAGAGAAGCAAAUAAGCACCCUUUUUGUAGAAGAAAUUCUUUCUUUUGGUAGACCUAUAUAAUCAGCACAACUUCAGAAGAGAAAAGGUAGACAAGAAAUUCUUUCUUAUGGAAGACCUAUAAGUCAGUGGCUUUUUUACAAGAAUAUAAAUAUUUUGUCUCACACAAACAAAAAAAGAAACAGAAAAGUAAAAAGACUAAGAAUAUGCACAUCUGGAACACAUGAUAUACUAAUUAACUAGUUACUAGACUUUUCUGAUAGGAUAAAAAGCAUAGCUGGAUAAAAGCGAACAUAUUCUAUGAGAUCUAGAUUGUCAACUCGACUAGUACCUCAAUAUCCUAAAGUUUUAUUAGACAAAUCACUCAUCCCAACAUAUGUAAAGCUUUACCUUCACCGACAAACCACUCAUCCCCAAUAUAUGCAACGCGUUCCGUGGAGCUACUCAUCCCCAACAUAGGCAAAGCUUUCCUUGGGAGCCAGCGGAGCAAGCAGCAUUCAAAUAUUUGUCUUUGAGCACCCUCUUGCACUCAUUCAUGCAUUGAAACAUAGUGCAAGGGUACAUUUCUAUACCAAACGCGCCAUCAACGACACCAGGCCCCAUGACAAGAAGAACAAACACUAUAACAGCAACCAUUUCUGAUGCACUUUUAGUCUCCAUUUUGGAAACUCAAAAACCUAACAAGAGUUUAAGGACCUAAUAAGCACUUGCGAACGGAUGGUUUCUACAGAAUUGGGAUUUGGAGGGCCUAAAAAGCAAGUUUAGCACCGAGAUACAAAAUAUUGAUGACGAAUUCGACUCUCGAAAUCUUAGCUAAAAGUGGCUCACUCUUGAUGCUGGCUUGUCUCCUUCAAGUCAAGCAAGAUAUAUAGGCAAUGCAAAAGGCACGUCAUACGCACUGUACUUUGCUCAUAUCAUUCUAAUGCAUUAUAAUGGUUGUGAUUAUUGGCAUUUAAUUAAUGUGAUCAGCAGCACUAAGUAAAUCUAAGUUUUGGUUACCAUUGUAAAAUGUUUUCGUCUUAAUGGGGAGCACGCCAACACAAUAAUGGGAUCGUCCUUUUGAGAAGAGCAGCCAAUGGAGUGAGGCCAUAUGUGUGUCCUCCUGACACGUGUGGUCCAAUAGGUGAACCCAAUGGGGGCCCUUUGCCUUGUAUUCUUAGUCUUAACAGUGUUUGGUAUAUAGGCCAAUGAUGUUCCUACGUAUAGACCCCAUCGUGUUAUGGGGUGCACGUGAGCAAAGCCAAUAAGAGAGGAGGGGAGGUCUACGUGAACCAUUUUUUAUUUGCCACGUGUGAGAAAUGUUAUAGGUGAAAGUUGUGUUUUGUGAGCAUGUGAAUUUAGGGCAAAAGGUUGAGACCCACCUCAUACACUUAGAUGUAUGGAGAUUUGGGGUUAUUAUGUUAGGGUACUGAUGGAUAGGAAGUAUACUCGAUAUUUUUUGAUACAAGAUGCCCUUGCCGCACUAUGUAAUAACCUUUUUGUUAAUAGGGUAUUUUAGAUAAUUAAUUAGAGGUAAAAUUGAAAUUCUUGAUAGAAAGAAUAUUAUAUAAGAUGAAGUUUCUAUAAGGCCUAGGCUUUAUAAAAACAAAAUAAAGCCUCACCUCAAAUCCUUAUCUAGAAAGCACUUUAGGCAUGGCAAAUCUUUAAGACUGUUCCAAAACAAUUUCCAACCUCAUCAACAAAAUUUGAAGCUAAAAAAUGGUAUAGAUCUUGCGCAUCUAUGAACACUUAUUUUUAAAUUGGAAUGGAUGGUCUACAUGAUUUGUUGCAAUAUAGACUAUUUUUAAGACUUAGAAAUCUUAACUUUCUUUCAUAACCAUAACAUUCAAGCUGAAAUAAUUGAAUUUAAAGGCUUUUCAAUACAAUUGCAAUUUUUGAGAAGGUAUGAGGUGAGGCUUUACCUAUACGUUUGGAGCCAUAUCAAAACAUUUUCCUCUUUAUUCUGACUUGUAGCGAAGGAUGAUGUCAUUGUCAUACCACAUUUUUCUAUUAUUUUUGACUUGUAGCGAAAUAUGAUAUCAUUGUCAUACCACCUAUAUGGAGCAAUGAUUGUUUUUUAACAACGGAUAAAUGUCAAAAAUAUCUAUUUUAUCUCUCUUGAUUUCAAAAGUGCACUUAUUAAAAAAAAUUAUAUUAUAAAACAAGGGUGCAUGAAUUUUCAAAAAGUUGAUUAUAUUACGAGAAUACUCGUAUGUAUAAGUACCCUAACAUAAUCCUUCUUUAUAGGUGAUCAAGAUUUUUAACUACUUUUUGUCCAAGAUCUUGGAUAGUAGAGAUAAGGUUUGAGAAAAGGGUGAGACUUAUAUAAGGCACCCACCUUAAACAAUCAAGAGGCACUUUUAGGACAGAUGCAUUUGGGUGCUAGAACUCUUAGAGUGGCUCUCAAAAUUUGUUUUUACUAGUAAUUAUGGAAUUUAAAGCUCUAGAAAUAUAGAUAAUGUGUUACAAAAUACUUUAUUUUUAAGAUUUGAAAUCUUUUCUUUCUUUCUUUUUUUCGUAUUUGUACAUGUCGAUGAUCAAUUUGAGACUUCGUAAACCUCAGACAAACCUUUUUCAAUAUAUUUUUAGAUGUGCCUUAGUUCUAUAUUAUAAAAUUCAUACCUUAUAUAUUUUGUUUGUAGGGGAAAUGAAAGCUGAAACUAAGCUGAAAUUAUACCUUAGUCGAGAAAACUGAAAUUAAGUAGCAUUAAGGUUUAUCAUACUAUUUUGUUUGGAGAAAUCCUAAAUUGAAGGUAGCGGAUCUGUGUUAACCACACUUUCAAAAGAGAUUGAAUUAUUGGGGAACUAGGACCUGACACCAAGCUCAUCGCCAAAGGUUCAUACAAGUGUUUCAGAACCCAAAUUGGUAGAGCGUAUCAUUCACCUAUAGAUAUGUGCUACAUAGGUGAUCUUGAUCAAAUCUAAAUCAGUUCAAAUUAGUAGAUCCAAAAAAUAUGAAAAAUAAUUAAAAUAAAAUAAAAACAAGGAUUUAUGAGAUGCGAAUAUAGAGGGAAUUUAAUAAAUAUUAGAUAAACCUAAAAAAGGAAAAAUAUAUAUGUUUUUGUGUUUUUUUUUUGGGGGGAGGAGGAGUCGGUCAUCUAGGGGGAACCGAAAUAGGACCCAUACCAUUAAGGAAUUGGUUUGGUCACGAUUCCCCAUACUGAUCGAAAAUCGCUAGAUCUUAAAACACUAGGCAAUACGAAAACAUCUAGUUUGUUUGAUACCCUAUUGUUAAUAUCUAGAUAAAAAACCCCUGUUGUUAAUAUCUAGAUAAAAAUAAUUCUUACUGAGCUUUCUUUCUCUCAACAGAAAGACAGCUUUGUGCGUUGUAAAUCUUCUUGUUUUAGAGUAGUCAAUAGAGUGUUUGAUCUUUUAUAUGAUCGCACUCUCAACCAUUUCACGCUAUUAUAUAAAGGUUAGAACUAAUCUUAUUCAAACUUGAAAUGGGACCUCAGCUUUUCAUCAAGGCACAAUGGAAUCCUCAAAUUCUCAUACUUCUACUCUUGAGACUCCUAUUUGAACGCACUUUGAGAGUACAGGUCGGAUCGGGCUGGAUCCGAAUCUAAAUGGUAUGUGUCGGAUCGGGGUUUAAAUCGGAUCCUGGACGUUUAGAUCUGGAUANNNNNNNNNNNNNNNNNNNNNNNNNNNNNNNNNNNNNNNNNNNNNNNNNNNNNNNNNNNNNNNNNNNNNNNNNNNNNNNNNNNNNNNNNNNNNNNNNNNNNNNNNNNNNNNNNNNNNNNNNNNNNNNNNNNNNNNNNNNNNNNNNNNNNNNNNNNNNNNNNNNNNNNNNNNNNNNNNNNNNNNNNNNNNNNNNNNNNNNNNNNNNNNNNNNNNNNNNNNNNNNNNNNNNNNNNNNNNNNNNNNNNNNNNNNNNNNNNNNNNNNNNNNNNNNNNNNNNNNNNNNNNNNNNNNNNNNNNGAAUCUAGGUCAAUCUGACAAUCACGGAUGUCUGGUAGUGUUUGAAUUUUAGUUUUUUUUUCUAUAAAUCCAAAUUACUUGAAAUUUUAGGUGCGUAUUCAUAAAAAAUAAUUAGAUCUUGGAAAAAUAUCAAAAACAUAUUUACAUAAAAUAAAUUCACCAAAAUACCCCCAAAACUUUUUGAGGGGUAUUUUGGUCUUUUUAUUUUUUACGAAUAAAUUUUUUUAUAUUUUUAUUAGGUGCGCCUUGAUGAGAAGAAAACACACCUAAAAUUUCAAGUGGUUUGGAUUUGUAGAAAAAAAAAAAAAAUUAAAACACUACCAGACAUCUGUGAUCGUCAGAUCGAUCCAGAUUCAAUCUGGGCCAUUGGGCUCAUCUGUUUAUAUGAGUUAGUGGGCUAAUCCCAUCUUUUUCUUAUAUACAUUAAUUAUUUAAAAAACUCGGGUUAGAUUCAGAUUAAAAUCCGAAUCAGAUCUGGAUCGGAUUCGCUUGAACCCAGAUUCAAUCCAAAUUCCAUUAUAAACCUAACUUGGGUAUGGAUCCAAAUUUUGAGUCUAACCUCAAUUCGAAUAAGAUCUGAGAUCUAGGUUUCAAAUCGGGAUAGGGUCAAUUCUCACCCUUAGGUACUUCCAAUCUUUCUAAUAUUGCAUUCUUACAAAGGGAGGACUCCAACCUUGGUUCGUAUUAAUAUACUUUUGAGAAAGUGAAAAUAUUUCCACAUCUUGGUUCACAUGAAAUUACUUUUUCGGAAAUAUUUUCACGCAAACCAAACGUGUUUAAGUCUAAUUCCAUUUUGCCAACUCAAACCAACUCCACCAACUCAAACUAACUCCACCAAGCUUCUACCCAUGAGCAUGUAGAAGUAAGAACGUAUCAUUGUUUGUAGGACUUCAUUCAUCAUAUACAACAUGACUGCAACCUACUGUUGGACCCUCUCAGUGGGGCAAUUGAGAAAGGGGUAUGCUAAUCACUAAAAUUUGUUUGAUCUACAUAAACAUACAGUGAGUUUAGAGACAAUCUUUUCCUCCAAUGUCAGGGCUAAAUCAUUUAUAGCUAAAAUGCUAGAUUGGCUUAGGCGAAACUCAACAUAGUCCUUCUAAACAAUUAAACAUCCUAUCUGUCAAUGGGGAACACUGAACUACAAAUGUUGAUAAUAUAAGAUAAAUUCUUGUGUCUUUGAGAUGCAUGAGAGGAUUGUGACAACAACUAAAGCUGCAAUUAUAUCUGGCUCGUACUUUGAAAGAUUUGUAGUAUAUAAUCACAUACACAUAAAUGAUCUUCGGAGUAAAUCGACCAUUGUACUCAUUUUAACUAAAUAGGCCUUUGUGGACAACUACUCUUUUUAUGUGUAAAGGCUAUGAAAUGUGGACCAUACUCCUUUUCUCUCAUGGAUAUGUAAAGGCAAUGAAAGGUGGACCAUACGCCAUUUUAUGUCAUGGAUAUGAGGCUGAAUUAGCGUGACUGGAGUGAAAGUGGUGGUUGAUCACUCAAUAUCAACAGUGGUUUAAUUAUGCAGUAUUUUGCUGCUUGAAAAUAAAUAUAAAAAUAAUUUAAGAAUCGAAUGUAUAUAGAACAAUGUGUAAUGCAGUUCAUGAUGUUAUUUUCUUAAAAAGCUACCCUUUAGUAAGGUGAUCAAACUGGAAUUUCAAAAAGAUUAAAUUUUAAAUGCAGAAGAUAUAACGACACAUAUAACCAAAACCAAAAGAUUACAAAUCCAUCAUCAUAAACAAUAUUAAAACACAAUUAAUAAAAAUAAUAAUAGAUAAUCAAUAAAAAAUUACACAUCACAAUCAUAAUAAAAAAUUUCACACAACAUAAUAUUGAAAUAAGAUACCUCUUUAGUCUUCUCCAAUGCCUCAAAAUUUUCUACUCCAAUUACCAAAACUUUUAUUUUACUAAUCAAAUUUCUUCCCAUUUUUUAACUUUACCGUAAAGAUUAUGAAUUUGGUAUCAUAAAUUUGUUGCUUAUUUGAAAUUAUAUAAAGAGACAUUUGAAAGGCUUCUAUAAAUAAAAAAAAAAAAAGGCUUAUCACAAUAAAAACAUGUUAUUUCAAUUAUAUUAUUCCAAUGUCUUAUCAUGAUGAAACCAAUGUCUAUUCAUGUUAGAAGACAUGUGAUUCCUUUUAAAUGCCAAAUGCAUGCAAAAUAAGUAGUUAGUUAGAGUAGGUGCACACUAAAGAAUAACUAUAUUAAUGCAAAAAAUAAAAAAUGCAUAUUUUAUUAUACACCUAGCCAUUCCCCAAAAAACUCAAAAUAUCAAAGAAAACUAAACUAAUUUUUUUUAGAAUAGAAUGAAAAUAGAAGGAUAAAAAAUAUCUUUAAUUUGCAUGAGAACUGAAAUGUCACACACCGAAAAAGUGCAUAUUUGAUUGAACACCCACCAUAAUUAUGUAAAAUAAAUUAUCGCAGUCAUAAUCAAAGUAAAAUAUGUAAAUAAAUUAAAAUAAACGUUUAGUUAAUAUUUAGUCAAUAUUUUAAAAAAUCUAUAUAAAACCUGUUUAAGACCAACAUCACUCAUAUAAGCUCUACAAGGCAUGUUAUUCCCCAUUGAUCUACAUUGGCAAUAAAAUGGAUAAAAGCAAGUUAGAAUAUUUAUCAAAUACCCAAAUAUGCAAAAAAUAAAGUAAUAAUCCAUACAUAAAAAAAAGAAGAGAAAAACAUAAAUAAUUUAAAAUAUUAUAUAGUUCACAACAAUAAUAAAUGGAAAAAACUAUAGUAAGCCCAAAAUUUACCACAGGGACAAUUUUAUCAUCAAUUCACAGUCAAAUAGUGGAAGACACGCACAUCGUAUCAAAUAUCAACCUAUGCAAUAUACAAACAAAAAAAAGAUGUUAAACAAUUAUAAAAGAUAAAAUUGAUCAUAUUUCCAAUGAUGAAAAUAGACAAAUAAAAAAAUAGAAAAGGUUCCUUUAGACCUAGAGGGCAUCAGAAAACCCUGAAAUUGACGAUCUUGAUCGUGCCCGUUAUGGAUCUAAAUAUAGAAAAAAAAGAUACUACAGGUCUUAAAAAUAUUGUAUCUUGCUACACAUUAUCUAGAUAUUUCGUACACAUUAUCUGGAUAUUUCACUUUCAUGUGCUCACAGAUCUGCCAAUUCAACACCAUUCCAUUCUGAAGCUUCAAAUUUCAUAUUAGAUUUUUUUUGGGCAUCACAGGAGUCAUUAUUUAAGGAUGCAUCAUCUGGGGCUUUGUUCUACACUUUCACUUUUGUUCCUGAACCACAACUUUAUGCAAACCAUAGGUACAUCUCUCUUAACAACAAAAAAGCCAUGAAUGCAUCUCUCUCCAGCAACAAAAGAAAAAAUAAAAAUAAAUAAAUAAAUAAAAAAUAUAUAUAUAUGUCAUGAGAUGUUUUCCUCUUAUAUUGUUCAUCAGUUUCUCUAUCUUCUGUUGCAAUGGCUGUCCAGCUUCACUCUAUCUUUUGCCAAUGUUAAUCUCUGUAAAACUGCAAAUGGGUUUUUUUUCCUCUUUAAAGCUGAAAUUGGGUUUCUCCCCUUGCGUUUCUUUCUUGAACACUGUAAAUGUAUGUCUUUCUCAUGCAAAUGGUUUCUCCCUCCUCUGUAAAUUCUUAGGAGAAAGUAAGAAUGAGAUAGCUUAGGUUCCUUGUCCUCACAAUUAUCUAGGCAAAACCUGGGUCAUUGGGAUGAACACAGUCAGCCGCAGUUGAAUUGUCCUGUAAUAAAGUCUCAGUGGUUGAGUUCCUACAUAACAAGGUACCGUCUGCGAUCCUUGGGUCAAAGUUGGCCACUUUGGUAUUAGAAUCAAGAGGGAUUGAAUAGGAACUUGAGGUUCCAAGCAUUUAUUCAUGACAUUUAGCCUCACAGAGAGCAACCUUUCCUUUCGAAAUCUGCUCAUCCAAUGGCCAAUUGAUCUUGCCAAGCCUUCAGAUGAAAUCUUCAUCAAUUCAUUCCUGAGUACUCUUAGUGUGGUUUGCAUCCUUGAGCUGAGCCUCGAGUUCUUGAAUCCUUUUUCUCUGUCCCGGUGUUAUUAUCUCUGCUUCAGCAAUCUUGGAGACCAUGCUUGCUUGAAGCGAAGGAUCAUGGAGAGAGAGCCUCUUCUUUGGUCGCUGCCAAGUCUUGAUGAAGGCACAGAGCCUUAUGCUCAGAGACAAGAAUCCAUGCAGCCGUACCAUUGACUAUAUCAGAAGAAGCCUAGUUCAUCUCUGGAAUUAUCAGAUACCAGAAAUAUACUUAAUUAUCAUUCAGAUACACGCCCUUCUCUUCUGUUUCCUUUUUUUUGGUAUUUUAUUUUUUCCAAAUUAGCUUUUAUGCCCUUCUCUUCUGUUUUUUUUUUUUGGUAUUUUAUUUUUUUCAAAUUAGCUUUUAUGGUAGUCGUAUUACAGAACCGUGAUAGUCUUUGUCGGAUACAACCAUGAAUUGAGAAGAAGAGGGUACAGAGAGAGGGAGAGAAAUCCAACAAAGAUAGUUUUUUUUGGUAUUUUAUUUUUUCCAAAUUAGCUUUUAUGCCCUUCUCUUCUGUUUCUGUUUUUUUUGGUUUUUUUUUUUUCAAAUUAGCUUUUACGGUAGUCGUAUUACAGAACCGUGAUAGUCUUUGUCGGAUACAACCAUGAAUUGAGAAGCAAAGGGUACAAAGAGAGGGAGAGAAAUCCAUCAAAGAUAGAGAAAGUGACGAUCUACUCAAGUCGGAAACUUGUUUGAAGAAGCUAAAUUAAUCAGAUACUUGUUUGAAGAAGCUAAAUUAAAGAAUGGUCAAGGUCUGAACUGUUGUGAAAAUGUAGGAAUUGCGACUGGAAAUUGAGGAUGUGGAGAAUUUGGUGGAGACCCUGAAUUGAAGAGCAUGGUUCAGUGGCUGGCAGCUUCUCCGAUGAAUGAUCUCUCUCUCCAUGCUUCUCUUCGUAGUCUUAAGCUCCAUUCGAAUCCAAUAAUAUUUCUCUCAUUUUUAUCGUCCACCAUGAGAAAGGGAGUGACUUUAUCCUCCAAUCGCUUUCUCUCUCUAUCUUUGUUGGAUUUCUCUCUCCUCAAUCUCUCCACUCCUCUAAAGACUAUUACGAUUUUGAGCAUCGUGAUACCUCUCUCGGUCUCAUGCCACUUUAACUGCAGCCGUGCCUUUAAACAUUGCGACAUCAUUAUUUUGAUAAAAAAUUAAUAUAAAUAGUAAAAAAAAAAAAAGUGUGAAUGAAAUUUAAAAAAGUAUAGUUUUUUUUUUUAAUUAGCCCAAAAUUAAAGUGUGUUUCUGAUCAUUUCCCUUAUAUCUAUAAAGAAUUUACAGUAAGAAAUGCAGCAUACCUCUUAACCCAGCUCAAUGUAUAUUACAACAAAAAGAUUAAAAAAAAAAAGCUAACUAAAAAUCAAGAUAAUUUAAGACCAUACAAAUUCUUUUUUUUUUUUAAGAAAAUAAACAUUGAAAUGAAGGAAUUUCAUAUCACUCACAACAAAAAAUAAAUAGGAAUGCACAAUGAAAAGCUCUAUUGAGAAAUUAAAAUAGGAAGGAAAAAUUCAAAGCUCAAAGAUUACCAUCUAAUUCAAAUGAUAAGAGAAAAUACCAUGUAAAAGGUUGAAACCUUUUACAAAAUCAUUAAAGCGAUCAAAUUAUCUCAAUUAACAUUUGCGGAUUAUUUCUUCUUUUUGUUUCACUUAGAUAUCUCAUAAAAAAAUAAAAAUAUUCAAUUGCAGGAUUGAGAAGGAGAAGGAAUAAGGGGCAUAUAAUCUUAUUCUCCAAGAGCCCCAACUAAAUGAUGAAAAAACCUCUGCUUAUUGAGGAUCAGAAACAAGGACUGUACUAUUCAAUGUUCCUAACGAGGAAUAAUUAGGGGUAUUUUUCCCUAAUUAUUCAUCAUUAUUAAACAACCCACAUUGAUUUAUCAUACCGUUCUAACCCUUUUUCUAGUUCACGUUGCAUCAACAUAAAAGUCCAUUAGGCUGCAAUGUGAUAGGUGGCUUGGGGUGGCAAUGUCAUAGCAAAAGUUGAAUGAGGCUUUUGAGCAACAGCAAAAAAUCUUUGCUUUUUUUUGGAAAGUUGACCACAAAUUUCAUCGCCUCAAAAAGAAAUACAAAAAAAAUCACCAGCAAAGAUGGGUAUACUCCCCUUUUAGCAAGAACAUCAGCCUCAACAUUACAUUUUAUAGUAAUGCACAAGUCAAAAAAAAAAAAAAAAAAAAACCUAUAAAUUUCAUCGGGGCGGCUUUAUCGCUCUUUUUGCCCACGUAAUAACGUUAGAGGAGUCCCUUUCAAUUGUCUUAUGACUAUCUAACUUCAUAAUUAUUUUUAGGACUUUCAAAAUUCCUCUCGAUUGAGCCUCAUUAGUAUUCCCAUAUGAACUUGAGAAUGUUUUUAAAAUACCACUAUUGUGGUUUCUAAUGAGUCUUCCAAAAUUAGCUGGACCUGGGUUGCCCACACAACUAUCAUCAAAAUUAAGCUUCAACCAUUCAAAGGAUGUGGUUUCCAAGUAGUUCUAAUUAAAUUGGAGUAUGGACACAAUUUUGCCACUUCCAACGGAUUUUGAAAAAUCUGACUUUUGGGUAUACUAGUGCACUCCUUAUGCAUCGAGAGCCAAUCUAUUGCCAUUGCUAAAAUAUUUGAUUUCAAAACAUCCAAAUAUAAGAACACGCCUUCAAAAAUUCUCCUAUUGUGCUCUCUCUAUAUAUUCCAUAUUAUGCUGGUCCAUAAAGAUCGCCAUAGAACAGUGCCAAUCUUUGGAAGACCCGGGUGCAUCCAUUAUUGAAGAAUAACAUCCAUUGUUGAAGAAUAAUAACAAAAUAUCCUUGUUGUUGAAGUGAAGAAAACUAUAGGCCACGCUAGCUGCAAAUAAACUUGUAGUGUGCUAAGGCUAGGCUCAGUCAACUCGAGCCUAAAAAAUUAGGACAUGCUCCAUGAUAUGGGCCUUGAGGGCUGGGCAACCACGGUCCAAGGGUAGAAUUGGGCUUUGGUGAAGGCCAGCCUGGUUUGACCCAAUUGGGCCCUCUAUUUAUUUUUUCAUUUGUUUUAUUCUCUAUUUUAUUUGGCCCAACCCGGCCCCGUUCUGAUAGGGUUAGGGCUAGGCUUGGGCUUGGACUAGGCCUUUUGGCCUUGGUAGGCCUAGGCCAACCCUAUGGGGACUAGGGCCAACGGUGGCCCGGCCCAUUGCCACCCCCUAUUAGACGGUCCAAGUUGAUUUAACCUGUUUUUUAAUGAACCCAAGAGAAAUAAAUAAUUAUGUAGUUUGUACAAGGUGCCCAACUUAUACUACUAGUAAGGUGUAACUCUAAAUUUUACAAAAGAUGUAGUUUCAAUGUUGAAAAUCUUACGAUGGCUUGAAAAUUCAUGUUCUAUCCUAAUUAUAAAUUUUUAAAUUUCAAAAAUGGAGCAAACUGAGUAGAUUUAUAAAUACAUGAAAUUCUUGGAAAUAGUUGGUCUAGGUAACUUCUUAUGAGAUGCACUAUUUUUAGAGUUUGAAAUUCUCUUUGUUUAUAUCUUUAGAUCUCGAAUUCAAGAUCAUCAAUUGGGUGGUUUUCCAAUUUUGAAACACUAGUUUCAAUUGGAUUUUUAGUGUACACCUUAUUUCUAUAGUAUAAUAUUGCAACCUUCUAUAAAUUAUUUCAAAAAUAUUAAUCUCUUAUUAUGGACCAUAAAAUUGCACAUAAAAAAGAUCUCCGUAAAAAGACUAUUUUGAGAGGGGUGUGGUUUGCAUAAGGUUGCAAUGUUAAACAAUAAAAAAAAAAAAGGUGCUCCUCCAAAUUUUUUUAUAAAAUAUAAUUUUGAUAUUAAAAAUUCUUAUGAUUGCUUGAGAAUAUAUUUUUAUCUCUAAUUAUAAAAUUUUAAACUCAAAAUAUGAUUCAAAUCAAGUAGAUUUGUAACAACAUGAAAAUCUUGGAAGUGGACGGUCCAGAUAAUGUGUUGCAAGGUGUACUAUUUUUGAGACUCCAAAUCUUUUUUUCUGUACAUCUCGAUAUUGAGAUAAUCAAUGAAAAUUUUUUUUAAAAUUAAAAUAAUUUUUUCUUAUGGAUUUUUGAGAUGCAUAUUAAUUCUAUAUUUUAAGGGUGCAACCUGAACUUUUUUCAUUUCGAGCGACGGAGUAAAUGCAUCGCAUGCUCUCGUGGACCUCAGAACCAAAAGAAAAUUGGAGGGAAAACCCAACCCUGAGAGAGAGAGGACUUUAAGCGAGGAGCGGGAGGGUAAUGAAGCACCACUCGGAAAAAUGGCGAGAAGGAGGCGACUGAGAUUGCAGGUCUCUUCAGACGAAGAAGAAGAAGAAGAAGAAGAAGAAGCAGUCGAUGGCAUUGAAACCCCAAUUCGUUCAAAUCCCCAACCACCACCCCAAGCACAGAGCAGUGCCUUUGAAAUUUCAGACGAUGAAUACAUGGACGUCGAACAAUCACUCUCCGCCCCCUCUCCUCCUCUUCAAGAUGAUCUAAACCAGAAUUUCACCGGAAUCCAGUUAAAUUCUGGCGAUUAUCCUGGCCAAAAUCAAAAUUUCAUUGGAACCCAUUUCGAUUCCGGUGAUUUUUCUGGCCAAAAUCAAAAUUUCAUUGGAACCCAUUUCGAUUCCCGUGAUUUUUCUGGCCAAAAUCAAAAUUUCACUGCCGUAGAAUCAAAUUCCGUCCCUUUCUCUGGCCAAAAUCGAGAUACCGGAAUUCAUUCGAGUCCUGGUGAGUUUUCCGGCCGUUCUGGUUCAGUGGAUGUGGUUUUUAGGGGAAUGGGGCUCCAGCUCAAGAGAGAGUGGCUGGAGUCUUGUUUUGAGGGUUUAAUGGCUUCUCAAAUAGGGUUUUCUCAGAAGAGUAGUCUCGAGCAGGCCGAGCUUUACUUCGCUCAGUUCCUUGUGGCUGAUAUGAAUGAUGUUGGUAAUGGUGUGCUUCCCUCUAAUGUCAAUGCCAUGCAUGGCACAGAGAUUGCUGGCCCUUUUAUUUUGCAGGUAAAAUUCAUUGAAUUCUUAUUUGUCUUAUCUCACUGCUAUUUGAACAGUUUUUGUUAGAAUCUUAGGUCUGAAAGCUUGAAGCACCAUUGAAAGAUAGAGGAGAGAAUUUUUUUUUUCAUGGGAGAUUAGCAGUUGUUGCUAUGAUGUGCUUUGUGAACUAUGAAAGUUCGAGAUUUAGAGUUGUAUAUGUUGGGCUAUCUUGAUUUCGCUGGUAUGAAUUCUGAUUAUUGGAGUAGAGAUUUAGAAAUGCAUUUGUGUUAGUUUUCAAAUUCGAUAACAUAGAGGGACAUGAACACAGCGCACAUCCAAGCAAUUCUACAGAGAAUGAGAGAGUGAAGCGCUAGAGAAUGCACAUUCAAUAAUCUUAUUUUAUUUAAGUUGUUAUUUGUCCAUAAUCAUCAAUGUUAAUGUUAUGAAAUACCAACAAAAAGAAAGCUGAUGCCUCACUGAGCAAAUUCUAUUGCCCACAUUCUCCUGGUUCUCAAUCAUUAUAUAUAAUGCAAAAACAAAGAAAAAUCUUAAUUAUAAUGAGAUUUUCUUAUUACCCCAAAAAAAGACAAUCUAUUCAUGAUGAAAGGCUUAUUUCAAAACAUAAUGCUAUAUUGUUUGGUUCCUAUAGUAUGGAUAUUGUGGGAUAAAGUAAAUCUGCACUGGUAUGUGUCUCUUUAUAAUAUUUCAUUAUGGUGGUUGUAGAACUGACUUUUGCACGACAUGUUCUUUGGGGCUUUUUGCUUGACUUGGCCCAGCCAUUCUACCCAGUGUUUUACUAAUGCUGAUCCAUGUUGGGAGUCUGUGGGGACCGACCAAGUUCCUAGUCAGAACUGGGAAUUGGUCUGAUUUUGGUACACUCACUUGGUUCUAUCAGUGAACUAGGCAAGUAUGUCAAGGAGCUAGGCUAUCUGGAUUGGCCGAAUUGCCCAUUUCACACCUAUUUUAUUUUUUUAUGAUUUUUUCAAAUUUUUUAUUUUUUGAAAAUAUCAGCUCAAAUCUUAUUUGGAUCGGACUCCUGCACCGUAGAAUAGGUGCUUUCUGGCCUGGAUGGGCGAUCAAAAUCUGUUCAAUGGGUGAUCAAUCUGCCCCCUGAUCUAGGUUUUAAACCACUGAUUCCACCUAUUGUUUUUGCCCUAGAAAAAGGUAAAACAUAUAGAAUAUUCAGUUUACGAGAGAGUUCGCUUAAUGCUCAAACCAAUUUGUUCCUUAUGGCCUGUGCUAUAGCUACCAUAAAGCAACACUAUACUAAGAAAACAAAUAAUGUUAAUGUGAAUGUCUAUCUCUUUGAUAUGCACUGAUUUCUACUAUUAUUAUUAUUAUUAGAAUUAUUAUGUGUGUGUGUGCGUGUGCGUGUGUGUGUGCGUGUGCGUGUGCGUGUGUGUGUGUGUGCGUGUGCGCGUGUGUGUGUGUGCGUGUGCAUGUAUAUGUCCAUUACAUAUAUUUGUUCGGCUUCUAUAAUCUGCGAAUUUUCAUACAUCCAUAUGUGGGUGUGCACUGUGUACGCAUGUCUGAGUGUGUAUGUCGGAAUAUUUCUCUUGUGAUUUGAGAUUCAAGUUGCUUUACAACUUCAGAAGGAAGUAUAUAUGUGUCUAACAUUGGUUUAAAUUUUCUUGACAGGUUGAUGAAACAGUUAACAUUAGUUCUCCUCUUAAAGACAGGUAUAAGGAAGUUGCUGCUGGUCCUAAGAGGUGCCUUAAAUUAUCAAUGACAGAUGGUGUACAACGUAUAUUUGGUAUCGAAUAUCGCCCUAUUAAAGAGCUUAUGGUUCUUGCUCCAGCUGGUUUAAAGGUCUGAUAUGCUGCCCUUCAUCGCAGCAUGUGGGAUUUCUAAUAAUUAGUACUAUUCUACCUCUCGAUAUCAAAUUAAGUGAUAGUCAACAUUUUUGUCUAUUUUGUAAGUUCAUCACCCAGUUUUAGGGCAUGGUUACUUGCCUUGAAUCUAUUACUGAUACAGAGAGAAGUAUUAUGGAUUAUUAUAGAAGGGUAUUGCUUUCCCAAUUUUCAGCAAAUAAUUUUAGAAAGUAAAUACUUCGGGAGAGUAGAGGUAAGAAGGACCUAGGAAGACAGUCAGCCAUUUUUUUCUUGUAUUUAUAAGCACCGAGCAAAUUUCUAGUGCAUUGAGGGAACCUAUAUGUUUUCUGAUUGCCAUUUCGAAAGCUCAAUGGUUGUGAAUUAUGGUUUUUCAACCAAGUUUGGACUUCUUGUUUUAAAUGGGUGUGGAUGUUUGUUUUUUUCUUUUCUUUUUGAGGUUAGAAAUGCUUUAGGCUUCUUGAUGCUUGAGUAUUUUUAUUCUGGUUCUAAGAAUUAUAACUUUCUCUUCUGACUCCCUGUUAAAUAAGCAGCACUUGUGUAGUUCAGAAAACAUGCGACUUCUUUACAAUGUAAAAGGAAUCUUCUAUAUGAUAUUCUGAACUUGUUUACAUUUAUUGAGAAUGUGUCCCUAGAGAAUCUAUUAUAUGAAAAUGUGCCACUAGAGAAUCAUGGACUAUCUACCUUAGGCGAUAGAUGGGGGUGCAAAGCGGAAGACUUGCCAUCGGCCUACUUGGGUCUGCCGCUGUGCGUUGGCAAGCCCAAAACUAGUCAAUGGAGCCACAUUAUCGACAAAUUCGAUUGCAGAAUCGAGGGAUGGAAGGGCAGAAUUUUAUCAUCUGCAGGUUGCCUAACUCUCAUCAAGGCCACCCUCUCCAACAUCAUAUUUUUCCAGAUGUCCCUCUUUGAUGCAGAUAAAGAUUAGGAAAAAUUCAAAAUGUUUAGUGUUAUUAUUAUUUUUUAGUUUUUCUUAGGGAUAGGAAGUGCUGCACUGGGAUUGAGGGUUGGAUUUUAGGAUAAACUAGGCUUAGUUGGUUUUAAAGAGAUAAAUUAAGCAUGGUUGGGUUUUCAGGAUAUACAAUUGGGAUAACUUGGGCUUAUCUAAAGAAGUCCUACUUUUAUGGACUUAAUUUAGAAAGAGAUUUUAUGGAGGAUCACUUAGAGAUUCAUGUGAGAGAGAAAAUAGGGAGAUGGAGAGAGAGAAAAAAUAGGGAGCUUGGGAAAAAAACGUGGAAGUUAGAGAGUUUUAUGGGUUUUUUUAUUUCUUAUUUUGUAUUUAAAGGAAAGUCCCUCAUUGUAAAGAGAGAGAUUGGAAUUCAGUAAAGUUGAUAUUGUGAAAAGAUCUUUUUGGGGUGGAUUCCAUUGCAGACCUUGAAAGAGGGUAUAUUCUCUCAAACUUUUAUUUUAUUUUUAUUUUUUGGUUUGUUAUUAUUUCUUCCUGCAUCAGUUGGUAUCAUAGCCUUGAGAUAAAAAAUCUAUUCACUAUAUGGAGUGUUUGGAUUGACUCGAGCAAUUCGAUAGACACAUGGAAGACCUUCGCAGAUCAGUAUAACAAUAUCUACAAAAUCGACAAUUCAAUGGAUACAUGGAAGACCUUCGCAUAUUAAUAUAACAAUAUCGACUUAGUAUAUUGUAACAAGAGGAAAAAGAAUAUGAAGAGGUAGAUCUCGAUGCAAAAGACGAUCUUGAUACCCAAACACGCAAGAAAUAUUGAAAAUCAAUUGUGAAGAAAAUGAUAUGUUUAUUGCAGCUUAUGAAACACCACCCUGUGAGCCUAAAGGAGAAAUCAAGAUUCAAUUUGAUAUUUCAGAGUUUGGUGCCUCAAACUUCCACUAUAAAUUGUGUUGGAUAUAUCGUUUAUUUAUUGAAGAAAAAGUAUUGAAGCGCUUGGUGGGACUCCAUCACUAGCUUUUGUGAAGACCUCUAAAAGAUUUGAAUUCUAUAAACUCGAGGUUGAGCUUCUUCCAACCUGGAGAGAAUUCGAUAAGCUCGAGGUUGAGCUUCUUCCAACCUGGAGAGAAUUCGAUAAGCUCGAGGUUGAGCUUCUUCCAACCUGGAGAGAAUGAUGCAGAUAAGGAUAAGAAAAAAUUCAAAAUGUUUAGUUUUAUUAUUUUGUUUUUAGUUUUUCUUAGGGAUAGGAAGUGCUGCAUCGGUAUUGAGUUUUUUUUUAUUCGUCAAAGGGUUGGAUUUUAAGAUAAGCUAGGCGUAGUUGGUUUUAAAUAGAUAAAUUAAGCAUGGUUGGGUUUUCAGGAUAUACACUUGGGAUAACUUGGGCUUAUCUUAAGAAGUCCUACUUAUGGACUUAAAAUUUAGGAAGAGAUUUUGUGGAGGAUCACCUAGAGAUUCACGUGAGAGAGAAAAUAGGGAGAUGAACAGAGAGAAAAUAGGGAGCUUGGGAAAAAACGUGGAAGUUAGAGAGAGAGAGUUUUAUGGUUUUUUUUUUAAUUUCUUAUUUUAUAUUUAAGGGAAGGAUGUCCCUCAUUGUAAAGAGAGUGAUUGGAAUUGAGUAAAGUUGAUCUUGUGAAAAGAUCUUUUUGGGAGUGGAUUCCCUCGCAGACCUUGAGAGAGGGUAUAUUCCCUCAAAUUUUUAUUUUAUUUUUAUUUUUUCGUUUAUUAUUAUUUCUCCCUGCAUCACUCUUCCAUAUGCCAUCCUCGGUGGCCAACUGCCUAGAGCAACUCAUGAGGAACUUUCUCUGGGUAGGGGGAAUAAAGUACUACCUCAUCUCUAGGGGCCAAAGUUUGCACUCCCAAGUCCCUAGGAGGCUUAGCCAUCCACAAUCUAAAAUCCAAAAAUCUAGCCCUUCUUGGUAAAUGAUGGAGAAUCACCUCUUGGAAGACAUCAUCCAACAUAAAUACUGUGGGAGUCAGCCUGGCUUCCCAAUGGUAGGGCCACCCCCAAUCCUUCGGGGGAUUGGAGAUCUUUGCUUCGCAGCUUUCCCCUCUCUUCGUUAGAAAUAUUCGCUUCCAUCCUCAGGCUAGUCACAAAGUCCUCUUCUGGUCCGAUUUAUGGCUAGGCCAGGCACCCGUCAUGGAAAGGCUUACCCACCUAUUCCUUGUAACCGGAGCCCCCAGGCCAAAGUAGCAGACAGUUUCCAGGCCUUGGGCCCUGGUAGGGUGUGGAAUCCCACUUUCAGAUGACCCCUGUCGGACCAAGAGGUCCCAGAAUUCCUGGCUCUCUCAUCCCUACCACGUUCAACCUUCCUCCGACCCCUUGGGAGUGAUAAGAUUACUGGUCCCCAGCCCCUUCUGGCGUGUUCUCAGUCUUAUCUUUCGAUGUCACUCUUCAAUUGCCCUCUACCUUGCCACUUCACACCCUUCCAUUGCGGCCAAAGCCUGGUUGCCUCUUGUCCCUCCCAAAUUCCAAAUAUUCAACUAGAUCACCAUUUCCGAAAGAGCCGUAACUAUAGACCAACUCCAAAGAAGGGGACUGCAAUUGCCUAACAGAUGUACCAUGUGCACCGUGGAGUAAGAGACCAACAGCCAUGUCUUCAUCCACUGUGACAUAGCCAGCACUCUGUAGGGGAAGAUACUCCAGCUUUUUCAUUGGUUGUGGGUGACUCCGCAUUCAGUCCCUCAACUUUUUCGUUCUUUCUUUCUCCACCGUGGUCCAAAUAUGGCAUUGCACUGGACUUUCCUGCUCUCAAGAAUUUUGCCGAUAGUUGGGGUUGUAGGGCUGAAAAGCUCCCCUUCAAUUACCUAGGACUGCCACUUUGCAUUGGUAAGCCUAAAAAGAGGGAGUGGUCCCACAUCAUGGACAAGGUUGAUCGAAAACGGGCAGGAUGGAAGGCCGGUUUCUAUCCCUGGGGGUUAGGCUUACUCUAAUCAAGGCCACUUUGGCCAAUACGCCAAUUUACCAAAUGUCUCUUUUCCACAUGCCAGUAGCAAUCAGUUCACGCCUAGAACAGUUAAUGCACAGAUUCUUCUGAUCUGGGGAGGCAGUGAAUCACAAAUUCCACCUUAUCUCUUGGGACAAAUUAUGUUAGUCGAAGAGGUGGGGAGGUCUCGGGAUUCGAAAUCUGGGGAUGCACAUUAUGGCAUUAUUAGGGAAGUGGUGCUGGCGCUUGGUUACUCUUAAGAGACCAGUUGUGGAUCGAUAUACUGAGGUGCAAAUAUCACCUCCCCUCUUCUCCUUGGUUACCCACUUGCACUACCAACUACAGGUCAUCGGGGAUUUGGAGAUCAUCUGUUCCGCUUUCCCGUAUUUCAAAUCUGGCAUUCGGUUUCAUCCUAGAGCAGGUAGCCACAUUCUCUUCUGGAAAGAUCUCUGGCUUGAUCAUUUUCCCAUUAUGGAGAGAUACCCAGCUCUCUACUCUCUGGCUCAAUUUCAAGAUACUACAGUGGCAGAGGAAAUGACGGAGACUGGGUCAAUAUGCUCCUGGAACCCAAUUUUCAGAUGAGCAGUAAAUGACGUUGAAUUCAAUCAAUUUGCGGACCUCUCGGCUGAACUUCAAGCUUGCUGCAUAGCCACUCAAGCUGUGGACCGCAUAAUCUGGGCCCAUGUAGCCUCAGGGAUCUUCUCGGUCUCCUCUCUUUGCCAAAAAUUGACACAGAGUCUGCCACAUUUCCAUUUGCCCCCAUUUCAAUAGUAGUGCAGGCUUGGUCAUCUUUCACUCCUCCUAAAAUACAGAUCUUCAUGUGGUUGGCGCUCUCCCAUAGGGUGCUCACUAUUGAUCAGCUUCAAAGAAGGGUAAUUCCUUUGCCCAAUCGAUGUGCUCUGCGCAUGGCAAACAAGGAGACCAAUGCUCACCUGUUCCUGCACUGUCCAUUCGCUUAUAACCUAUAGGAAGAACUUCUACACCUUUUUAAAGUUCAGUGGGUACUCGCGGCUACUGUACCUCACAUGUUCUCUUCUUUCCAGCCUCUCCUUUGUGCAUAGGCAGGCAUUCUUCUGCAAAAAACCGCAGUGGCAGCCAUCUUAUGGGUUAUUUGGAUAGAACGAAACAAUCAAAUCUUCUGGGGCGAGCAUACUUCAUGGUAUGGCACCUUUGUCAAGCUCAAAUCCUCCGUGGUGUUUUGGGCGACCAACCACUAGAGUUUUAAAGGGGUUUCUGCUGCCGCCUUUUUUCAGAAUUGGGAGGCUGCCGUUCAGCACAACCGAAGGCGUCCAUCUCGGGCAGCUUUGUGGAGACCCCCUGCCCUGGGCAGUUUCAAGCUUAACUUCGACGGGUGGUUCUUGGGAAAUCCAGGGCCAUCGGGAGUUGGCAUGAUUCUCAGUGAUCACCAGCUCAACUGUCACCUCUUUCUCAAAGUCCAUCAGUCAUACCGACUCUACGGAAGAGUAGGCAAUAGCACUUUUGGAAUGCCUCAAGCUUAUCCAACAUCUCGGAAUUUAUUCCCUUACGAUUGAGGGAGAUUCCAAGAGCGUGAUCACUUGGGCAUCGAACCCCCAGGCCAAAGUAGCAGACAGUUUCCAGGCCUUGGGCCCUGGUAGGGUGUGGAAUCCCACUUUUAGAUGACCCCUGUCGGACCAAGAGGUCCCAGAAUUCCUGGCUCUCUCAUCCCUUCCACGUUCAACCUUCCUCCGACCCCUAGGGAGUGAUAAGAUUACUGGUCCCCAGCCCCUUCUGGCAUGUUCUCUGUCUCAUCCUUCUAUGUCACUCUUCAAUUGCCCUCUACCUUGCCACUUCACACCCUUCCAUUGUGGCCAAAGCCUGGUUGCCUCUUGUCCCUCCCAAAUUCCAAAUAUUCAACUAGAUCACCAUUUCCGAAAUAGCCGUAACUAUAGACCAACUCCAAAGAAGGGGACUGCAAUUGCCUAACAGAUGUACCAUGUGCACCGUGGAGUAAGAGACCAACAGCCAUGUCUUCAUCCACUGUGACAUAGCCAGCACUCUGUAGGGGAAGAUACUCUAGCUUUUUGAUUGGUUGUGGGUGACUCCGUAUUCAAUCCCUCAAUUUUUCCGUUCUUUCUUUCUCCACCGUGGUCCAAAUAUGGCAUUGCACUGGACUUUCCUACUCUCAAGAAUUUUGCCGAUAGUUGGGGUUGUAGGGUUGAAAAACUCCCCUUCAAUUACCUAGGACUGCCACUUUGCAUUGGUAAGCCUAAGAAGAGGAAGUGGUCCCACAUCAUGGACAAGGUUGAUCGAAAACGGGCAGGAUGGAAGGGCCGGUUUCUAUCCCCAGGGGGUAGGCUUACUCUAAUCAAGGCCACUUUGGCCAAUACGCCAGUUUACCAAAUGUCUCUUUUCCACAUACCAGUAGCAAUCAGUUCACGCCUGGAAUAGUUAAUGCGCAUAUUCUUCUGAUCUGGGGAGGCAGAGAAUCACAAAUUCCACCUUAUCUCUUGGGACAAAUUAUGUCAACCGAAGAGGUGGGGAGGUCUCGGGAUUGGAAAUCUGGGGAUGCACAUUAUGGCGUUAUUAGGGAAGUGGUGCUGGCGCUUGGUUACUCUAAGAGAACAGUUGUGGAUCGAUAUACUGAGGCGCAAAUAUCACUUCCCCACUUCUCCUUGGUUACCCACUUGCACUACCAACUACAGGUCGUCGGGGAUUUGGAGAUCCAUCUGUUCCACUUUCCCGUAUUUCAAAUCUGCAACUCGGUUUCACCAUAGAGCAGGUAACCACAUUCUAUUAUGGAAAGAUCUCUGGCUCGGUCAUUCUCCCAUUAUGGAGAGAUACCUACCUCUCUACUCUCUGGCUCGAUUUCAAGAUACUACAGUGGCAGAGGAAAUGAUGGAGAUUGGGUCAAUACGCUCCUGGAACCCAAUUUUCAGAGGAGCAAUAAAUGACGUUGAAUUCAAUCAAUUUGCAGACCUCUCGGCCGAACUUCAAGCUUGCUGAAUAGCCACUCAAGGUGUAGACCGCAUAAUCUGGGCCAAUGUAGCCUCAGGGAUCCUUCUCGGUCUCGUCUCUUUACCAAAAAUUGACAGAGUCUCCCACAUUUCCAUUUGCCCCCUUUUCAAUUGUAGUGCAGGCUUGGUCAUCUUUCGCUCUUCUUAAAAUACAGAUCUUCAUGUGGUUGGCCCUCUCCCAUAGGGUGCUCACUAUUGAUCAGCUCAAAGAAGGGGAAUUCCUUUACCCAAUCGAUGUGCUCUGCGCAUGGCAAACAGGGAGACCAAUGCUCACCUGUUCCUGCACUGUCCAUUCGCUUAUAACCUAUAGGAAGAACUUCUACGCCUUUUUAAAGUUCGGUGGGUACUCCCGGCUACUGUACCUCACAUCUUCUCUUCUUUCCAGCCUCUCCUUUGUGCAUAGGCAGGCAUUCUUCUGCAAAAAACCGCAGUGGCAGCCAUCUUAUGGGUUAUUUGGAUAGAACGAAACAAUCAAAUCUUCUGGGGGGAGCAUACUUCAUGGUAUGGCACCUUUGUCAAGCUCAAAUCCUCAGUGUUGUUUUGGGCGACCAAUCACUGAAGUUUUAAAGGGGUUUCCGCUGCCGCCUUUUUUCAGAAUUGGGAGGCUGCCCUUCAGCACAACCAAAAGCGUCCAUCUCGGGCAGCUUUGUGGAGACCCCCUGCCCUGGGCAGUUUCAAGCUCAACUUCGACGGGUGCUCCCUCGGAAAUCCAGGGCCAUCAGGAGUUGGCAUGAUUCUCAGUGAUCACCGGCUCAACUGUCGCCUCUUUCUCAAAGUCCAUCUGUCAUACCAACUCUACGGAAGAGGAGGCGAUAGCACUUUUGGAAUGCCUCAAGCUUAUGCAACAUCUCGGAAUUUAUUCCCUUACGAUGGAGGGAGAUUCCAAGAACUUAAUCACUUGAGCAUUUGGCUCUUCUUCCCCCCCCCCCCCUUCCCCUCCCUCCCCCUCCCUCCCUCCCCUCCCUGGCAUUUGGUUCACCUUUUUUAUGAGAUUAACCACCUUUGCAGGGAUAUACUCGUCUUAUGAAAGCAUACUUGGAGGGAAGCAAACCAGGCGGCAAACACUCUAGCUAAGGAAGCGGCAGCAGCAACUAUGGAAGGCCUUUGGAUUACUAUUUUUGGAAUGGCGUCUUAUUCUAGGUUGCUUUUGAUUAUUAAAACCUUCAAUAAGAAGGAUUUUUGUUUCCUUUCUACUUUUUUACUCCUUGUACUUGGAGCUUCCGUGUUUGUGGAUAGCCCAAACUUCUCUAUCAAUUCAAGGUUAACUUUCUCAAAAAAAAAAAAAACUUGUUCACAUUUAUUGAUUGCCAAAUAGGUUUGGAUUUUCUCUGCUAUUAUCACAAAAUCUCAUCACUCGAGUGGUGUAUGGAAUAAUAUGGAAUUUGCACUAUUUUCGUUACUGAUAGGGUAAUGCUUCUCGUAAUGUUUGUAACUGUGUUUUCCAUUUGAUUAAAUUUUAAAAAUUUUAUCCUUAAAUUUUGUAGAUUGCAAUUUGUAAUGUACACGUACGACGAGGGCUUCUAAUUCUGGUGCCUGAAGUAAUUGAAGUUCUAGGAGGAUUUGUUGACCAUCUGGAGGCAGCACGCCAGAGGCUUGUUGAGGAAGUAAAUAAGCCACCGAGAGGUCAAAGGUUAGAAUGAAUCACAAAGAUUGUUUCUAUUGAGUUUGUUGAUUUAUGUAGACUUAUAUAUUAGAAUACAGAUUUAGUCUCAUAUUUUGCAUUCAUAGGUUUUACGAAAACAUUCCAAGUCUCUUGGACAUAAAAAACGACUUCGAUGGCAUCCAAUGUCGAUAAGAAUUUAAAUAGAUCUUGUAGUGCGAUUAUUUUUUCUUAUUUUCUAUUUUGAGUAGGGCCAUGACUAAUUUUGUUCUAAAGAUAAUUCAUUCAAAACAGCUCUAACUCCAUAUUUUAUAAUAACUUAGUUGGCUACUCAGUUCAUCUCCUGCAAUUACCUAUACGCAUUUGUGUAGUAAAUUAUGCCAAUAGUUACUAGUCAUAAAGAGAAAAUUCAAAUAAUUAUUAUUUUCUGAAAAAUGGAGUUUAAAGAAUUAUUUGCUCCCAUUCAUCUGAAGUUGUCUCCUAGUCUCUUUGUAAUAUUUGUCUCAAUGUAGCUUUGCAUUUCAUGCAGAUCCCGUAGAGGAGAGGAAGCUCCUUCUUUGUCUUCCAGAGCUCGUCGUGCUGCUUGGCCGCCCAAUACUUUGAACGAUCAAUCUGCACCAAGCACUAGGGCAGCACCUGAUAUAAAUCUUCCUCUCUCCUCAGCUCAAGGUAUCACUAUUAGGUAAUUUAAUUUCCAGAUAAUGUAUGUUGCAUCUUUUUUCCAUCAACUCAAUUUGGUCUCCUUUUUUUUUUCUUCCUUUAUUGAUAAUUCACCUCAUUUCAUCUCUGAUUUAUUAUUCUUUGCAACCCAUCUCCUUACAUUGAUUAGUGUUUUUUUUUUUUCAUCUUUUUUUAUCUUGUAGUUUCUCCAUCAGCUGCACCGGUUCGGGUCGCCCGUCAAAGAACAAUUGAAGAGUUCACCACUCCAAACACUAGGACAAAUGAGAGAAGUCACCUGUCAACAUCAGCUACCCCAGAUGGUGUUGCCUACGAGAGAAGCCAGCAAGAUUUCUCCAACCGUGAAAGUGUAAGGGAAGGUCUCAGCACCUCUGCUAGAUUGAAUCAAGGAACUAAUAAUACAAUACCAGCUACACCUCAUGUGAUUGUUCAUGAAAGAACAAUGGAAGAAUCUGCCAACCCUAGUUGGAUGAAUCAAGAACCUAAUCAUUCGACAUUGGCAACACUUGGAGGGCUUGUACAUGAAAGAGUAAUGGAAGAAUCUGCAAAUCCAACUAGGCUGAAUGAGGGAACUAAUCAAUCUACAUUGGCAACCCCUAGAGGGCUUGUUCAUGAAAGAGUAAUGGAAGAAUCUGCCAACCCAAGUAGGCUGGGUAACAGAAUUGCUCAACCUGCAUCUUCUACACCUAGAGUGGCUGUUCAUGAAAGAACAGUGGAAAAAAAUACCAACCCAAUUAUGCUGAAUCAGGGAAUUAAUCAACCUAUGGCAGCUUCAUCUAGAGUUGCUGUCCAUGAGAGCAGAAUAGAAGAAUCUACCAACCCAAUUAGGCCAAGUCAGGGAACUAAUCAAUCUACAUCCGCAAUACCUGGAGGGGUUGCCAAUGAAGUUGUACUGGAAGAAUAUACGUACACAAGUAGGUUUAAUCAGGGAACUAUUCAAUCUACAGCAACAACUAGAGGGGUUGUCCAUGAAGUUAUAAUAGAAAAAUCGACGAACCCAAGUAGGUUGCCUCCGGGAACUAAUCAAUCUACAUCACUAACACCUAGAGGGGUUGUUCACGAAGUUCUAAUGGAAAAUUCAAGAAAUCCCAGUAGUACAAUAUUGGAUGAGGCCAGCAACCCAUCCUUAAAUUCUCCCUCAAGUGAUACGUCGAUGACCGAUGCUGAUGCAGUUGAGCACCCGAUCAUUCUCAGCGGAGAUAAAGAGAUGCCCUUCACUUAUAUGGCUUGUUUGUUGGCAAAGUGGACCACGAUGAAGGACAAUGUAUCAAGUACUCGAGGCAAAAUCAAGGUAUUCAUUUCUGUUUUCAGAUGAUGGUUGUGUUUGAACUGCUUACUUUUACCCAUUCUUUCCCACUAUGAGUUCUGCAUGUUUGAUAUGUGUAAUACUAUACUAUGUACCAGUUGAUGAGGAAGAAUCAUCUGUUGGAGCCAUCACCAUCCAUCAUAUCAUUUGUGAUGGUGAUCCCAUUGGAUGGUGAUGGAGGGUGUUACCCGCAAGUGGGAUUGUUUUUUCCAAUUGAUUCCCCUCUCCAUCACUGUCCAUUAUUUUAGUGGAUGGUAUUGAUCAUCAAUUCCUGAAAUUUGCAGUGCUUCUUGACCGGUGUGAAAGGAUUUCAAUUCAAGGGUAGGAGUAAGUUCGAGCUCCAUGCUUAUAUCGAUGAUGGAAGUCUCAUCUCUGAGGUCCUCAUCGAUCACCAUGUAAGUUUGUUUCCUUGCAGUUGAGACAUUGCUAUUCGUUCAAAUCAUUAAAAAAUCUGGAAAUUGGGUCUCACAAGUUCACUUCAUUAAUGCCUUGUCAUGGUCGUCAGGUUGUGCAAAGUGGAAUAGGCCACUCCCCUGAGGAGGUGACUGCCUCACUUUCAUCUUCAAACAAAGAAAAAGUAGCUCUUAUGAAGGAGACCCUGAAGCAAUUCCAGCUUUUCUUGGCGAAAUUUGAGGUAAUUUUCCCAUAACUACUACAUAAACUGUAAAAAUACUCUGAUAAACAUACCUUGGAUCUUAGAACUUUCUUCUAUCCUGAUCGUGAGUUCUGAACCAACUCGAUCUUUAGUGGCUUAGAAUCAAGUCAUUUCGGUAAAUUUAGAUUACUUAAAAACAGUAAUUGGUAAAUUUAGAUUACUUAAAGAUAGUAAUUGAUGCACGUUAGCGUAACGGCUUUCACGCAAGACUAGCCAUCGCUUGUUGCAAAAAAACGGUUGCGCGUUAGCACAACGGCUUUCGAGCUAGGCUAGCCAUUGCUCGUUGCAAAAAAAUGGAUGUGCAUUAGCACAACGGCUUUCACCCUAGGCUAGCCUCAGUUCUUUCUAUCGGUAAGUAUGCUUCCCUUGCACUCACUUAUUAGUUUCUAGGGAACACCUUUACCUCUCUCUCUCUCCUGCACCUUACACAUUCUCUGCAGUAUCCACUCAUUGAUUGAGAUUCCAAUGUUAUUGAAGCAUUGAUCUCUCUGUCCAUUUUAUUGGUUGAGCUCGACGCAGACACGUAAUACUCUUUUUGUUCCAGUCUAAUUUGGUUAUAUCUUCUCAUAGGGAAUAAUACUUGUGGAAGUACGCCGAGACUCGCCUCCGGUGGUGCUAGAGAUGAACCGGGGAUGCCCAUCAUCAGAUGCAUGGCUACUGCUUGGAAGACUUAAAUUAUUCACUAAUCCUCAAACCACACUCCAUCGGAUUCCCGACCCUAUCUACAUUUCCCCAUAACGUCCCCAUAACUCACCAGCCUCAAACCACACGCCAUCGGAUUCCUGAUCCCAUCGACAUUUCCCCAUAACGUCCCCAUAACACACCAGUAAGCUAGUGAAGAGAGAGAGAGAGAGGAGAGAGAGAGUUGAGUAAUUUGAACUAUCUUUUAUUCAUUUGAGAAUCAUACAGAGUGCCUUGUACAUUCUUUGACAGAUAUUACACUAAUUUACAUGAAACAAAGUUCAGGAAAACUCUCUCUACGGACAACACUCACGACUUCAGGAAAACUAUAUCUCUACCGAUAACACUUUGGAAUCAUUUGUACUGUCGUUUAUUCAUUUGAGAGUCAUACAGAGUGCCUUGUACAUUCUUGGACUGAUAUUUCACCACUAAUUUACAUGAAACAAAGGUUCAGGAAACUACAAAGGUUCAGGAAACUAUAUCUGUACUGAUAACACUGGAGUUAGCUGUAAAUACAAAUAGCUCGGUGGUACUAACCUAGAUGAUUCUUAUUUAUGAACAUGGCUAUGGUUCGAAUAAUUAUGGCUUCUUACACCAUUGCUCACAGGUGCUAGCCUCUGAUGUGGCCAUAGCGAUUGAUUGAAACACUGGUUAAUCUGACUUUGUCUCUUCUGAUUGAAUUGAGGUGGGGUAGAGAACCUUCUCAGCUCCUGUUGCAUACAGGAUUUUCUUGCUUGGUGGGUACCUUGAUCCCCAUGGUUUAGUUACAUAGAGCAAGCGAUAACACCAUUCCAUCACCUCAGGGACCAAUAGCCUAUACCAGAACAUCACUCUAAACCAGAAUGGCUCUGUUACAUUUCUAUCUCCUAUGCAAGCACCCUUUACUAUCGCUUCUGCGCAUCCCUGUGUGUACCCAAUAGGCAUUGGGCCGACCUGAACCUGCAUGACCGAAAACAAUAUUAUUAGGACUUCUUUGAAGAAUAGCGAGCAUCAAUCUUUUAAAACUCAGCUGAGUCGGCUCGGAGUAGGCCGAGUAACUAGGCAUACUCAGGCCUCGGUACCCUGCCCAGACGAGUUCCUAUGUAAUGAAGUGAGGUCCAUGCUUAGUGAAAAUCUUUGCAACAGGGUCGGAAAGUAUGGGUCUUUUAAAUUCUUGAAUUGAAGUUGCAAAAUGUCGAAGACCUGAUCUUAAUGAAAAAUUUUGAAUUACAUUGAGAAAAUCCUUGAAAUUAAAGCUCACUUAGAUUGCUUGAAUUAGACUUAGAAAAUCCUUGAGACCCUAGCUUAGUAAGAACUCUUGAAUCUAAGGCAAGGAAACUUUGAGAUCCAAGCUUAGUUGGAAAUCUGGAAUUAGAAUCAUAAACUCUUUAAGAGAUAAGUUCAAUAUUCUUGAAUUGGAUUGAGAAACUCUGGGACCCCCUUAUGAUAGGAGAGGGUGAAGUUUCUCUCACUUCUCUCGUCUCCUCAUUGACCACCAUCUCUCCUUCCUUGUUCAGGAAUUUCCCUCGAGUCAUCUCUGACUCUAUCCAACCGGGAGUUGCAAUGGUGAUCCCAAUCUCGGGUCCGACUUCCAUCCUCAGUGUGUCAAAGAAGUUUAUCAUAGCUGCUUUACUGGCCUGGAAAACCGUGAAGGAGAAACUGUUAUGCCCAUAGGUUACAGAAAGAUGUUUUUUAUUUGACAAGGUUACAUAGGAAUCGACGGUAGUGCUAUGAAAAUUCAGCUGCUACUGUCUUCUUCCCAAACCUGAUUCUCAAGCUACAGAAAGAUUGGUUGAAAAGCUGUGCUUAAAACGAAUCUCUCUCUGAUAUUGUGAGGAGUGAAGGGGCCUCUCUCAGGCAUAGUGAAGAGUGAAUGGGUUUCUCUAUCGAGCACAGCAAAGAGUGAAUUGGUCUCUCUUACAUUAUAGAUGCUCAUGCGGGCUGUCGGCAACCAUCCUGCAGCAGAGGCAUUUGCCACAAUCUUUCCCCUGACUUUUCGUAGGUGAGGAAUGGCAUAGUAAGUCGGAUAUACCGAACCCCAGAAGUUCACAUCCUGACGAUAAACCACAGACCAUCAGAGAUUUGAAGAGAAGAAAGAUGAUACUGGUGACCAGCAGAUAUUUUAAGAGAAGAAAGAUGGGUCAAGCAAUUCUGCUCUUUCAACUUACCAUAACAGGUUCAAGCUUGGUUAUGUCGGUGACUUCUUCGAACAUGCAUAGACUUACAAUUCCGGCAUUGUUAACAAGAUGAUCCACUGCAGCAGGAAAAGAAAAAGCAUUCAAAUCAAAUGCCAAUUUCUCUCUCUCUCUCUCUCUCUCUCCCUCAUAUUUGUUAUCUUGCCAAUGCUUCUCUCUCGUUCUGAUACUUACAACGACCGAAAUGGUUGAUGGUUUCAUCGAUGAAUCUUUUACACUCAUCGACUCUAGUUACAUCAGCAUGAACAACGAUGACAUCAGGGGAGCCAAGGCUUCGUGCUUUCUCUGCAACUUCUUGAAGGCUUUGCUCCCUCCUGGCUAUAAGAACCAAACGUGCACCUCUUUUCGCAUACUGAUAUGCCAUAUGCUGCAUAUUAUUAGACCGCAACACCAAAUAUUGCAUCAAUUUUCCCAUAAGUGGAAACUAAAUAUAAUUAUUCAGUUCUCUCAACUUCCCUGAGAAGAAACAUAAAUAUAAAUAUGAAUCAGUGCUUUAGUGCUCUCUCUUGCUUGUGGGGGUUGUUGCUGUCGCAUAUUGUUUCACUCCCUAAACCCUAAACUUUAAAUCAGAUGGCCUCUCUCUCCUGAAAUUAUCUCAGGUGACAGAUUGAAGGCAUUUAUGCAGAGUGCUCUCUACCUCCCUCUCCAACUACUUCGGGUAUCCCAUGCAAGAAAACUAAAGAAAAUUAGGCUCUGUUGCAUAUGGGGUUUCUUGUUGCAUUGUGCCUCAUAUAAGUGGAUAGAAUUUGAUUAUAUUCCCCUCUCCACCUUCCUCUUUUAGUCGAUAAAUUAAUUCUCUCCCCCUUCAAGUAUCCAAAGACGGAGACUAAAUAAACUAACAAAGGUUCAUGUGGAUGUAACCUCCACAACACUGCAACUGCGACUAAUCUAUACUAACCUCCAAGCGAAAAAAAGGGUACAUAUGUUGUAACAAAAGAAACUGUAUAAUAAUAACGCCAUUCAAUUUUUGGUAUACUACCCCCAUGACCAAAAUCGGAUGAAUGUGUCAGGGGACAGUCUAUAAAACUUUCAAAUAUUGUGACACUUCAAUUCAUCAGAUUCGAUCAUAUAUAAUAUAACCAUUUACUUCUAGUAUGAAGAGAUCCCAAUUAAUAUUGACUGAUCGGAAAAAUGUACCCUUGACAAGCAACAAAGUCCCAACAUAAAAUUCUUAAAAAUGGUGGCACACUUCAAUCCAUCAGAUUUCAUAUCUGAUAGUUAAUUGUGACCUCCUUGUAAGACCUCCUUGUAAGGGUCUUAUAGUAUAUAAUCCCUAACAAAACCAUCUUGCCUUCAACCAUCUCAUCUUCAAGUUUUAGAUAGUUAGAUCUAAUGUUUUAAGAAUUCAAAAUUGGAAUUUUUGUUACUUAAAAUAUUCACUUGUUUAUUUGAAUGUAGAUCCGAAAAGUUGAAACCGAGCAAGUGCAUGGUCUGUUGGUGCUAGAGGGAGCAAGUAUAUAGUGUGCUCCGAUUAGAGGGAAUACAAUACAGGGUGCCACUGCGGGAGAAUGUUGUAUGCACUCGUUCUAUCCAUCUCUCCCCAAACACACUACAUCCUGUAUCCAGGACUUUGAAAACAAAAAAAACAUCGAUUCAAAAGUUCUCACAUAUGAGGCUUGCUGUUGCACUCUGUUCACAGAGAGAGAGAGAGAGAGAGAGAGAGAGAGAUCAUCACUCAUAUAUGAAGCUUGCUGUUGCACUCUGUUCACAUUGAUUGUGUGUAUGAGAGAGAGAGAUGCAACAUUCAUGUCUCAUAUAUGAGAUUUAGAGAGAGAGAGAGAGAGAUUACCUCCCCGAUGCCAGAAGAAGCCCCUGUUAUGAGAACAACCUUCCCUCUCAUGUCAUCAGCAAGAAUAGGGCUGAUGAGGUACAGGAAGAGCUUCAAAGUAGCAUAGGUUGGGUAGCACAGAGAGAGGAAGACAAUGGCAGUAGGAGGUAACACCAGGCUCAACAAAUUGUUUAUCACACCCAUCCUUCUCUCACCCCAACACCUUCUCUCCUAAAUUUUAUCUCAAGAACAGAACUAAAACUAUCAACUAAAAACUAUGUUAAAAAAAAACAGAAUUAAAAACUAUAUUAUCUCUAGUGGAGUAUUGUCUAAGCGAGAGACAGGGUUGAGAGAGAAAAUGGCACCUGGAGUACAAAUGACACUCUCUAGUCUAGGGUGGUGCCACCUUUGCAUGCUUUUCUUUUAUUUCUUACGUGAUUUUCUGGUGUUUAUCUUCUCUUAUUGAAGAGGAUGGACACAAACAAGAGAAAUGGGCUCAUGGGGGUUAGUGACAAUUAUCUUUUUCAUGGAUAUUAUUGUUGGUAAAUUGGGAUAUCAUUAGCAGGUCCUUGUUAUCAAAUGUUUAUAAGGUGUGGUUUCUAAAAGGUGGCAACCCUAAACUAAGGCGCAUUUUAUCAUGUAAUUUUUUAUACCAAAAUAUUAAAAAUUAACUGAAAAUAUAUUUUUAUAUCUAAUUAUAACAUUUUAAACUCCAAAAAUGAUUAAAAUCAAGUAGAUUUAUAAAUAUAUGAAAAUUGUGAAAAUUGACGGUCUAGAUAAUGUGUUGUACGAUGCACUAUUUUUUAAACUCAAAAAAACUUUUUUCUUUUAUAUUUAUACAUCUCGAUAUCAUGAUAAUCAAUUAGAGGGUUUUUAACAAUAAAACAUAUAGAUUUUUAAGGUUGCAACUUUAAAUAAACUUUUUACUUAUAAAAAUUUGAUUUAGAAGUUAAUAUAUUAAAAAGAAAAUUGUUUCAUGCGUGUUGGACCGCAUUUCUACAUAUGCGGUCCAAAAAGUGUAAAGCAUCCAUGAUGGAUGCAAGUAGGUGUUCCAUCUAAAAACAAUCGAAACUAACGGCCCAAAUGUUUUCUUACUAAAAUUAUAUUUCUAGCUUUAAAAAUUUAUUUAUUUAUUCAUAUUCAUAAUCUCCAUGUUAGAGAUUACAUGUCCUUAAAAAUUAAAUCUUAAAAUCCAUCUCAAAAGUAGAUUUAUUAAGAGGCCCGCAUUUCUACAUAUGUAGGCUUGUCCACAUAGAAAUCGGGUCCAUGAUAAAAAUGAAAACUAUACGAAGAGACUGUCUACUUUUAGUACGAGGUCACAAUUACUCUUAUCCAUCAGAUUUCAAAUUGGGUGGUUGUAAGAGUGUUAUUGACUAGAGUUAAAGUUCCACAGAAAAUUUCUUGAAUUUUGUGACACACUCCAAACCUUCAAAUUUGACAUUUAAUAUUUUGGAAUAAUUGUAACCACUUUAUAACAAAAAUAAAUGGUCUCAUUCUAUACAACUCUAUAAUAAAAUUAGAAUUUUUUGGUCAUGGAAUAAAUGUAAUUCCUUGUCAUAACCUUUUAUUGAGUUAAGUUUUUAAGAGCUUGCCAUAUUUAAAUAUGGAAAAAGGUCACUGAGUCGAGGCUCUAAACAAUCAAAUUAAAGCCCACCUCAAAAAUUUCACUAGAAGAGGUGUUUUUUAUGCCCAAAUAUCCUCAAAUUGAUCAUCUCGCCAUCAAGAUGCAUGAACAUGGGAAAAAAAUAGAUUUCAAGUUUUGAAAGUAAUGCAUCUUGUAACGCAUUUUUUUACCGUCAAUUUUUCAGAUUUUCAAGUAUUCGUGGAUCCACUCGAUCUACAUUAUUUUUUAAACUUUAAAUUUUAUAAUUAAGAUGAAAAUAUAUUUUAAGGCUAUCAUAAAGAUUUUCAGUACUGAAGCCACAAUUUUCGACACCAUUUGAAAGUGCAUUGUACUUUAAUUGUUUAGAGCCUCGGCUUUAUACAAACCGCACCCUUUAAAUAUUCAAAUAAAAUUUGAGUGAGUGUUAAAUCUUUUUCAAAAAAUUUAAAUUUAUAUGACAACGUUUUUAAGGUAUUUUUUGUGCAAGAGUAGUUUUCAAAAUUGUAAAUUCUAAGCUGUAUUUAAGGUUCUUCAAAUACUGUGUUAAAAAUAAUAAAAUGAUAAAAAUUUUGCUUCUUUAUAGGUAAUUACCUUACUAAUGAGAGUGGUGAGGUUUGUAUAAGGUGGCAAUCUUAUAUUAUUAAAAUAAAGCGCUUGAAAAUUGUAGUUUCGGUGCCGGGAUGCCUUGCCAUGGCAUGAAGAUAAAUAUCAGCCCUUAUUUCUCAUGAGAAAAUGAAGAUAUAUUCAACUUAUCGGCGAUAAUUCUUACUAAGGUGUUGGGGUGCCAUGAGUUCUAAUCUUACUGUGGGUUCCUAUCUAAAAUAAUCGAAAAAAAAAAAAAGAAAAAAAGAAAAAUAAAAGAGGUUAAAUUGUUGCGGCUUUUUAAAAUUGACUCAAACUUUGGUAAAAAUCGCAGAUUUGCCGUAAAUAAAAUAAAAAUAAAAUAAAAUAAAAAGCAUCAAACUGAUUAUCUUUCGUUACAAUACUUGUAGAUCUGAAAAAGUUGUAAAUUCACUGUACUUAGAUUCUUUUAAUUUCACAUUCUUUGGAGAAUAUAAAUAAAUUUUGGGGUCAUCACAUAAAUUUUUGAGCCAAAGUUCCAUUAAAAAAUGUGAGGCUCUACAUUUUAUCGUGAUGUACCUGGUAAUGUGCCUUUUUGUGAUGCACUUGGCCAGUAGUAGCAUACCGGUGUUACAACAUGAAUACACCAUCCACCAUCCGUUCUCGACGAUGGACGGUGAAGUUUGAUUACAUGUAAAUGGAUAUCCGUGCUUCAAAACUAAAAUUAAUUUUUAUAAGAUUGUGUAUAAUAAGAUCAUUUAUCUUAUUACAAAGAGGUCUAUUUACCAAUAAUGUACGUUAUAAUUUUUUAUAAAAACUUUGCCCAUAAAGGGCUUGUUUGAUUACUUGAUAAUGCAGCUUUUGAAAGUCAUGGAAGGAUUCCAGUAUUGUAGCACUUCGCCAUGUUUGUUAAACAGGAAGUGCUACAUUAUUUUGAAAGUUGUGGCUUCUAAAACGACAUUAAAAAAGUACACUAUAGGGGAUCGACAUAUAGAAAAUCGAUCUUUUAGUUUGUAUGUUUUCGGCUUUUUGAUAAAUAGUCUCUUUGUAUACUUUUCCAAUACGUGUAUGUAAGUGUGCAGCCUAAAACAACUUUUCAUAACAUAAAAUUUCAUUCCCAGGUAAUGACUACUGUUUAUCCUCCCAACCCAAGUGCCUCGCCACUUGUUUUCACCAUGGUUAAAUGACAUUAGCAAAUUUUUCAGUUGUGAUCCCUUUUGGUUACAUUCAUUUUGAACAUUUACUUUUAUCUGGUUUCUGGAUUAAUUAUUUAAGCAUUUUAAACUUGGGUGCAGUUUACAUAAAGUGUCAGCUUUAAACAAACUAAGACGCACCUCUAAAUCUUGCUAAAAAGAUAUAAAUCCCGUGAUAAAAAUCUUUAUAAUGACUUAAAAAUCUAUUUUAACUUCAAAUUAUGAAAUUUAAAACUUUAAACUAGUAGGGUAGAUCGAACAAAUCUAUAAAAACUUCAAAAUUUUAAAAAUCGAUGAACUAGAUAGUGUUUUAAAAGAUACACAUUUUAAUACAUGAAAUCUUUUCUUUUUUUUUCUUCUAUAUCUAUACAUUUGGAGGACAAGAUGAUCCAUUGCAGAAUUUUGGACGUUGGUACAACCUUUUCAAGUACAUUUUUUAAUUGCACCUUACUUUUAUAGUAAGGUUGAUGCCUAUAUAAUUUUUUUCCUUUGAACAUUGGUCGUGAUUUUUUAUCGUGGUUAUACCAUGUUCUUGCCUACCCAAGCUUAAUGGCAUGUUUGGGUACACUAAUUGUCACCAACAAUUCAUUUCAAGAAAAUUAACCAUGAUGAUAAAUUGGGAUUGUAUAUAAAGAAACCUUUUACUCUUUUUAUACAAACAGGCCACAAUUAUUCCUACUCGUUAUUUAAAUUGGAUGGCUUAAAAUGAGUCACAAAGCUCAAGAAAGUUUGUUUUUUAUUUCUGUUUGAACUUUGAAUCUAUUCAACGACACUUCUACAACGAUCAAAUUUGAAAUUUAGGGGGAUAAAAAUUAUUAUCACCUCCUUAUACAAAAAAUAAAUAGUCUCUUUGCAUACUUUUCCGUAUGGUAACUUGUGAUAAUAUAGCCUUAAAUAAAACUAAAAAAUUAGUUAUGGGUGGGGUUUGUAUAGAGCCGAGGCACUAAACAAUUAGAAUAAAACCCACCUUCAAAUAGUGUCAAGAAAUGUGGUUUCAAUAUUGAGAAUCUUGAUGAUAGCCUUAAAAUAUAUUUUCAUCUUUAACUAUAAAAUUUAAAGGUGCAGUUUGUAUAGAACCGAGGCUAUAAACAAUCAAAUUAGAGCCCACAUUCAAAUAGUAUCGAGAAAUGUGGUUUCAAUACUAGAAAUCUUUGACUAACCUUAAAAUAUAUUUUCAUCUUUAAUUAUAAAAUUUAAAGCUUCAAAAAUAGUGUAGAUCAAGUAGAUCUAUGAAAACUUAAAUAACUUAAAAAUUGACAAUCCAAAAAUAUAUUACAAGAUGCACUAUUUCCAAAACUUGAAAUCCAUUUGUUUCAAGUCCAUGCAUCUUGAUGUCGAGAUGAUCAAUUUGAAGAUAUUUGAGCAUCAAACAACAUGUUUUAGUGAAAUUUUUGAGAUAGGCUCUAAUUUGAUUGCUUGGAGCCUAGGCUCUAUAUAAACUUUUCCCAAAAUUUAAAGCUUCAAUGUCCAAGGAGCAAUCUAUGAAAACUUCGAAAUUGACGGUCCAAAAAUGCGUCACAAGAUGUAGCAUUUCUAAAACUUGAAAUUACUUUUUUUUUUUUCAUGUCCAUUCAUCUUGAUAUCGAGAAGAUCAAUUUGAAGAUAAUUGGGCAUCAAAACAAGUGAAAUUUUGAGGGGCGCUCUAAUUUGAUUGUAUACUGUUUAGGGCCUCGGCUUUUCCAAUAGUUAUGUGUCCGUUUGGAGGACCCAAAAUUCAGCUGUGUGGAGUACGCUGCGCUAUUGCCGUUAGAUUUUACCGGGAAGUUUAUAUGCUGCGUCAGUUUUGAAAAGUGAGGAAAGAGGAGAGAGUUUUUCAGAAGCAAGUAGAGAGAAAGAGAUGUUGCAGGUGAAGAGCUUGAGAAAGGCCCUCAUUCCUCCCUCUCUCCUCAUGGACCCAUCCCCUGCAAAUCUUCAGUCCACUCGCCUUGCUCUUCAUGUAAACCCUAACCCUAGUUUUACUCUGUUUCUUCGCUGUUACCAUUUCAUCAAGCUGCUUACUCUUCGCUGCUUUUUUUUGACAGGUUAAUGAAGAUGCCUCAUCUUGUUCGGUAUAUGUUGCUUCUGGGUGUUGCGUUUACAAUGUGGUGGUAAAUUAUCUCAGAAAACUCUAAACCCUUCUCAUUAAUUCUAAAUUUGAACUUCUUCAUCUUCAUUUUUAUCUUACGAGCCCAAUAAUGGCCACUUAUUUUUCCAUGGAAUUGUGACAUCAUCAUAUGAAAUGAUCCGAUUUUGAAAUUUUUAUUCAUAGAUAUCUAUGGAGGAUACUAUGGUUACAAGGGGAAAGGAGAGCCUUUUGAUUCCGGUGCCGGCACAAGUAUGAGAAUGUUCUCUCUUAAAGAAGUUGAUUUGUCAAAUAAGGGACAAAUUAAUGGGCGUUCUAUUUCUUUCUGUUGUUUUUGUGGGGUUUAAUAAUGUUUGAUUAGUUCCUUAUUUUUUGAGGAGCUUCAUGUAACAUUUUUCACAAUAGAUUGGUAUUCUUACUUUUUUUGGUUGUUUUUAUUGAGAUUAAUUGACUAGUUAAUUCUUUUUGAGGAACCUAAGAUAAGAUUUUGCAGACAAUCCGUGCAUCUUUGGUUAAACGGUGCCCUCAUCGUACAGAGAUCCAGAGUAUAGCACUUGCAGAUACUCAAUGUAAGCUUCAUCAAUAAUAUCGUAGGAAUUUUUUUUUUUUUUGGUGAGCUCUAUCAAGGUAUUGUUCUUAUUGUAUUGCAGUAGGCUUUUGCCAUAUUGUAGAAGUUAGUGCAUUUUUUUUUCGGUACCCAAAAGAUUCAGUCUUUGUCCAGCUUAUACAUUUAUUUUUUAGUUGUUAAUUUGUCCAGGUUAUUUAUAACCAAAUAAUAUCUCAACAAAAGGAUUAUGAGCUCCAAUUACGUAUAAUUCGAGAUUUCUUCAUAAAUAUGGAGUGGAUUCUUGUUCACCUAGUGUGUCUGCUACAAGAAUUGGAUUGCAUAUUCUUCGCAAAUGCUCCAUGGUUUUUGCAAAGCGCAGUGAACUGUAGCCUAUAUAGGCUCAAUCUAUAUUUGAUUAUGUGACCUGUAGUCCUUUUUCUAGGAUUAAAUCAACAUAUUCUUUAUAAUCAUGUCCUUUUUUGUCUUCUUUUAAUGGUUUCAUCCUAUCCUUUGUAGUCACUAUUAAUAAACAGGGUUCAAGCCUUUAUUUUUUUCUUUUUUUACUUUAUUUUUUCAUUGUCUUCUUAUAGGUGACAUGGGCAUGAUACUGGGAACAGUGGAUUCUUUUGGUCAUGUAAUCAUCUCUAGAUUGGAUCCAAGCAAUGAAGGUAAUAACUUUUUUACGGGUGCCAUCUUUAUAAAUUAUACAUAAAAGGUGACAAGUUGCAAGGAAGCUCUUCAAAGGAAAAUCUCAUUGAUGUUGUCAUUGUGCUGUAAAUUGAGCAAGAUUGAUCUCAAAAUAAUUUGGUGCACAAUAGGAUCUCAUUUAGUGUCUUUUAUAUCUAUUAGGAAAGUUAUACAUGCUUGAAUGGUGCAAGCAACCCCCCAACGAUUGAAGUUAAAAGGGAAGAAAAUGGAAGACCAUGAUUGCAUACAAUAUGUUAAUUUAGUUUUAAUUUUUUCUACAAAUUAGAUUAGCAUGAAAUUUUGGAUGUCCAAACUUCUCAAUCACCCCAGAAAAUGUAAAAAUAAAUAAAUUGCAAAAGAUAAUUGAACAAAAUACCCUAAAACAUUUAGGAGUAUUUUGGUACAUUUUUAUUUUUGGACUUAUUUAUUUAUAUAUUUUAGGUGUCCCCAGAUGUGGCGUACACACUUGUAAAAUUGCAUGUAAAUCCAAUAUGUUGAAAAACUUAAAAAUUCAAAUAUUGAAUACGAUCGUUGCCAUCCGAUUUCUUCCCUUGCAAUCUGAACUUUUGAAAGGUGCUUGUGAGGUAUACCCUCAUCUUCUUAUUUGCAUUUAUUAGGAUUUUCUUGGGAUGGAGUUCUCUUCAAGAAAGUAGUGAAGAAUAGCAUUACCUAUUCAUAAAUGAAACAUUUCCUUGGUUAGAAGUGGUUGUAGUUAAUAGGUGGUUUGAUCUUUUCCAAUAUUUCAAGGCUUUGAUGAAAUCAAUUUAACUAUGCUUCCAACUAUAAUUUCUUGUACUAGAAGUUCCUAACUCCAUCAGUUAUACAAACAUGCCUAGAGAGUAAGUGUAGAUCAACAAUUAUAUUUUCAUCAUGAUUGAAAAGAUAAUCAAGAACCAGGCAUAAAUUUUGCACGUAGUCUCUAUGAAGUUUGUAUGCUUGACUCUUUAGCAAAUGCAUUAGUUUUGCAUGCAUGAGUGCAAAAAGAAAAAUGCGUGCUGCAUAUCUUUCUUUGUUUUUAAUACCUAUAAAUGCUUAAAAUCAACCAUGUGUAAUGGCUUAUUCUAGUAACAUGUUCUUCUUUUCUUGCCAGAUGUUGAAAGGCUUACAUUUACAACUUUGCCUCAAGAUUUCGGUGUGGGAGAGAGUAGUUGGGCAGGAAUAUGUUUCUGUCCAAGUCGAUGGUCCACGGUAUAAUUGAAGAUAUGUGGCAUUGUUGUAAUUUCGGUUUUGUGACAUUUGUUUUUGUGGAUUUUCUAGAGCUGCAUUGCUUAUAUUUCAGGAAUUGUGUAAAAUGAAUAGAUAGGGCUUAAUUUUUCAGAGCUGUCACUUCAAUCACAUGAAACAUUUGAUAAUCAUAAGGAGUUUUUCCAGUUUCAUGCAGAUUGAAGAGUUGCAUCGGUGAAUUGUAAUCCUGGGCUAUCAGUUUCUCUUUAAUUCUUUUGAAUUGGUCUUAUUUUACCUGUGGUCUCCAAAUUUCUGAAGACAUCUGAAAAUAAACUUUUUUGCAUCAUUCCUGGUAAUGGUAGUCGUUUUAACCUAAAUUGUAUUAGCGUGAGAGAAGAUGUUCUUUAACUCGAAAGAAUUCAAUUCAAGAGGAUAACUAUCCAAAAGUUUUCACAGCUCUAUCAUAUAUUAUGGAAUCAUAAAAAAUUUGAUUUCGUUUAACUCUGUCUAUAGCUCACCAGAGGCUAGGGAAACCAAGAGAUGUGUAUGAAUGUGAUAUCCAGCAACAAAAAGAAAGUUAGAGCUAAGCAUCUGUUAGGAUGCGUGUUUUGGGGCAAUUAGUUAUUAGUAGAUAUUUGGAUCCAUGAACUGACUUUGUUGAUUUUUGUGUUGUAAGUUUAUUUAGAUAUAUAUGUUGUAACUAGGCAUCACUUUGAUCCAUGGGGAACUAAGGUUCGUCAAUUUUGAUCAGGAACUUAGGAUAACAUUGAAUGAAGGCUACCUGCUAGUUUGAAAUAGUACCAAGUAGGUUUUUGAAAUCAAGAGCCUAGGUCCUUUACCAGGGAAUCUACUAUCACUAUCCCCAUUUACUGGUUGAAAGUUGAAACAUUUCCCCAAUGCCAUGUUAUAAUGAUAAGGUAUGGCAAGAUUUUCGGAUUGUUUUGCCCAAUGGUUGUAGUAUUGAAUAUGGAAGCUGCUUAGAUUCUCAUGACCCCAUGCAUCCCUUAGUAUAAUUUAAAAGCAACAGCUGCUGAAUGUUAAUUUACUAGUUAUUGAAAGUUGGACAAGGUGAACAAGCAAGGUGUAUGCGGUUUUUAGUUUUUCUCUUUUCUACUGGCUUGAACUCACAGAAGUCCAAAUACAAUUAAAUCAACUCAAAAUACAUAACAAACAAUAACUAAAGAGGUUUUCACUUGCUGCCACUAAUGAAAUUUCUUUUAUUCAAUAACUAAAAAUCACAUAAGACUCUUGGGAACAAGAAAUAACAAGACUGCAAACCAUAGAACAAGAUGCUAGAAGAUUACCUCAACUGGACUUUGCACCCCUCACUCCGGAUCUCCUCCUCCAAUGGCGCAUGAGAUCAAUGGUCUAUCUCAAAUCUUUAAAGCAUGGGAAAUUCCCUUAAUCAAAUAAGAGAGCAAUGGAACAAGAUGGUGCAAGACUAAACCUCAAUGUCUAGUAUGGGGCGUGCCCACCUUUGGGCUACAAUGGCAAGGGCGUGCCCCCCUAUUUUUCUUAAACCAAUAUUUUCUAAGAGACAAAUGAGAGAUCUUAGAGAGAGAUGAGAGAGGGAGGUGUACCACCUAGAGAGAGAAGAGAAAGAGGGAUGAAAUGUGUAGAGAAAUAGGACCCCCGUGGUGCCUAUUUAUAGAUUUUCUCUAGGGUUAGGGUUUCUUAGGGUAACCAUCUUUAUGGAUAAUAGAUCCAGACCAAAUUAAUUAAUUCUAAAUUGUUUUGAUGGGUUCGGAUCCAAUUAUGUUAAGAAAUUAUAAUUUGCUGAAGCACUCCAUCUUCUGCAAUGGACUAUAAUCCGCACUCACUUUCUCAAACUAACCCAGCAGUUCUUAUGACCCACAGACCAUCGCAGAGGUUCUUGAUUGGGCUACCAAAGUUAGCCAAUAGAUGAGGGGACACAAUCCUAGUCUAUGGAGUACAAGUUCUCCCUUAGGGACAAGUCUGAGGUCACACAGACCUGGUGCAACCAUAACUCUAUGGUGCAUAGGGGUCAUCUCUCGCACAUGUACACGUAUCACCCUCAAUGGUGAUUUUCUUUCCCGACAUAGCUAUCAUAUGUACAUGUCGUAUAAUGGUUCAAGAUGAGGCUUUGGCCCUCGUCCUUACAGGCCUACCAUUACACACAAGGGUCACACAGUCCCUUGGCUCACUACCCUAGGCAACUCGACCUCAUUAAGAGCUAACGUUGCUAACCCUCAUCGGUUGUGCUCUAUGCCUAGGUAAUUAAGGGUUUUCCAACUCGAUUGGCCUAGUGCGUUGAGCCUAGUCUGAGUCUCGGCAAAUAGUAUUUGCCUAUCUUAGUCCUAUUGGACCAUACUCCCACUGAGUUUUUGUUCCACUAUUUCAAAAUAUUGAUUACAUGUUGUCAUAAGGCCUUUAUGGGCCACAAAUACCCAACAAUUACUUUAUGGGUCUCUCCUUUCUAUAGUAUAUUAAACUUUAGUAAAAGGACCAUGUGUAUGUGACCACCAUCUUUAGUUCAGCUGUAUUCAGUUCCCUUAGGCAUUUUUGGUUCUGUUGGAUUAGGAUGUUCACCUACCAAUCAUAUGUUUGAUCUCUUCCCUAUAUUCCCAUCACUUUGUGGAUCUUUUCAAUUAUUGAUAAUGGAUAAUCUAAAUUUUCCAGGCUGCAGUAGCUCGUAGCUUCUGCAAAAGUAUUGACAUUUACGACCAGGAUAUUCAUCUCCAAACUCUACGAACGUAAGUUUUUGGUGUUCUGGUCGAUUAGCUUGCUUCAUGAUUUUUUUAGUUACUUGAAUCAAAUUGUGCCACACUUUUCUGAUAUUGUGUGAUUGUAUCCAGUUUGUAGCAUAUUUGAUGACUUGCUUAUUGUGGUUUAAAUUUAUGUGAGAUUUACAGGAAACUUUGUGAUUAGAUUGUCUUCAGUAUUGAAAAACUGUCCUUUACAACAAUUAGAGAUGUUUAUAAUCUAUAAUGCACACUUUUCUUGUUUGGAAAAGUAAUCUGCAGAAGUGAUAGGUAGGGAGCUAACCUGAAGUGUCAAUAUACAAAUUAGUUCAUCAAGCCACUACUUUUAAAGACCAUUGUGUUGUUACAUGCAAAUUAAUUUAUUACUGAUGCAGGCAUGACAAGGACGAAAGAUGGGUCAUAGGAUUAUGGGAAUCAAGAGACUUUAUUUAUAUGUUUUGGUGUUUACUUUGGAGAUUUUUUUUUUUUUUUUGAGAAGUCACAUAAUGGGAUUGUAUGUUGUGUUUAUUUUAGUAUUUUUUAAGUUGCUUUUAUUUGGUAGGAUUAUUGUCUGAAUAUAUGCUGGCGAUAAAAAGGGAAAUAGAUGGAUAGGAUUUCAUAGGAUAUUUGUGGGGUUUUCAGGGUUCAAAGUUAUUACAUAAUGGUGUUUGGGAGUUAAGAGGAGACUUCGAUUGUUCUCUUGUUAUUGAUUUCUUUUGUGGAAAAAACUUUGAAGCUUGUGAUGCUUCUUUUAAGUUGAAUUCCUUCUCUAGUUACUUUGUGCAGAAUUUUGUGUUUGUUUUGUUGGCUCCCUGUAUGCUUUGAUAUUCUUUUUCAAGAAUGAAAUAUCAAGGCAUGCAUCAAGUGGUAUUAGAGCAGGGCUUCCUAGGGCAUCCUAGUUACAAUUCAAAGAUGACAUUGAAAAGACAAGCUCUUGCUGCACAUCAAGAUGGUAAACCAUUACCAAGUUCCCACAAGAAGUAGAUCAACUCAUGCAUGACGUGCAGCCAGUCUGGCAGUGGAAGGCUACUGGCAAUUGGAUAUAAAGAGUGCAAUAUUGAUUGUUCUAGAGAAAGAUCCACACUCAAACUGCUUCAUCAAAGAGGAGCCUCCAUACUGGUUGGUCCCUAUGAUUCAUGGAAAAUCUUUAUUUUCAUCAAUCAAUUUCACAUAGUAUGGAAGUGUGUAUUGGGAUUCUCCACCAAUCUUCAACAUAUUCCUAGAUGAUGAUUAGGGUAUUGUAGAGAACCUACUCCUAAUGAUUAGUUUGAUUGAGGAUGGAUUUAUCGAGGAUAAAUCCACGGAGAAAGUGAAGUUGCUUGCGUUGGUUUUGUUCAUAUAAUUCUCUCCAUCUGCACUUAUAGAUCCAUUUCUUGGGGUGUUCUUAGUUCUAUUUUAACUUAUAUGGAUCCUAGAAUUAUGGGAAUCAAGAGACUUAUUAUUUGUAGUUUCUGGGGGUUUACUUCUAGGACAACGAGAAAUCACAGCUUACAUUUUCUUUGGAUUUCUAUUUUGUGUUUAUUUUAAUAUCUUUUAAGUUGCUUCUAUUUAGUGUUAUUGUGAUACGAAUAGACGGUGGAGAUUAAAGGAAUGGAUUGCUAGAAUUUUGUAGAAACUUUUUAGGUUUUAUGGUUCAAAGUUAUUUAAGUAGUGGUGGUAGCAAGCUGAGAGGAGACUUAUUUAUUCUUAUUAUUGAUUCUACUGUGGAAUAAAAUUUGAAGUUUCUGAUGCUUCGCAUGUGUAGAGUUCCUUCUCUAGAUACUUUGUGCCAGAUAUUGUGUUUGUUGGUUUGGUUACUUGCAUUCUUUUUUUUUUCUGCUUUUUUUCAAGAAUAAAGUAUGAACGCUCAUCUCAAUUGAACUGCUAUGUCUAGACUAUCAGGCAUGAUGACACAUCACUGGACCUUGGUCAUCAUGGAACUCUUCCUCUUUUUUCUCUCUAUUUUAGUUUUAGAUAAAAAAUCAUUAGUAGGGUGGUAAUAUUGGUAUAUAAGUUCAGCAGUGCCUUGGUUGUUCUCUCUUGGUAUAUAAUUAUGUAAGUUCCUUAUCACAGAGAUGGCAUGUUGCGGUGAACUCAUUACUCUGGACUUAAUCUUGAGUCUUUUAAUACAAGAAGACACAUAUAGGGUACAUAUAGUAUUUUGAAUAGUUGAACAUGACUUGUUUGUACAGUUUGUGGCAUCCGGCUUCUAUAUGUUUCCUACAAAGUUUGUCCUAUGAGUAUGAGAAUUCUUCUAUUCUAGCCGUUGCAGAAGGCUGCCAGGUAUUCCUUCUAAUUUGUAAUUUAGAGUAACAUUUCUUUGCAUAUGUUAUAUUUACAAACGUGUUUAUUGAUCAUAAACGAAUCUAUUAGUUCAUAUUUUGCUUUUUUAAGUUCUUUAUCGCUUUAUAUACCACCCUAUUGCAGCUGACUAUCUGGGACCUAAGAACAAAGCACAAUGGUGGUUGUGUAGAAAGAGUUUCUGGCUCACUUGGACAUCCCUUUUAUGCUGUUUGUAGUUCCUCCAGUGGAACUGUAGCUAUUGGUGGCGCUGACCGGACAGUAACCAUUUAUGACAGUCGCAAGUUAGUAUUUUCUAGCAAAUCAAAUCUAUGGUUUUAAGAAGAAUAGGACACUAUCACAAUGUGUGUGUUUGUGUGUGGCAUGCUAACGUGCGUGUGUGUUCUUUGUCAUAUUAUUGCAAGUUUGCAGCAUAUAGAUUGCUUGUCAGAUGAUGGUAGGGUUUGUCUGGUAAAGGAAAUGAUCGACAUUACUCCUAGUAGCUGGGUAUGAGAAGCGAUAUCAGUAAUUACUGUUCACAAAAUCUUUGAUAAUUAAUUGUGCGAAAGAAGCUACAAUUUUAUUAAAGCAAAUUCACAAGAGGUUAUAAAAUCUGAUGGAGCAUCUGAUAUACGUAUUACCUAUGUAGUACCUAUGUUUGCUAAUGUGUCUGCACUGAAUUGGCUUGAAAAUGCUUAUCUAAUUUUCUAUUAUAGUUAAACUAGACAGGAAUGAUAUUUUAUAUGGCCUGAAUUUUGGUCGUGUUUGACAUUUUGGCUGCAGAUGGACAGCCUUGUCAAGAUGGGUAAAUUGCUCGAAAUAUGAGGUGAAUUGAGUUAUUAUAUACCUUGAGUUUCUUUGGCAUCUGUCUUUUAGAGCAUUUGCAUUCCAAAAUAACUGAUCUUAUGUUCUUUUAGUACUGGCAAUCCCCCAAUGCUGCCAAAUAGCUGCUCUCUUCUUUUUCCCCCCCGUCUUUGAGCAAUUGGUAAUUGUGAAAGCCACGUAAUAAUUCUUGUAAUUUUGACUUCAAAAGUUCCCAUGACACAAACCAAUGAAUUAGAUGAUUCUCUUUAUAACAUGGCAGUGGAGAUCAAGCUAAGAUCAAGAAACCAUUGCUAUCUUGUAGCCCACAUGGCAUUUUUUUUUCAUGGAUAUUGUGCCUGUGUCCCAUGAAGACAUUAUCAGUUGUUAUUUGAUUGCUGUGUUGAUUAUUCGUAUAACAGGUCUAUAAACGGUCAUAGUUUUAUUCUGGGGGUAAUUGCAGAUAACAGGUCUUGCAUUCUCCUCAUUUGACCCCGAUCAUAUUUAUGUCCAAGGUGUUGAUUAUGAGGUGAAACAACUAUCUCUUGCUUUUUCGCACCUCAGCACAUGAUUGAUUCAUCAUCCUUUUCAUUGCAAAAUUGAUCACCCUAUUUGUUGCUUUUACUUGCUAAUUGAUUGUGGGGAGUUCUUUGGCUUGCGAGGGACAAUGCUUGCUUCUUUUCAACCUUCCUAGGUUUUUUUUCCUUUUACAUAUUUGUAUUAAUGAUCUCCAAAAGAUACCUUUUGAGAUCUGAAAACCUAAGUGUCUGAAAUCAAGCGGCCAAAUAUGCAAUAUAAUCUUUGGGAACGUCGAUAUCCUGACAUUCGGACAAAGGAAAUUUCUAUUUCCAACAAAAUAUCCCAGUACUAUGUUUGAAUGAGUGACAGUGUGCUACAUAUUCUGUCAUGAAUAAAGCAAACAAAAACAUGUGCCAAAUUUUGCUUCUAACCUUACUGUCAAAUCUAUGUUUCCAAGCAUUUCUGCUUUAAUAGCAAAGAACCUCUAGGAACUAAGUUUGAUCCAAGUCCAACUCAAAGAAAGUGUAUUUUGUUAUAUGCCAAUAGCCAUUUAGCAGGCAAAAUAAGUUCAAUUUCUGCUGCAGGUCUGUUGCGGUAAAUGGCAAGGAAAUGAAAAAGCAUUUUCAUUUAGAGGGGAUUCUAACUGGCUAGGAUUCAGUAAGGUAUGCGCUUUUUGUUUCACAUCAAAAUGAGAAUUCACAUACGCUUUGCUAGUGGGCAUAUCUUUCUGUCCUUUGAAUUCUAAAACGUGGGGUUUGUUGGCAGUGUUCUAAGAUGGAUGUUUUAGCCGGAUGGUGCGAGUCUGGUAACAUCUUUGUGGCUGAUGUCAAGGGACCAAUAGAUUGACAUAUGGAGCCCUACCGGUUAAUUCCCCAUUUCGAUCCUCAGGAUUAGGUUUGGGAAAGUAUUGUUCCAAUAGGGAACAUGGUUUUUGGUAGACAAUGCUUUAGGGGGGCAUCCACAGCCAACAGCCAACAGCCAACAAUGAAGCGUGGAGAUUUAACUGAAAAUGGUUAAUGUCCCUAUGGGUUCUGCUAUGCUUAAUUGCAACCAUUUAUUCACAGAAAUGGAUGAUGGAUGCCUUCUGGAGUUCCAUGUACCAUUCUUCAUUGGACCAUGAUAAACCUUCCCCAAGGGUUUUCGCAUUUAGUACUCAGAUUAACUCUCGAAGAGAGAGUAUUGGCAGGAUUAAGUCCAAGGAGAAAUAGCUUGUGCCAUGCCACCACCCCCUUUGCCUUACCAUUUAUAGUGAUGAAUGCACCUUUCUGGUUUACCCUAUGUUCCAAAGAAUUGUUUGAGAAAAUAAUCUAAUUAAAAAAUUGAUUAAAGAAUUAUUAUUUUAUUGUGCGGAACCACUAGUUCCCUUCUAGACUUGGUUGUUUUCCUAUAUAUAUACAAAACCGAAACGGGGUGACCGAUUCUUGAGUCGAACUAAGCAGUUCCGUUCUGACUCAGCAUUUUUAAAAUCACUAAAUCAAAUGGAUUUUUUACUGUUUUCCCAUUUCCCCUUUCACAAAAUUGGUAGUGGAAAACAAUGGGACUUCCUAGAUCAAGUACCAUUAUUUAUUGGGCAAGCUUUCUAUGUUUCCCCUGCAGCAUAAAACUUAUGUACUUCCCCUUAUCCAACCCUCUAGUUUGAAUAGAGGGCUAAGAUUGCUUCAAUCACAAUAUCAUGUCUCUAUGUUAUUUUAUUUUUAAAUUUUUUUUUAUAAACCAUUUUGACACCAAAUUUUGGAUACCCAAUCUCCUAUUAAACUCGCACUAGUAAAAAAUAUUAAAAAAAAUAUUUUCAAUAAAAUAAAAUGAUCAAAAUACCUUUGAAAGUUUUAAGGGUAUUUUGGUCACUAUAUUUUAUUGAAAAAUUAUUUUAAAUAUUUUUUAUAGGUGCUCCCCAAUGAGAAGAUGGUACGUGCCAAAUUUCAUAUUCAUACAAUUUGUAUAAAAAAAAAUUAAAAUUAAAAUACAUUGAGAUGUCAUAUCUAAGAUCAAACGAUGAGCGGCUCUCUUGAUCAAAAUUAGAGGGUUGGAUGGUAGGAAAAGCAUAGAUCUUCUAUAUUGUAAGGGAAGUAUAAAAACCUUGCUUUUACAUAUUAACCGUCAUUACGGUACCACUCUUGGCUCGGCAUGUGAUUGAGUUAUUGAUGGAUUAUUGUAUUAGUGCUAUCAAUCGCGUCGGAACUUAGUUCUUUGAAUUAUUUAAUGAAGAACUGUUCUAAAAUGUGCUGCUUUCAUUCCACUCUGAUUUUAGAUGCUUUGAGGAUAACCUUCUUGCAGCUUCAUAAUUUUUAUUCAAGAAGAUUGUGCUUUAAGUUGUUUCUCAUUUAAUUUCACAAAAUUAUAACGAAACUUGACAAAACGUUAUGAAUUCUUACACGUAAUCAUAUUAAGUGUAUUAAUACAAGAAGAAUAUCAGAAAACAAAUAAGUGUGUUAAAACUUGUACCAUUGGUAUCAUUCUAAAUACAGCCUACCAUUUUUAGGGAAAAGGAAAAGGAUCAAGAGUCUAAACCCUAAAAAAACAUCCAUAUUUCCCGACUCGACAAGCCCUCAUUCAUCAAGGCAAUCUAAGUUGAAAGCAAACAUGAACUUCGGAAAGUUAUCCAUUUUUAGUGUUUGUAAGGAUUUUUUUUUAGGAUGAAGUUUUUGAGGCCUAGGCUUUAUAAAAACAAAAUGUGGCCUCACCUUAAAUUAUCGGAAACCAUUUGGGCAAUGGAAAUCUCCAUGAUGCAUAUAAAAUUACAGAUCUAUGAAUAAUUAUUUAUAGGGUGAAAUAAACGGUCUAGAUAAUUUGUUACAAUAUACACUAUUUUUAGAGCUUAAAAUCCUAAAUUUCUUUCAAAACCACAAUGUUCAAGCCAAGAUGUCGAAUACUUGAAUUGUAUUUUCAGAUGAGUUAGGCUUUCCUUAUUUUGAUAGGGUCGCCACCCUAUCAUACCAUUUUCCUUGUGUUUGUGCAUCACAUUUUCAUCUUUUCAAUAUAAUUCUGAACUGACAAAUCUUCAACUGCUGACAUUUGUGCAGAACCACCCAAGGUUUCAAAGUCACAGAAACACAUAGAAAGGGACUUCAUAUUUCGCUUAUAAUUAUAUAAAAAAUUAGAAGUACAAAACUAUAAAAUCUAAUAAAAAAAUAGAGCAUACAAUUUUUCCAACCUGCAAUCAAUAAUCAAAGUUAAAAGAAUAAUCAAUCCCUCCUAGUCAACUUCUUUCUCGAUACCUUCUUAUCUCUAGGAUGUUUAGAGCAACAUGGCUUGUUCCAGUUACUGAACUCGCCAUUGUCCCGAAAACCCUACUCUCAUUGGAAACAGCUGUAAAUCUGUGCUUAACCACCUGGUAAUCCACUGGUUUUGAACUGAUUUCAAGCAGGAUCAGCUUUUUCUAUUUUUCUUCAAAAACAGAAAAGUUUAAGAAUUUUAAACAAGGUAUAAGAUUUUCAAACAAAUAUAAAGGGAUAUCUUCAUGAUAUAUUACUCCAAAAAACAUAUAUUUUAUGGUGAAAUAUUCCAAUAAAUUACUUCAGCAAAAAAGUGUGCAAUAGGUUUGAAUUUCAUUUUAAUUUUGCCCGCAGAUCUCGUAGCUAUAACAAUUCACCGAGAUGAAUGCAAGAGAGAGCUGAAUGAGAGAGAGGCCCACAAUACAUACAAAUGGAAUCGCUGUAAACAAGGACGGCUUUGGUGAGUCAACCAACUCAUCAAUUACGGGUCCCUUGUCUAUCCAUCUGUAAGAUGGAGAUCAAAAAAUGUUACAUCCACUAAAAGUUAAAAUGGACAGGAAGAAAGGAAUUCAAAAAAUAACCUUUACGUUUUUUGAAAAAUAAAAUUUUCAAAUUUAAUCAUUGACGUACUUGACAUUAUUGAACUCAAAAAUUUUGGAUCGAAAACAUAUCUUUGAGAUAUAUUUUGUAGUGAGACCUCACAAGAAUUGUGGAGGUCAGCCGACCCGGCAAACACUUUUCCUCUGAACAAUAAGGAAGACCAAAAUAACAAGAAAAGUUCACAUGAAAAUUUAUAAAAAUAGAUUUUGAUUCCUAAAAAUGGAUCAAUAGAUUUCCAACAUAGUCUAAUAUUCUGAAAACACAAUAAAAACAAUAAAAUAAUUUUAAUCGGUAAAUUUUAACUCAAAACUAUAUACAAAAAUACCAUAAUCAAUGAAAUUGGUAUAAAUUUCAAUUCGAUGCCCUCAGAUCUAAUAGCUAUCAUAAUUCAAAUAGUGGCAUAAUGAAAGAUGUUCAUUGACUCAGAGAAGAGAGACAGAGAGAUGAAAGAUGAGAGAUGAUAGAGAGUAAGAGAGGCCCAAAAUGAGUACCGAUGCAGCGGCUCUCAAAAAAAAAAAAAUCCUCCAUCAUCGGGCAAUUACACCAAUCCAUCUGCCGGAAAAUUGUUUCAUGCGGGCUGGACAGCAUGACUACAUGCGGUCCAAAAAGUGUAAAGCAUCCCUUUUAAAGAUAGAUGUAAGUAAAUCUUCCAUCUAGCUACAAUAAAAAUUAAUGCUCCAAAUGUUUUUUUACUAGAAUUAUUAUUUCUAAUUUUUAAAAUUUAUAUUUCUAAUUUUUAAAAUUUACUUAUUUUUUCACAUUCAUUAUCUCCAUGUUAAAGAUUACAUGUCCUUAAAACUUAAAUGCAAAAAUCCAUCUCAAAAAUAGAUUUAUCCAAAAAUCCAUCUCAACAAUAGAUUUAUUAAUGAGCCCGCAUUUCUACAAAUGUGGGCUUCGCCACAUAUAAACCAGGUCCCCAUCUGAGACAAUAUAUCUAAAAAGGGGGAAAUCAAUAAAAAAAACCAUGUAGAAACAUACACUGAAAAAUGAGAAGUCAUUUUCAAUGAUCCCUUAAAAAAUGGGUAAAAUCAUAUAAGAUUGGGAAGUUCCUUUCUCCAUGCUUAAAAAAAAAAUCGAAAAAAUAAAAAAUACCGAAAAACCCAAAGAAAUAACAACUUAAUGAGAUUCUUGUGACCACAAGGGUGCUUGAGAUUCCUGUGACCAACCUACCUCAGGGAUAAAGUCUCGUUCGAAGCUAGCUUAGCAACUUAAGCAAACCUAAACGUUCUAGCUUACGAGUUCUAGCGAAACUCUCUAUCUGUCGAGCAAUAAUCCAAUGCAACGGUUGUAUCAUAAUAUAAUACAACGGCACUCCUAAAAAUUCAUGUUUGUGGUAUUUAUAUGACCUCAAAUUUUGCACACACACUUUUAAUCUCAAUAAUCAAUCCCCAAAAAAAAAAAAAAGAAGUUCAAUUUGAACCCUAGAUAUGAUCAAAAUGAGUCCCCUCAAAAAACGAAUCUAGACAAUUCAUUUUAUGAAUGUCAAAAUCUUAGCCUUUAUAAACUCAAACUCAUUUUUUUCUUGUUUAACAUUGUUCAUCUAAUGACAUAAAGCCAUCCAAAAAAUUGGAAAUGAAAAAAUCCUUCCAAGACCUAGAUUUAGGCAUCUCACCAAAAUGAACUCGAAAAAAAUACUUUCUAAUUUGUGUUUUUAAUUUUUCCUUUUUUUUGUGAUGGUUCAUUAGAAUGAAAAGAGAAUAUAUUUUAAAAUUGGUUCAAACAAAUGACCAUAAGAUGGUUUUUCAAAAUUAUUACAUCACAUUACUAUACAACGGUUGCAUAAAAUCAUUGCCCCUAUCUAUAUCUAGACUACACUUACCUAUAUUCGGUUUCCCUGGCUUGAUUCAUUGACCGAAGCCUAAGACGAAGCUUGAUUCAAUAAUUUCAAUUGUUGGUGACAUUAAUUACAUGCAUACAAACCCUAAAAUAAAUGAAAAAUUGUUUCUUGUGGGGACUGCAAUUUUAUACAUGCGGUCCAAAAGUAUAAAGCAUCCAUCUUAAAGAUAGAUGCAAAUAGCUGGUCUAUCUAAAAAAAACUAACACGCGAAGUGUUCUUUUAAUAGAAUUAUUAUUUCCAAUUUUUAAAUUUUAUUUAUUUAUUCAUGUUCAUGAUCUUUAUGUUAGAGAUUACAUAUCCUUAAAAAUAAAAUCCAAAAAUUCAUCGCAAAAAUAGAUUUUUGAAGCACCUCAUUCCUGUAAGGGCUCAUAAAACUGGGUCUAAAAUAAAUUUAUGAAAGAGACUAUAGGGGUCAGCACCAAAACAAACAGAGCGAAAAUGUCUGGCUAAAAAGGACAAGCAACCAACUUUUUCAAAACAAAAAAGAACAAAAAAAACAAACGUGUAAAUGUCUCCCUAAAAAAGGACAAGUACCAACUUUUUAAAACUAAAAAAACAAAAACGUAAGUCAAUGAGGAUUUGCCCCCUACCCUUUUUGGUGAGACAUUGGUAAUAAGGUGAGACAUCGGUAUUAUCACCGCCCCAGCCCACUCUUAAUUUUUCAAAAUAAGAAAACAUCCUUUGCUGCGGAAAUUACAAAAAAAAAUGAUCAAUCCCAUUUUUUUUAUUUUUUCAAAAUUGUCUUUUGAUCAACUCAAAUUUUAUUUUAUUUUUAUUUUUUGGUUAGUAUGCCAGUGCCCCAAGCUUUAAGGCUCAACCCUACUAAAAAAAAAACUAAAAAAAUCAAAAGCAAAAAAAAAAAAAAAAUGGAUUGAACGACCUUUGUAAUUCUGCUUAUAAGUGAACAUUUUGUAUUUUACCUAAAAUUUUAAGAUCCACACUUAAAUCACUCAAAAAAAAAAAAAAAAAAAAAAAGAAGAGGAAAGCUCCAAUACAUCUCUAGUCCUUCUCACUUGUUAAUUGAUUUAUAGCUGUACAGUGAUUCUUGCAAUUUAAAGAGAGAGGGCAGGGGUACAGCUCCAUUCUCUAUGCCCAUUUUCUUCCUAUUUAAACCCCAUAUCAAUGGAGAGUUCUCAAAGUGAUUUUUCAUAUUUUUAGAGAGAGCCUGAAGAAGUCUCUUUGUGUAAAGGUAAAGGAUUUGGAGGGUUGGAGAAGCAUGGACUUGGUCACUAGAUUCAUGAACCUGAUGUUUCCUCCCAUUACUCUUUUCUUCCUCACUCUCAUCUUCCCUAUCUUUGCUCUUUUCAACCUCUCACUCUCUCUUUCGCACACCCAAGACUGAGGAUGUGAGGCGGAAGGUCGUUCUCAUAACUGGUGCUUCCUCCAGCAUUGGGGCGGUGAAACAGAGAGCACUUUGGGCAACUGUAUCUAGCAUUCUUGUAUUGUACUUUUUGAGAAAGGUUUGGUGGUGGGUAAAAAGCAGCAUAUGUAGAGAGAGAGAGAGGGCCCAGUAUCAUUUUACUUGGUUUCCCUGAUAAAUUGAUGUGAAACUUGAUGUUGUGUAAUAAUAUGCAGCAUAUGGCGUAUCAAUAUGCAAAAAGAGGCGCAUGUCUGGUUCUUGUAGCAACGAGGGAGCAACACCUUCGAGAAGUUGCAGAGAAAACACGCAGCAACAGCUCACCCGAGGUACUCAUCCUCCCUGCCGAUGUAACGAGACUCGAUGGGUGCAAGAGGUUCAUCCAACUUAUUAUACAAUCCCUGGUAGAUGCGUCUGCUACAGCAGGGGUUCCACUGCCAAGAACGAGUCUAUAUAAUGUAAGUGAAAAUGAGUCUGUAUAAUGCAAGUGAAAUGAAUGACAGAGAGAGAUGUUCAAUCUCCACCCUGUUAAGAGAGGGAGAGAGAGAGAGAGAGAGAGAGAGAGCUGUUCACUCUACACCCUGUUAAGAAUCCUUGUUAAGACUCAUGAGACAGACCCAUUCAUUCUGCACCAGGUUAUAACCAUGAGAGAGAGAGACCUAUUCACUCUCCACCCUGUUAUGUUAAAGCCCAGAGAGAGAGAAGGUCCAGCUUUUCUCUAUUUUUUAAUUACUGUAAUACGCUUCAUGGUUUUCAGGCUAGUAAAGCAGCUGUAGUUAAUUUUUAGGAGACAAUGAGGAUGGAAAUCGGGGACGAGAUUGGGACUAAAAUCGCAACACCUGGUUGGACCGAAUCAGAGCUCAGCAAAGGCAAAUUCAUGAACUGCAACGGCAUACAGGUGGAUCAAAAGACAAUGGAUGAGAGAAAAACUACACCUAACUCACUUAACUGCAAGAGCGCCUCAAAAGAUCUUCUGAGUCUAAUGCUCACUAAGCUUUAGUGUCUCAGAUUUACUUUCUACUUCAAUAUUUCUCAGAAAGCUCUGUUCUAUAAGAUUUCCUCAUUCUGAUUCUACAAUUAUUGCUAAGCUUCAAUGGAAUCCUAACGAUUUUGUUCGAGCUGGAGCAGGCUUUCGUCAGUGUCAUGCCGGUUGUGCACGCAGAUGAAUGUGCAGAAGGAAUUGUGAAGAGUGCAUGUCAAGGAGAGAGAAACAUAACAGGGCCAUUCUGGGUCAGGAAUUUGUUCCUCUACAGGCUCUUGGUCCCUGAGAUGGUGGAAUGGUCCUUUGCCCUGCUUUCUCCCACUAAACAAGGGGGAGGGAGGCAACUCCCAAGCAAGAGCCUUGCAGAUGAUGCAAAAUCAAAAUAAUCACAUAAUGGAAAGGAGGAAAAAUGAGAUCUUGGCUUGGCACACAGGGCACUAAGUGAUUGGGGUUGGCUACAUGAAUCAUGAUCCUCUAACAGAGUAAUUGGGGUUGGAAAGGAGUUAAAAUAAAAUCGGAUUACUUCCAACCACGUCCUUUUGGGCCUACCCCUUGCAUUUUUCAAUCCUUACACUUGAAUUAACUCACACCUCCUAACAGGUGUUGUACUGGAUCGACGUUACACAUGGCCAGCCCACCUAAAUCUACCCUCUCCCAUCUUAUUGCCUAUUGGUGCCACAUCUAAACUUUCCCAAAUGGAUUCAUUUCAGAUUCUAUCCCUUCUUGUCUUGCCACUCAUCUUCGCUACACUCAUUUUAUGGGUGCAUUGUCUUUUUCCGCCCAACAUUCUGCCCCAUAAAGCAAAGUUGGUCUUACAGCUUUCCUAUAAAACUUACCCUUCAGCUUCAUUGGUAUGCGGCGAUCACAUAAAAUUCCAGUUGCACAUCUCCACUGUGCGACAUCUUCCUCAAUCGGUCCAUUUUCUUGGAUUAUCAACCCAAUGGAUCAAAAGUGUAGUCUUUUUUAUACUUAUUGGCCGUCAAUCUUAACUACUUCCUUGUCUCUACUCCUAUUAGUAUUAAACUUGCAUUCCAUAUACUCUGUCUUAGUCCGACUAAUUUUAAAACCUUUGGAUUCUAGAGCAUCAUUCCAAAGUUCUAACAUUGUGUUCACGUCAUUUCGGGUCUCAUCGAUCAAAACUAUAUCAUCUGCGAAUAACAUGCACCACGAUACGUCAUCCUGCAAGUACGUAGUUAAGUCGUCCAUAACUAAGACAAAGAGGUACAGGCUCAAUGCUGACCCUUAAUGCAGACCUAUUGUCACUGAAAACUCACUCGUCUCUCCACUAGUUAUUCUCACAAUAGUUAGCGCUCCAUCCUACAUAUCUCUCAUCAUGCAUAUGCAAAUGUAUAUUAACACAAAACGUAUAUGAGCAUAAAUGUAAUUUGGUGCUGAACCCAAUUACAAGCAUAAAAGGUGUAAUAUGUAUGGUAAUAUGCAUCCUUUACAUAGCACCAAUGUUUUAAAAUUCGGACCAUAGGGGUCGAGCCGGUCGCCCUCAAGUACCAAUUCGAACUUGCCAACAUUUAAAUCUUAGUUGUUUAAAACUUUCAAUGAGGUUUAGAAUUCUCAGACACCCUAGAAACAAUAUUUCUUUGAUAUUAAUACUUGAAAAUAUUUUGGGAGAAACUUUCUAAAUCCCGAUUCCGACCCAUCCCUACCAGUUCCAGUUCUAACCACGAAAGCCAGUUGAUCUAGUCCUACUUUGAAACACUCAUAAUAUGUGCAGGUUGCUAAUUCGUAGAUAAAGAAAACCAUGGUAUCAAGCAUUCAGGCGAGUACAAAAUUCACUAGAUGUAUGCAUAUGAAGCGUUCAUGAGCUGUCUAAAUAUUCAUGUAGACUACUUAGGCUGUUACGGAACUUAAUGCAUCCAUGACACCUGUUUACAUUGGUGUUCAUGUUCAUGUACAAGAUGCACAUGCAUCCAAGCUUUAGGCAUGCUCCCAUGUAAAUUCUGGUCAUGAAAAACUAAAACACUAUGUGAAUGAACAAAAAGAGCAACCACGUAAAUUCUGGUCAUGAAAAAUUUAAACAAUAUGUGAAUGAACAAAAAGAGCAACCUGCAGUUGUCUUUAAGAUCAUAAGAACCAGAGAACCAUCACACAUAAUUAUGAACAAUGCCCACACAUAGUUAUGUACAAUGCCUGUAAGACCACCCAUAGCGUCUGACAUUCAUUCAGCUACUUGCAGAAGGCCCAAAGGACAUACAUAUAGGAGGAUUAAUUUUGAAAGAACGGUUGAAGGAAUGUACCAAAUGCCAUCUCCUCAUAUCAAACCUGAUGCAACCGUCUCUGAGUAUGCCUCUGCCUCCUCCUCAUUGAUCCUCUCCCAAACAUUCAAAAUCACCGACCAAAGAGAGAGCUUUGGCAGGAAGGAGAAGUAGGUUGUGCCAUGCCACCACCCCCUUUGCCUGCACAUUUCUAGUGAUGAAUGUACCUUUCUGGUUUACACUGUUUAAAAUAUUGUUUGAGAAAUUAAUCAAAUCAAAUGGAAAAUUGUUUGAGAAAAUAAUUUAAUCAAAUGUAUGUCUUUACUGUUUUCCUUUUUCCCCUUUCACAAAAUUACAAAGGGACUUCCUUGAUCAAGUACCAUUACAGAUUAACCAACAUUGCACUACCGAUCUUGACUCAGCGUGUUUGAGUUACUGAUGGACUAUUGUACUAGUGCUAUUAAUCACGCCGCAACUUAAUUUUUCAAAUUAUUUAAUAAAGAAAUGUUCUAAAAUGUGUUUCUUUCUUCCCAAUCUGAUUUUAGAUGCUUUGAGGAAAACCUUCUUGCAGCUCCAUAAUAUUUAUUAAAAAAGAUUGUGCUUUAAUUUGUUUCUCUCAUUUAAUUUUACAAAUUUCUAACGAAACUUAACAUAAAAAGUUAUGAACUACUUCGUGAAAACUUGACCAUUGAUAUCAUUCUAAAAACGGUGGAUUUUUAAGAUCAAAGAAUCUAAACUCUUAAGACAUCCAUAUUUUCCGACACCACAGGCACUCAUUCAUCAAAGCAAUCUAAGUUGAAAGCAACCAUGAACUUUGGAAAGUUAUCAAUCAAUUAGAUUAUAGAGUUUGUAAGGAUUUUCGUUUAUGCAUCACAUUUUCAUCUUUUCAGUAUAAUUCUGAACUGACAGUGACCUUUAAAUCUUCAAUGGCUGACAUUUGUGCAAAACCACCCUAGGUUUCAAAGUCACAAAAAAACAAAGAAAGGUACUUCACAUUUUGCUUAUAUUAAAAAAUACAAGUACCAAACUAAAAACUCUACUAAAAAAAGGGAAAAAUAGAGCAUACACCAAUUGUUCUAACCUGCAAUCAAUAAUCAAAGUUAAAAGAAUAUACCAAUCCCUCCUUGUCAACUUCUUUCUAGAUACCUUAUUAUCCCUAAUAUCACUUAAAGUAACACCGCUUGUUCCAAUUACUGAAUUCGCCGUUGUCCCAAAAACUCUAAUCUCAUUGGGAAAAACUGUAAAUCUGUGCUUAGUAAUCCACUGGUUUUGAGCUGAUUUCAAGCAGGAUCAGCUUCUGCAACUUUUCUUCAAAAACAUAAAUGUUUAAGAAUUUUAAACAAGGUAUAAGAUUUUCAAAUCAAUCUAGAGCCGAUAUCUUCAUGAUAUAAUACUCCAAAAAACAAGUAUUUUACGGUGAAAUAUUCCAAUAAAUUACUUCAGCAACAAAGUGUGCAAUAAGUCUGAAUUUCAUUUUAUUUGUGCUACAGAUCUCAUAGCUAUAAUAAUUCACCUAAAUGAAAACAAGAGAGAGGGAAAGAGAGAGAUGAAUGCGCAAGAGAGGAAAAUGUUACAUCCACUAAAAGUUAAAAAGAGACGGGAAGAAAGGAAUUCAAAAAAUAACAUUUAUAUUUUUUGAAAAAGAAAAUUUUCAAUUUUAGAUCAUUGUCAUUCUUGAGAUUGUUGAACACUAAAAUUUUGGAUCCAAAAUACAUCUUUGAGAUAUAUUUUGCAAAGAGACCGCGCAAGAAUAGUGUUAGUCAGCCAAUUCACCAAACGCUUUUUCCUCUGAACAAUAUAAGCUUUCCAUCAAUGAACAAGACCCAAAUAACAACAAAAGCUCACAUGACAAUUUAUAAAAGUAGAUUUUGAUUUCUAGAAAUGGAUCAGUAUAUUUCCAACAUAUUCUACUAUUUUGAAAACACAAUAAAAACAAUAAAAUCUAAACCUAGAAAUCAAAUUACUAUGCAACACGAAUUUCAAGGGACUGAAUUUUAAUCAAAACUAUAUACAAAAAUACCAUAAUCAAUGAAAUUGGUAUAAAAUUUCAAUUCAUUGCCCUCAGAUCUCAUAGCUAUCAUAAUUCAUCGAGUCACAUAAUGAAAGAUGUUCAUUGAGAGCCUCAACAGAGGGGAGCGAGAGAGAGAGAGAGAGAGAGAGAGAGAGAGAGAGAGAGAGAGAGAGAGAGAGAGAGACGACGACGACGACACGACGACGACGACGACGACGUACGUAACGUAACGUAACUAACUACUACGUACGUACGUACGUACGUAACUACUAACUAACNNNNNNNNNNNNNNNNNNNNNNNNNNNNNNNNNNNNNNNNNNNNNNNNNNNNNNNNNNNNNNNNNNNNNNNNNNNNNNAGUAGAGGACGAGAGAGAGAGAGGCCCAAAAUGAACACCAAUGCAGCGGCUCUCAAGAAAAAAAUUCUUCCAUCAUCGGGCAAUUACACCAAUCUAUCUCAGACAGGAUAUGUAAGAAGGGGGAAAAUCAAUAAGAAAACCCCGUAGAAAAAAAUAAUGAGAAAUCAUUUUCAAAGCAUCCCUCAAAAAUGGGUAAAAUCAUGUAAAAUUGGGAAGUCCCUUUCUCCAUGCUUAACAUACAAAAAAAAACAGAGAAAACCCAAAGAAAAAUUGAAAUAAAAACAAAAGAAAGAGAGAAAACCCUAGAUGACAAAGGCUUGGAAUGGGAAAGAAAUGAAUUGGAAUCCAAAAUUGGAGAUAAUUAGUCCUCUCUUUUAGAAGGACUUCAUUUUUAGGGCAAAAAACACGAGAAACAUAGAGCGGCGAAAAAGGGCAAAG
RNAcentral lists this long non-coding RNA (101557 nucleotides) under Amborella trichopoda. Its description in RNAcentral is "long non-coding RNA (ATRI_LNC002829)". The record is from RNAcentral. Lineage: Eukaryota; Viridiplantae; Streptophyta; Magnoliopsida; Amborellales; Amborellaceae.